AGCCAGGUGUCCUUCCAACAGCCUCUGCAACAAUAUCCAUUAGGCCAGGGCUCCUUCCGGCCAUCUCAGCAAAACCCACAGGACCAGGGCUCUGUCCAGCCUCAACAACUGCCCCAGUUCGAGGAAAUAAGGAACCUAGCGCUACAGAUGCUACCUGCAAUGUGCAAUGUCUACAUCCCUCCAUAUUGCACAAUCGCGCCAUUUGGCAUCUUCGGUACUAACUGAGAAGAAAAUAACUCUAGUACUAGAUAUAUGAAACACCGUUUUCUCAGUCCAUGGUUUGGUCAUUGUAGCGUCGAAAAAAUAAUGUGACAUGCACUAUCAUAUAAGAAUCCGAACUAUACUAGUUCAAACUUGGGAAUAAAAGACAAACACAUGUCUUGUCUACAUAUUUAUGUUGCAUCUAUUUAUAUAUUAAAAGUAAUAUAAGGUGAACCAGGAGCAAGGUAAAUAUGCUAGAAAAUUGCACGUUAAUUAGAAAUUACUUGCCCUCGAUCUGGUAAAUCUUAACAAAUAGAAUUAUCUUGACCGUUAGAUUUAUAUAACAUAUAUAAUGCUCUGGGCCUCCAACGACUGUACGUGACACAUCUGAACGAACAUAUGGUAAAGAAAAUAUAUUUGGUAAAUGGUGGGCCUGUUUAAAAAGAGAACUCACGUACAUGCACCAACUAAGAAAAACACAUACAUGUAAACGGGAAAAGGAUGAGAUUUUCUCACGUACGUGCUCCCUGGCUCCACCCCGUUGAAAAAAUAUACAUCUGGAGGCCACUUUGUUUCCUCAUCAAAAAAACUUACGUUAAAAAGAUUGCAUGCAUCCCAGGGAAAAUAGUCAAGAAGAAGUCGGACUUUUCCUUACAAAAACAAGGAACGUGUUAAGUUGACUUCAAAGAAAAAAGGAACAUGUUAAGUUAAAAAAAAACAAGAAACCUGUUAAGUUAGAAAAAAACAAGGAACGUGUUGUCCAAGGAAAGAUAUGUGUCAAAUCUUACAAAAAAAAAGAAUACACACACGUACGUUCAUGCACUUGGAAAAUAGAAAAAAAGGAACAUCACGUAUGUAUACACUUCGGAAACUCAUUACAUGACCAUGUCUGAUAUACUCCUCUAAUGCUUAAUAUUAGUGCCUAAUAAUUUAUAUUUAAAAUUUAAUUUACUGAUCAAAUAUCCCCACUGUUUAAAUUUUAAUUUGGCACAUUGUUUGGCUAUAGUAUGAACCUGAAUUUCCUCUUAUUAUUAUAUAUCAUGGUAAUAAUCCAAAGGCGACUAAUCUGCACCGGCGCACCGGCGCAAUCAAUUCGGCUGGACACAGCGCGGCCGUUUGAUUAGAUUGCAUUUAACCAUCAGAUCUGGAAUCGUUUUCUUUCCAAUUAAACGGAUUCAACCAAACAGCAGAGGGGAAAACAAAGCAGCGCCGCCGCCAACACUAGCCAUGGACGACCGAUGUAGCAAAACCUUGAAGAACCGCCGCCGGUCGCCACCCUCGCCUCUGGUCGCUGCCCUCGCCGUCGGUCACCGCCGGUCGCCGCCCUCGCCGCCUGCGUUUCUCAUCGGCUUCAUGCAUGCAACAACAUGCACUCGUGGUUGCAGGCUUGCAUCUCCGGCUCCGGGGACAUGGCCGCAUCUCCGGUAGCGCCGGCCGCCGGCCGCAGCACCUGUCGUUGUGGUCGCGCUGUACCUCGCCGUGUGCCCUCCCGAGGCUCUUGCUGGUUCCAACAAAAAACGAUACCUGUUGUAGCAAAAAAGUAUCGCUUCCAGCAAAAAAGCUUACCGCUACAGCCCGCCAUCGUCAUUGUAGCAAAAAUGUUAACCCGAUGUAGCUUCUGUGGUUGCCGACUGCAGCAAAAAAUGACAUGGCUGUAGCAAAACACAAAAGAAAAACACUGGCCGGCCGCUGUGUAUGGUGGUAACAAACCCUAUAGCCGGUGGUAGCGAAAAACUUCAUAGUGUGCUGCAAAAAAAUGUUGUCACCCGUCGUCGAGGUUGCAUCAUCUUCAUGAAUUAUGCCGCAAAAAAACGUUGUCGCCGGUAGUAGCAAAUGAAGCCGCCGGUAGUAGCAAAACAAGACACUGGUUCCAGCCAAAAAAAAAAUCAGCGACAGAACCUUUGGUUGGUUCCAACAAAAAAACUUGUCGGUUGUAACAUCCCUCGCCGCCGGAUGUAGCAUCUCCCGGGGCUGGUUGCAACACUCCAUAAAAAAAGUUGUCUAUGAGCGCAUCCAUGGUGACUGCUGCACCGUCAGCAAUGAGGGGAAGAGGAGGCAAUGAAAAUCAUUCGAGUCAUAGCUCCACAGGACGCGGCUGCAGCAUGGGGAGUCCAAAAAUCUGUCACAAGCAACAUGCGCCGCGCCAUCCUCCUGCGCAGGAGAGAGAAGAAAAAGGAAUAAGAGGAAGAAGAAAGGAAACAGGAGAAAGAAAAAAGAAAGGAUUGGUGGUUGGCUCAGGCAAUUAGUCAAGCGAGGGGCACGCGGGGCCGCAGGACACAGCGCAAUCGAACGAAGCGCGCGCGUCCGGGCGAAGACUCGGCCGGACUGCCGUCUGGAAACGUUUCCCUAAUCCAAAGGCUUUAUCUGAAUGACAAGUCGUCUGGGUUACCGGCUAACUAGAAAAAAGAUAAAUAUGCUAGAGAAUUCCAUAAUAAUUAGAAAUAUCUAGCCUUUAAUUAUGUAAACCAGAAAAUCACAACCGUUGGAUUUACUUUAAAGGUAAAUUUCUAUAAAUUCCCACCAUUGCCAGUAUGUAGAAACAUGUGCUGCUUCAAUUCUCCCAUAAUCACCAAUCAAUCAACAACACAAAACAUACCUCAGUUAAAAAAACUGAACAAAAAAAAGAAAAAAAGAAGAAAGGACAAGAUACACGCAUGUACACGACAGCCUUGGCUUGAAACACAUCAGUAGAUCAAGUGUCCGCCUCCCUUACACGUACGUCCCAUGAGGUUUACUAGCCUACCGCCGCCGCAUCAUGCCAUCCUCUCCUUUCAGCUCCCAUGCUCUCCAGCACCCUCAUUGCGGCGCCACUACUCGCCUAGGGAUAUUGCUGCUCAGACCGUGGAGCUUAACCACAUCAGCAUCAGCACGUAUGGGCCUCAUUAUACUGCAGCACGUAUUGCGCCCCCUUAAGUCCAGGUCUGUUUGCUGGCACAUAUGCUUUGGAAAUAGGCCACUAUGUUUGUACUUCAAAAUUGUUUCUGUAUUCUUGAGUGGUACAUCCUUUUAAGCGCCAGUUUUUUAUGUUAAUUCAUGCUGACAACACUUAACCUAGCCUUUCAUGUUCACGUACUAAAUACAGGAGCAAGUAAAAACAACAGACCACCUAAUUGCUCUGCAUGUACUACAUAGGAAAAUUUGUCAUGUUCUACGAUCGCACCAUCCCACCCUUCUCUCUUGGUAUGGGCGCCAAUUGAGGGAUUGAUAAAACUGAAACGAAGACGUCACAGGGCUGGAAGUACCGCUAGCCUGGUUUGCACUGCAACCUACCCAACGCCAUCAGAAACUAGCAACUGAGUCAGGUGUUGAUCGAUUCUCUCAAAUUGCUCUCAUGUAAGUACUACCCCUUGCAUGUGCGUACAUACCUUUGUUGCAUUCUCAAACAGAUAGAACAUGUUUGAUCGGUGCAUGGCUAUUUUUCAUCACAUGACAUCCAGAUAACAAGCAUGAAAGGACUACAUUGGAGAUCAAAAAAUAUUGGUUCCUGGCUAGAGUACCACUACCUAUGGACUUGUCUCCAUAGAAUUUGUUCCCAAGAUGUUAUUUUAAUUAAUCUCUUUAGCUUUCUUCCAUUGCAAACGGUGAUGUGCAUCAUGGUAUAUACGUGACCAUCUUGCACAUGUAUACACAAGAGGCUCAGAUGGAGGUGCUGGAUUCUGGACGAGGGAAUAUGAAGCAGGAGUGAGCGAAGAGUAAAUAAUGGUGGGAGUACCGAUUGGUGUUAUGAAGAAAAAUGCCAUCCAAAGAUUGAUUAGUGUCAUGGAAGAUUAAUUUCUGAAUGCGAAUAUAUAUGUUACAUUGGUUUGGAUCUUUUUGAGAUAAUUCCACCUAAAUUAGGUUCUUUCUUAUUUCAUAUGUAUACCUUAUUUCAGUAAAAGUUCACAACGAACUUAGUAGGACAAAUAUAAUUUUGUUUGUUCUUUCUGUUGUCCGCCACCAAAGCUCAAUUUGAACUCUCUAGAAAUGGACAAUGAUUUAUGCAUUCUAUAUCUUCUUGAUUGAUUAGCCAUGACAAGGAAAUAAAAGGAUUGACUGAUAUAGCAUAACUUUGGAACGAUUAGAGGUUACUACAAAUAAGAGUAGUGUCUGUUGGAAUUUUGCUAGUAGGCCUUUGGCCCAAAGCCCAACUAAAAUUCUGAAAUUCUCUUGGCUCAUUUAUGCACACAUGUGAGUUGAGUGAGUGAGACUAAAGUUUAGUCCCACCCUGGAAGUUGAGAGAGAGUUGCACCUCUUUAUAAGGUGAGCUCUUCUACCACUUGUAUGAGCAUGAGAAGAGGAGACCUACACGCGCGCUCCUCCUCCACGCUCGCCACGCCUCGUCGCGCCGCGCCGUGCCGCGGGUUGCGGGAUUGAGCCGAGCCGAGGACGUUUUCUAUAUUUUUGCUGCUCGGGAAAAAUUAAUGAGUCAUUAAUUAAUAAUUAAUGGACACAUUAAUUACUGAACCGUUUCCGAUUUUUUUGGAUCGUGACGACUCGGACGUGGGGUUUACUCCCAGGACCUACCCGGCCCGCACUAUAUAGUCAGGAAGACGUCUACCCUAGCCGCCGCCGCUUCGUAUGGUUUCUCACCAUCGUUACAGAUCAUUGCGCCGCCAAGCAAGUUUUCUCCAUCCCUCCUUUCGGCGUGCACCGGGAGAAGGGACAGCAGACCUCCGGAACCCCGCCUCUCGUGAUCCUAUACGGGAGAGGGGCGAUCAGGUUUUUGGGGAGCGCACUCGCAUGACUGCUGGCAGCGACGACUUCGCAAACGACGACUUCUUCCCCGACCUCGGCAACCUCAUCCUCGACGACAUGGGCGACAACGUCAACGCCGGCGGUGCUACACCCACUGCACCGUAUGUUAUUCUCUCCUUCUUGUUCGAGAUCAUGGUAGAAUUCAUGUUUCUAGUAUAUGUGCCCUAGAUGUGAUCUGUUCAUCUACUAUGGUAGUUCGCAUGAUUAGUUUAAUCUCUGUUAUUGCUGUCAUGAUCUAUUUCCUAUUUAUUCGGAUUAAAUCUCGUAGUAAUUUUCUCAUUUUUCCAACAAUCCAAAAACCUGAUUAUAGGAAAUUUACUCCGAGUGGUUUUGCUGCGCAUCUGAAAGCCGCUUGCCUUUAAGGGGGCGCAAUAUAAGAGGUGGCGCACCAGAGCAGUCUACUGGUUUCAGAUCAUGGGCUGCUAUGACGCCACCAAGGGCAAGCCUGAGGGCGAUCUUAAUCCAGCACAGCUGGAAGCUUUCAAGAAGAUCAAUACCCUCUUUAAAGGCACGCUUCUGAGUGUUCUUGAUGACUCCAUUGUAGAUUCGUAUAUGUCGUUUGACAAUGGCAAGAACAUGUGGGCUACGCUCGAGGCCAAGUUUGGUGCCUCGGACGCCGGCAGCGAGUUGUACGUCAUGGAGCAAUUCUAUGACUCCAAGAUGACUGAUGGGCGCCCUGUUGUACAGCAGGCUCAUGAGAUACAGUUGCUCGCAAAAGAACUUGAGUACUUCAAGUGUGUGUUGGCGAACAAAUUUGUUGCCGGAGGCAUCAUUGCCAAGCUUCCACCUUCGUGGAACAAUUUUGCUACUUCCCUGAAACACAAGAGACAGGAGUUUUUCGUUGCGGAUCUCAUUGGUACUCUUGAUGUUGAAGAGAAGGCGAGAGCAAAGGAUACACGUGCUUGAGUUGCUAAGGGAGGUUCUAGUGCCCACAUGGUACAGAAGAAGAACUUCCAGCCCAACAAGUUCAAAAACAACAAGAACAAAACUUAGGGCAAAGGCAAGUUCGAUACAAAGAACAAGCCAUCACAUUCUACCAACUUCAAGAAGAACUCUCAUAAGAAGGGGAAGGGACUUUGCCAUGUCUAUGGUGAUCCUAAUCACUGGGCUCCGAAGUGUCCCAACCGCUUUGAGGAGCGCGAACAUGAGAAGAGCGGCAAGUCUGCUAAUGUUGUCAUCGGUGAUACUGAUAUGAAGGAAUCAGGGUACGGUAUUUUUCCUACCAUCCUUUCAGUAUUCCAAACCCCUGACUGGUUAAUUGACACCGGUGCCAAUGUACAUGUUUGUGCUGAUGCCUCCAUGUUUUCUUCUUACCAGGCCACUGGGACUUCUCCUAUGCUGAUGGGGAACGGGUCACAUGCCAUCGUUCGAGGUGUUGGUACGGUCGAUCUGAAGUUUACUUCGGGGAAGACCGUGCGUCUGAAGAACGUUCAUCAUGUGCCGUCCAUCAAUAAAAAUCUCGUUAGCGGUUCCCGUUUAUGUCGAGAUGGUUUUAAGUUGGUUUUCGAAUCCAAUAAAGUUAUAAUUUCUAAGUAUGGACAAUUUGUUGGAAAAGGCUAUGAGAGCGGAGGCUUGUUUCGCCUGUCUUUGUCAGAUAUUUGCACUAAAGUUAUUAAUAAUGUUUGCCACAACAAUGAGUCUGAUAUUUGGCAUUCACGACUUUGUCACAUUAACUUUGGUUGCAUGACGCGGCUAGCCAAUAUGAAUUUAAUUCCGAAAAUCUCUACUGUCAAAGGAUCUAAGUGCCAAGUAUGUGUGCAAGGUAAGCAACCUCGCAAGUCCCAUAAGACUGCAGAGGCAACAGACUUGGCGCCACUAGAGCUUAUACAUUCUGAUAUUUGUGAGAUGAAUGACGUGUUGACAAAAGGUGGAAAGAGAUACCUCAUGACGUUGAUUGAUGACUCCACUAGAUAUUGUUAUGUGUAUCUUAUGAAAUCAAAAGAUGAGGCUUUGGCUUUCUUCAAAAACUAUAGAGCUGAGGCAGAGAACCAACUUGAUCGAAAAAUUAAACGGCUUAGGUCCGAUCAUGGUGGAGAGUAUUUUUCCAAUGAAUUUGAUCUAUUUUGUGCGGAACAUGGUAUAAUCCAUGAGAGGAUGCCUCCCUACUCACCCCAGUCAGAUGGGGUAGCCGAAAGAAAGAACCAAACUCUAACUGAUAUGGUUAACACCAUGUUAGACACUUCGGGUCUAUCCAAGGAAUGGUGGGGGGAGGCGCUAAUGACUGCGUGUCAUGUCCUAAACCGAGUUCCCACAAAGCAUAAGACCAUGACUCCAUUUGAGGAAUGUUAAAGGAAAAGGUUGAAACUCUCUUACCUACGUACUUGGGGUUGUUUGGCGAAAGUCAAUAUACCAAUUCCCAAGAAGCGCAAGCUUGGACCAAAAAUCGUGGGUUGUGUUCUUCUUGGCUAUGCUUUUCAUAGCAUCGGCUAUAGAUUUUUGAUAAUAAAAUCUGAGGUAUCCGACAUGCAUGUUGGUACGAUUAUGGAGUCGAAUGAUGCAACUUUUUUUGAGGACAUAUUUCCUAUGAAGGAUAUGUCGAGUUCAUCAAAUCAGGAGACACCUACUCCAUCUAGUGAGGAAUUCAUUGUAAUUCCUGAACCCACCAUUGCGAUGGAACACAUUGAGAAUCCUGUUGAGGGUGACAAUGGAACUCUUGUGAGGAGUAAGAGACAUAGGACUACAAAGUCCUUUGGUGAUGAUUUCAUUGUGUACCUCGUGGAUGACACACCCAGGACUAUUUCAGAAGCCUGUGCAUCUCUUGAUGCUGACUACUGGAAGGAAGCUGUACGUAGCGAGAUGGAUUCCAUCUUAGGUAACGGAACCUGGGAGAUCACUGACCGUCCUUAUGGGUGAAAACCUGUAGGAUGUAAGUGGGUGUUCAAGAAGAAGCUUAGACCUGAUGGUACGAUUGAAAUGUACAAGGCACGGCUUGUGGCCAAGGGUUAUACCCUGAAAGAAGGUGUAGACUUCUUUGAUACUUACUCACCCGUGGCUAGACUGACCACAAUUGGGUGCUACUAUCACUUGUUGCCUCACAUGGUCUUCUCGUUCAUCAAAUGGACGUUAAGAACGCUUUCCUCAAUGGAGAGUUGAAGGAGGAAAUUUACAUGGAUCAGCCAGAUGGUUUUGUAGUACCUGGUUAGUAAGGAAAGGUGUGCAAGUUAUUAAAGUAUUUAUAUGGCCUUAAACAAGCUCCUAAAGAGUGGCAUGAGUAGUUUGAAAGAACAUUAACUGCUACCGGCUUUGUAGUAAACGAUGGUGACAAGUGCGUGUACUAUCGCUAUGGUGGGGGCGAAGGAGUUAUUCUUUGUUUGUAUGUCGACGACAUAUUGAUCUUUCGAACCAAACUUGAUUUAAUCAAGGAGGUUAAGGAUUUCUUAUCUCGCUGUUUUGAGAUGAAGGAUCUAGGAGUAGCUGAUGUUAUCUUAAACAUCAAGCUGUUGAGAGAUGAGAAUGGUGGGAUCACACUGCUUCAGUCACACUAUGUGGAAAAGGUCUUGAAUCGUUUUGGGUAUAGCGACUGCACACCUUCUCCAACCCCAUAUGAUGCUAGCAUGUUGCAUCGAAAGAAUCGACGGAUUGCUAGAGAUCAACUGAGGUAUUCUCAUAUUAUUGGCUCGCUUAUGUAUUUGGCGAGUGCCACGAGGCCAAACAUCUCGUUUGCUGUUAGCAAGCUGAGUCGGUUUGUGUCAAAACCAGGAGAUGAUCAUUGGCAUGCACUUGAGAGAGUUAUGUGCUAUUUGAAAGGCACCGCGAGCUAUGGGAUUCACUACACCGGGUAUCCAAGAGUACUGGAGGGUUAUAGUGACUCAAACUGGAUAUCUGAUGCUAAUGAGAUUAAGGCCACAAGUGGUUAUGUUUUUACACUUGGUGGUGGCGCUGUUUCUUGGAAGUCCUGCAAGCAGACCAUCUUAAUGAGGUCAACUAUGGAAGCAGAACUCACAACAUUAGAAACUGCCACUGUUCAAGCAGUGUGGCUUCAUGAGCUCUUGAUGGACUUUCCUAUGAUUGAAGAACCAAUACCCCCUAUCCCAAUGAACUGUGAUAAUCAAACUAUGAUCGUCAAGAUAAAUAGUUCUAAGGACAAUAUGAAGUCCUCAAGGCAUGUGAAGAGGAGACUGAAAUCUGUCAGAAAAUUGAGGAACUCCGGAGUUAUUACGUUGGAUUAUAUCCAAACGUCAAAAAAAUUGGCAGAUCCCUUCACAAAGGGUCUAUCACGUAAUGUGAUAGAUAAUGCAUCGAUGGAGAUGGGUCUGAGACCCACCGCAUGAGUUGUCCAUAGUGGUAACCCACUCUUUGUGAUCGGAUAUCCCGUGAAGUAUAAGUGGGAGACAAGCUGUUGGUCAGCUGGGAGGAGAGUAUCCCUAUAUUACCUGUCCCACUCCAUGAAGAUGCAAUACUCUCCUAAUCUGCAUGGCAGGUUGAUACUUAUCUUAAUGUGUUCCAAGUGGCUUAUUCGGGUAAGCAGAGAUGUUGUCCUGCAGAACAUCUUCUGAGGAACACACCUAUAUGAAUUUGACUGUUAACGUCGCAGUCUGUGAGAAUUGGGUGUUCUCUAAUAAAUUCAUGAAAAGGCCCUGGAGUAUGACGUAUACGCUCCACCCGCAGGGAAGCCUUGCGGCAGCCCAGUAUCGGUCAAGAAUUUGUGUGAAACUAGUUGCGCAGAAAAUUUGUAGUUCAAGGCAUAGUCCACUAUUCAAGUUGUGAUCUAGUGUAGCAUAAAUCUCUAAGUGGAAGUUCAACUUCACAGUCUCCACUAAGCCCCGGUAUAUAAACAAUGUUUUGGAACUAAAUGAUGAGAUGUGCCAAUGAGACUUUGUGGGGGAUUGUUGGAAUUUUGCUAGUAGGCCUUUGGCCCAAAGCCCAACUAAAAUUCUGAAAUUGUCUUGGCCCAUUCAUGCACACAUGUGAGUGGAGUGAGUGAGACUAAAGUUUAGUCCCACCCCGGAAGUUGAGAGAGAGCACCUCUUUAUAAGGUGAGCUCUUCUACCACUUGUAUGAGCAUGAGAAUAGGAGACCUACACACGCGCUCCUCCUCCUCGCUCGCCACGCCACCCCUCGUCACGACGCGCCGCGGGUUGCGGGAUUGAGCCGAGCCGAGGACAGAGCUAUGCACAUUGUCUAUUUUUUGCUACCCGAAAAAAUUAAUGAGUCAUUAAUUAAUAAUUAAUGGACACGUUAAUUACUAAACCGUUUUCGAUUCUUUUGGAUCAUGAAGACUCGGACAUGGGGUUUACUCCCACGACCUACCGGGCCCGCAUUAUAUAGUCCGGCAGACGUCUACCCUAGCUGCCGCCGCUUCAUAUGGUUUCUUACCACCGUUCCAGAUCAUUGCGCCGCCAAGCAAGUCUUCUCCAUCCGUCCCUUCGGCGUGCAUCGGGAGAAGGGACAACAGGCCUCCGGAACCCCGCCUCUCGUGAUCCUGUACGGGAGAGGGGCGAUCAGGUUUUUGGGGAGCGCACUCGCGCGACUGCUGGCAGCGACGACUUCGCGAAUGACGACUUUUUCCCUGACCUCGGCAACCUCAUCCUCGACGACAUGGGCGACAACGUCAACGCCGGCGGUGCUGCACCCGCUGCACCUUAUGUUAUUCUAUCCUUCUUGUUCGAGAUCAUGGUAGAAUUCACGUUUCUAGUAUAUGCCCUAGAUGUGAUCUGUUCAUCUACUAUGCUAGUUCGCAUGAUUAGUUUAAUAUCUGCUAUUGCUGUCAUGAUCUAUUUCCUAUUUAUUCGGAUUAAAUCUCGUAGUAAUUUGCUCAUUUUUCCAAUAGUACCAUCUAAUAGAUGAUGUAAAUCUCCUCUAGUUUGACGUUGUUGAGCUAAUUUACAAAAAAAACCUCAUCAUUAUUGGACGUCCUUAACAGCUCAAGAACAAGUUGGGGUCGAACUAAUGGAUUUUACACUUUUACAUUAAAGGUUUAGCUAAAGCUAGCAGGUGUUUUUAAACCUGAAUUUUUUUCCUCCUGAAUUUCUUUGUAUUUUCUUAUUGACACUAUUUAUACAAUCAUCUGACAAAGAUUAGCUAAAGCUGUUUGUAGAUACGUUGAAACCUGAAAAGCUUCUUUGGUUAUCCUUUUAAUAGUUCUACGUUUAUUUUCUCAUAGGUCAUAAUUCUUAUGUAAUACCAAGAUGCAUUGUGGUAGUGUACAUGUGUUAAAUUCAGGUUGUUAUUCACAAUUUGCGACAAAAUUUAGCUCACGCUACAUUCAAAUAUGUUGAAAUGUGAAAGCUUUUUUUUCUUCUCCUUUCUACACCUUGCAUCGGAUUGCAUCCCUUUAGUUAUCCAACAUUUUGUACAACAUGUAGAGAUUAGGAAGUUCAUCAUAGUUUGUUUAUUUCGGUGCUAAUAAAUGUAUGAAAUCUGCAUUUCCAAGCUACUAGGACAAGUAAAAAAUAAUAAUUUUACUAUAGGAUUCAAAAACAGCAGUUCUGAAGUGCACUUUAUUUAUUUUUGAAAGUGAUCACAUUUUGUUUCAUUUUUCUAUAGACAAAUCUACUAAUACAUACUCACGAUAAAACUAUAAAAGUUCUAGUCCGCACAUUGGGCGGGCCACCCGGCUAGUUAGUCUAAAGAUAACAAAAUGAGUCUGGAAUUUGAAUUAAAUUGAAGUAUUUUCUUGGACUUUCAAAUUGAGUUUUAUUAAAGUAGUAAGGACUAUCCACAUCCUUGGCUUGCCCCUGAUCAAUUAUUUCCAGAGAAGCAUUCAAUUCAUCAAUCAAUUACAUUGAUUUUAGUGGCUGGUACUUCUCCUCAACAUCAGUAUAUUCACCGUGGCCACUCCAAAUCGGCAAGAAUGAGGUACCAGUGCUCUGGAGCAGUGCAAGCUAAUUGCUUCUCAUCUGAAGGGGUGCGGCCGCAGGAGAGGUAUUUCUGGUGGGCCAAGGGACUAAGAAGCGACUGUGGCAGCGGUAUAGACGCCCGCAAAGCCCCAUAAUUUGUUUUUGGUUUACAGGAAAAAUGCACAUCCAUACCAGCCUGGGGAAUAUAGGACCGUAUUGGAUGGAAAACCAUGUCCGGAUGGUUGCGAGCGGUUUAAGGGUUAGCUUUUGUAACGCCCGGUUAGUUAUGCUAUAGCAAUUCCCUGCUAAUGAUGUCACGUUACCACGAUUACUGUUGUUAACCUCACAAUGAUUCAAUCCCCUUCAAAUUGAAAUUUAAAAUAAAGGCAAACAUCAAAAGUUUUCAAAUAUUAAAACUAAAAUCUUUGAGAGGUGACAAAUAAUGCAUAAGUAAUUAUGGUGGAGAAACCACACUUUAAUCAAAUGUUUAAAUACUCUAAAAUGAAAAAAAACAGUUGCUUAAACUAUUAUUUAAAUGCUUUUAAAAUAGUAAAAAUCUUCUAACUAAAUUAUUUGGGUACCAAACUUUUGGUGGCAGUGGUAUAUUUAGUACAACUAAUUUAGAUGCUAAUUAUAUAAAAAGGAAAAGCAAAAGGGGGCAACCCCUCGCUGGGCCUCGGCCUAGCUGCCACUAGGCUAGCUAGGCUGGCCCCGCCGCCUCCCUUAACCCCCCCCCCCCACUCCCCAUCGAACCCAAGCCCGAUCGCCCCACUUCCCCCANNNNNNNNNNNNNNNNNNNNNNNNNNNNNNNNNNNNNNNNNNNNNNNNNNNNNNNNNNNNNNNNNNNNNNNNNNNNNNNNNNNNNNNNNNNNNNNNNNNNNNNNNNNNNNNNNNNNNNNNNNNNNNNNNNNNNNNNNNNNNNNNNNNNNNNNNNNNNNNNNNNNNNNNNNNNNNNNNNNNNNNNNNNNNNNNNNNNNNNNNNNNNNNNNNNNNNNNNNNNNNNNNNNNNNNNNNNNNNNNNNNNNNNNNNNNNNNNNNNNNNNNNNNNNNNNUUGAUCCCAUCUGGAUCGGGGAGGGUAAUGCCCCAAUCGACCCCGUUGCCGUCGCGGGAUUGCCCGCCGACGUCGCCAGGCCUCCUCCCCGCCACCCGUCUCCGGCUCGCCUCCCCUCUCGCUCCUCUUCCCCGACCCGAUCUGGAUCGUGAACGAGCAAUGAGCUCGAAGCCCCCUUCACCGGCGCCAUCACCGUGCGCCACCACCACCGCCUGAAGACCUCACCGUCGCCGAACCUUGCGUCGCCUCCUCGUAUCCCUCCCCUACUCGCGUCCUCAAGCCAGGCCGAGCCCCUUCUCGGCAACGCCGUGAGACGCCCCCGUCUCCCUCCUCUUUCCACUGCGUUCACCGCGCCGCCCGCCGUGCCCCUCGCCGUGCGCACGCCCACCACCGCACCAGCCCCCGCUCCGCGCACGACCCUACCCGCGUCCGCGCCAUGAUCCCCUUUUCCACCCUACCUUCCUGCGCUCGCCGCGGUCCUGAUGCUCCCCCGCGCCCUCUUUUGGGGGCGCCGACUGCCCCUGUCCCACUGCUCGCCGCCGUGCCUCGCCAUCGCUCUACUGCUAAGUUAUUGCUGCGCUGCGGCCGUCGCCUCUUCCCGCUGCUCCGCCAGCGCCGAAGCUCCCGAUUGGCUCCACCACUUCUCACGUUAAACCGCCGGCCUAAAUGGCCUAACCCCCGGCUAAUGAACCCCCACUAUCCCACUGACACCGGGACCCACAUUCCCUAAUUAACCAUUUAAUAAAUUAAAACUCUUAAAUUAACAUUAGUGUAUGACAUGUGCGUCCCCUAUUAAUUUAUAAUUUUACUGCUAGUUUUAUUAGUUUCUGUUUUUUCUGCAUAUUUCUUUUGUAUUUGAACAGGCUUUAUAUAAUAAUAUUUAGCGUCUCAUACACAUAUAAAUGUAAUUAUAGCAUAUACAUACAAAUAGUCUCAUCAAAUCAUGUCAUCACCAUAAUCAUCAUCCAUCACAAAGUGAUCUCUCGUCAUCAUCUCGAAAAUAGCAAUACAAGUCUCGAUUACUUGCAACUACAUCGUCAUCCAUCUAAACAAUGAUAUACGCGAGAAGCGCUAUCACUAUGAGUGAGAGCGGAACUAUGCAGUACAUGAGUUUGUAUCCCUCUCUCACAUUAGCGUGAACCUAAACUAACUACUGGCUGUUGCUCGGAAACCGGAAACCGGUACACCUGGGCCUGACACUCCGGCCACUCGUCGUAUACUCCUGGCGUAGCACUUCUUCGCCAUCGAUGAUCUAUAAACCUACAUCGUCAGAUGAGUCGAUGAUAUGCAACAUAUAUAGUUGAGCAACAGAAAGAGACAGACUUGGCAAAAAUAGAAGCAACAUAUCAUAAGCAUAAAUAACAAAGUUCAUCGUACGCAAAAUGCCCUAACUAGAGUGAUCUUCGCUAGUCGAGGAGGACGGUUUAAUUACAUCACAAAUAAUUUUUCGUCGUGCAUAACUCAAAGUUCCGUCAUACAGAAAGUAUGAACUAAAUGGACACAUUGUCAUAUUUCAAAAAUCACUCCCACAUGUCGUGCCAUCCAUCCAAGUCAAGGAGAUAGUGCCCGAGCUUAGUGAAAGGCUUUAGGUCGAGACGCUGAGCGGCUAUGCGUGUUCGGACGUCUUCCCACGACAUUUGUCCUUCUUCAUAGAACAUCCCUGUUUUUUCGACGACCUCCUUCAUCACUGGAAGAAAAAGGGCCUGUUGUCCCGGUUCUGGAACCGGGACUAAAGGGUCGGUACUAAUGCCCUGUCCCUUUAGUCCCGGUUCAAUCCAGAACCAGGACAGUUGGGCCUCCACGUGGCCUGUGCGCGGAGCCUAGGCGGGAGACCCUUUGGUCCAAUAAGCAUCCACGCAUCAGCAUUUAUGUGGUUGGGGUUUUUGUUUUUUUUGAAGGGGGGGGCAUUGGGGGUUUUGGGGGGUUAAUUUUGGUGUUUCAUAUAUUGUGUUAGCUAGCUAUAAUUAAUAGAGAGAAUUGUCCUCUCUUAUGUCCGUGCUUGCUCGACGCUACGUACUAUACAUACGUAUAGAGAGGACUAGACACGGUAGCUAGCUAGUAAGCAAACGAAGGAAAUAGAAGAUCGUCAUGAACAUAUAUGCAUACAGAGAGAAGUAAUAUCGACCACCUCUCCUUCUCCGAGAGAUUGGUCGAACAACAAGUUCUCAUAUAUCUAUCCGACACUACCGGCUACAUAUAUACAAUAAUUAUCUCUUACAAAUAUAAUCAUACGGAUUCAGGGUCCACAUAGUAUUCUCUGUCUUCAAGGAUCACGUGGUCAAGAAAGAAUGCCGCCAAUUCCUCUUGAAUUGCUCGCAUGCGAGCUGGUGCUAGGAGUUCAUCCCGCUUCCGAAACAUCUAAUUUAAAGAAGGGGGUUAAUACAUAUAUACAUAUAUAUAUAUAUAUAUAUAUAUAUAUAUAUAUAUAUAUAUAUAUAUGAAUGAAUGAAACUCAACACGAAUGAUGGUAAUAAAAUAAAAUUGUGAAUGUUGUUAUUUACGUACUUCAUAUUGUUCGUCAGUGUAGCCCCGCUCAUAGGUCGUGUGGCGGAUGGACUCGCAAACGUAGUAUCCACAGAAAUCAUUCCUUUGUUCCUGCCACAACCACUUUAUAAGAAAUAGAGGUCAAUCAAACUGAUAAGCAAGAAUGCCAAAUGGUAUUGAUGAAACUUGUCAGGACCCCGAUUCCAAGCCACAUCGAUCUAGCCGGUAACACCUCAUAUCACUUUGCGGCCUCACGCACGAUAUUCCACGGGUGUCGCCUUACCAUGGCCCGGGACCGUUUGCGCCUUUUGGCUCACGUAUAUGAUAGUGUUGCUAGCAUCCAUAUGACAGAGAACCCGGGCCGACAUGGCUAGUCGUGAACCCAAAGUGGCACAGACCUAUGGAGACAGGCAUACAUGAAUCACAUCGAGCAUGUCGGUCAUCAGUGUGUGAUUCCGGGCUGUAGCACUGGGCUAACAGGACUCCGGGGAACCCGGGCUGUAGCAGGCUAGGCAGGACUCCGGAAGUCACCGCGUGACAUUUACCCGAAGGGACAGACAUAGGAACGAAGUGAAUCACAUGCCGGCAAGUCAAGUGUCCUGAGCAGUAGUACUGGGCUAGCAGGACUCCGGUGAACCGGGCUGUAGCGGACUACUAUGGCUCGAGGAACACUAGACUACAUUUCCCCAUAAGAAAGGCUGCCAAGGAUAAACAACUAGAUUGUCGGAUCCCACUCAUACCAAGCAUUUCAAUCAUACACACAAUAUGCCCGAUAUGAGUACAUACAACAUGGCAUCACAACAAAACUCUACAACUCAAGUACUUUAUUUAAAGGCUCUAGAGAGCCAUACAUAACAUGUUCAUACAGAUAGGGGUCACAUGACCCGACACUCAAGUCAUACAAUCAUACAAGCACAUGCGGAAGCAACCGGUCUGAGUACAGACACUAGAAAGAAAGAAGGCUCCUCGAGGCCUGUCUAUCUACAUAGGGCCCUCCAUGGCCAGGAUCACCACCUGGGUGGCUAGUCACUCGUCGAUGUCAAGGUCUACAUAGAACCCAUCGAAGGGGGCUGUGUUGUCGUCUGAAAACAGUAAUUAAGCAAACAUGAGUACAAAGGUACUCAGCAAGUCUUACAAAAGAACCUACUAUACAUGCUUAUUCUCAAGAAGGUGGUGGGGAUAUUGCAGCAAGCCAGUUUUCACUCUUGGCUAAACUAUCCUACAGAACUUCUCUAGUAAAAUAGUUUUCGCACACGAGUCCACUACUCACCAACACAAUACUCCACCGGGGAUCCUCCCUCGUCAUCCUAUGAGAGGGCCAUCCUCGGUACUCACACUUAUCUUGACUAUUUUAGUAGUAUCCAUUUAAUUGUCUAUGAACUGUAUAGGCAACCAAGUAGUCCUUUACCGCGGACGCGGCUAUUCGAAUAGUUUUAUACCCUGCAGGGGUGUACUUCGUCAUACAUGCUUUCACCACUUAUCGUCGUUUACACGACAUGUACUCGGCAACCUUCAAGCGAAAGCCCAGCGAGGGUGUCGGCCACGGCCUACCUAAACACUUAAGUCUCUAGUCCAGGUUUAUCGCCUAUCUAGGUUCCAUCCGCAGGGAGUCCGGGCGAGGUUUCCACAUACGGCCCCGAACGAUGUGAACAGGGUCCCGAGACGCCAAACGGGCGCCCGGCAUACCCGGCCAUGGUGUAUCUACCGCAACAUAGCCCACCCUUAGGGUCAGCGCUACGCACGGCCGCCAACACAUAACCUACAAACACCAGAAACUAUUUGCAACUCCUAGACAGAGUACAAGGGUGAUUAAGAAGCCGAGAGGGUCAAUUAAGGAUCCCAAUGCAUGGUAGUAGCUGAAUCUUAAAUCACACAUACCGAUCUCAGUUCUUAGGGACGGUCUCAAUGAAACAACCCACCAUGUACUCCUACAUGGCCUCUCAUCGAUACCUUUACCAAAACAUGUUCAACACAUUCCUCAUAUUACCGACAUAAUCAUAUCACCCUAGCCCAUCACCCAGAUGAACCAGACCUGACACAACUAUAAGCAUAGCAGGCAUAGCAAGGUAGGAAUCACAUACAUGGCUCAAUCAACUCCUACACAUGCUAGUGGGUUUCAUCUAGUUACUGUGGCAAUGACAGGUCAUGCAGAGGAUAAGGGUUCAACUAUCGUAGCACACAGCAGUUUGAAUCACAUUGUCUUAAUGCAGUAAACAAGAGCAGAGGCAAGAACAUGGGUUGUAUCGGAAUGAUCAAUGGGUUGCUUGACUGAUGGAGUGGUAGUGGGAUACUGCCCUUCAGUUGGAUACUCAUGAAUAUCCUCGGAGGCAGAACCUACCACGAAGAACACAUCGGAACACAAUCAACACAUGAUGAUAUGCAACAAUAUGAUGCAUGCUAUGACAUGGCAAUAUGAAUGUGUCUUGGCCUAAUGCAAGCUAAAAUAGAAAGGGAUGAACUCAUUUGAAUCAAAGAUUCAAAUAUUAGCUCAUUAAACAUGGCCUUAGUAGUGCAUUUCCUUAUUCUGCUUAAACAGCAAGGUAAACUUGUUUUUUCAUGCUUGAAACCAUUACAGAUGGAUAUAUUGAAUUUUUCUGAUAAUUUUUCAUAUAUAAAUUAUUUCAUUUGGAGUUACGGUUGAAUUUCUAUGAUUUUUAGAAGUUUCAAACAUUUUCUGGAAUUUCUUGAAUAAAAAUAAAUCCAGAAAAUGCAUUACUGCGUCAGCAUUGCAUCAUGCUGACCUCCGCAGGUCAAAGGCACCAGCCUAGGUCAAACCUGACUGGUGGGCCCCUUCUGUCAGUCUCUCAGUUAAAUAACAGGAUUAGAUUAACACUAAUUAGCUGUCAGUGGGGCCUGGGCCCACAUGUCACUGACUGAUUAAAAUAAAAUUAGUUAAAACUAAUCCUAGAUUAGUUAGCAAACCGGCCCCACCUGUCAUAGACUUAGGGGGGGUCUACCUGGGCCCACCCAGGGUCAAACUGGGUCAAACUCGCCGGCGCAGCUCGGAAAACGCCUACAGGGCACGAGCGAGGCCGUUCUUGGGCUCAUUGGAGAGCUCUUGCAGUCGCGCAUCUAGUGGCGGUGGUGGCCGGAGACGACGACGGCGAGCUCCAAGGCGGCGGCCGGAGUUCGGCCAUGUGCGGGGUGUCGGCUGUGGCGUGCAAACGUGGAAACUGAGGCACUAGCGAGGCACUACGCGAUGCGGCAAGCACGUUGCAUAGCACGGGAUAAUCAAAUGGUUGCCGGAGCGGCACCGGUGACAAGCUCGAGCGGAGACGAGCUUCGGCCAUGGUGGAACUAUGGCCUAGAGGGUGCAAACGCGUGGAAAAGAAGAGGGGAAAGGUGGCGGAGCUCACAGGGAGGUCGAUGAGCAGCUCAGUGGGCUCGGGGGCGACAGAAGUGAGGCGAAUCGAUGAGCAGCGUCCGGCGGGUACCGAGGUUGAAGACGAUCCGAUGGCGGCGAUGCAGGGCCUCCGGCGAUGCGUGGCUCGGUGGGAAGGGCGAGGGGGUGACGGAGGGCGCGACUACGGCGGUGAGACGGCGACGGGUGCGUCGGCCAUCGCGGGAGAGGGAGAGGGAGAUGAGUGGGAGAGUGAGAGAGGAUGAGAGGGGGACGUGGGGGUCGCGUGGCAUUCCCUGGACGUCUCCCGGCAUCGGCGGAAGCAGGAGGUGGCCGGCGUGUGGCCGCGGGCGCCGGCCACGCGCUCUGCGUCCUUCUGGCGCGAGGAGGACGACGACUGGCAGCGCCAGUAGGCUGGGCCGAGCCAGGUGGGCUGGCCAGCACAGGUAAGGCUCAGGUGGGCUUCUCCCUCUUUUUUUUAAUUUGUUUCUGUUUUCUAUUUAACUGUAAAUGUUGGGCUUUAUUUAAAAUACUAAAACAUUUCCAAAAAUCCUGAAAAUAAUUGUGGGCUCUGUUUGGAUUAUUUCCAAUAGCAAACAUUUAUUUGCAGAAUUAUUUGAGCAUUUAAAUGCCCAAAUUCAAAUACUUAUGAUUUAAAUCAAUGACCUUCUGUUGACCUAGAAAAGUUGUGCACCAAUUUUGCCAGAGGUUCUAACCCAAGACAAAGAGGGUGAACUUUUUAGAAGGGCAUUUCAGGUUCAUUGAAAAUAAUUUUAGUAAUCCCUAGUUGUUUCCAGGGGGGUGUUGGGGGUUUCUGCCUUCCCCAAUUCAAAUUUAAGAGGAAUUUAAACAUGAUGCACAUUCUAAUGCUUGAACUAGCUAGGGUGUGACAACUCACCCCCACUCAAAAGAAUCUCGUCCCGAGAUUUAGGAUCCUCUGGAAAGAAGGUGGGGUACUCGAGUCGAAGACGAUCCUCCCUUUCCCAAGUGGCUUCUUUCUCGGAAUGGUGUGUCCAUUGAACCUUGAGAAACUUGAUAUUAUGACGUCGAGUGGUACACUCGGCUUGAUCAAGGAUACGAACGGGAUAUUCCCGAUAAGAGAGGUUAUCUUGUAGAUCAAGCAUUUCGUGGUCCACUCCACGGAUAGGAUCCGCGAAGCAACGCCUGAGUUGUGAAACGUGGAAGACAUCAUGAACUCUGGAAAGAUGCGGAGGUAGUUCCAAUUGGUAGGCAACUUCUCCUCGUUUGGCAAGAAUGCGAAAGGGUCCAAUGUAACGAGGAGCCAAUUUGCCUUUGAUACCGAAAUGAUGGGUUCCUUUUAAUGGGGUAACCCGAAGGUAAGCCUUCUCGUCGAUUCAUAAGUCAUAGGCUUAUGUUUACGAUCAUAUUGACUCUUUUGACGAGAUUGGGCUGUUUUCAAUUUCUCACGAAUAACGCGAACCUGCUCUUCCGCUUCCUGAAUCAUAUCCGGGCCAAAGAGUUGUCUUUCCCCGGUUUCUGACCAGUUAAGAGGCGUUCGACAUUUUCGUCCAUAGAGAACUUCGAAAGGAGCUUUGCCCAAGCUAGCUUGAUAACUAUUGUUAUAAGCAAACUAUGCGAAUGGGAAGCAUUUCUCCCAACUCAUUCCGAAUGAGAUAACAGAAGCUCGGAGCAUAUCUUCUAGAAUUUGAUUGACUCGCUCUACUUGACCACUUGAUUGAGGAUGGAAGGCGGUACUAAAAGAGAGACGAGUUCCCAUAGCAUUUUGGAAACUUUCCCAAAAUCGAGAGGUGAAGAGACUCCCACGGUCUGAGUUAAUUUCCAAUGGGACACCAUGGAGAGACACUAUUCGGGAGAUGUAUAAAUCGGCUAGCUGGCUAGCAGUGAUACUCGCACGAACAGGUAGGAAAUGGGCUACUUUGGAAAGACGGUCGAUCACGACGAAGAUGGCAUUAUUCCCUCUCUUGUUCCUGGGAAACCCAGUAAUGAAAUCCAUACUGAUUUUAUCCCAUUUCCAUUCAGGAAUAGCCAAAGGUUGAAGGGUGCCAGCAGGCCGUUGAUGCCCUGCUUUAACACGAUGACAGACGUCGCAGCUAGCAAUGUAUCGAGCGAUUUCUCUCUUCAUCCUAGUACAUCAAAACCUCUGGCGUAGGUCUUGAUACAUUUUAUUGCUACCGGGAUGAAUGGUGAGAGGGGAUUCAUGAGCUUCCUUAAGGAUCAAUUGGCGUAGAUGUUGUUUCUUGGGAACCACCAAACGGUUCUCAAAGAAGACAGCACCCCGCUUAUCCAUGGAAAAACAUUUAGCAACUCCGCUAGCAAUGUUUUCCUUAAUCCGGGAUAUGCCCUUAUCAUACCGCUGGGCAGUUAUGAUCUGAUCCAUAAGGUUAGGUUUCGCCACCAGGGUGGAUAGGAAUCCUCGAGGAACAAUGUGAAGAUUAAGCUUACGGAAUUCCUCAUGGAGAAGUGGUUGACUUUGUUGUAACAUCAGGUUGUUACAAUAGGAUUUACGGCGUAGUGCAGCAGCCAUGACAUUGGCUUUGCCCGGUGUGUAGGUUAUUCCUAAGUCGUAAUCCGAGAUCAACUCAACCCAACGUCUUUGCCUGAGAUUCAAAUCUGGUUGGGUGAAGAUAUAUUUCAAGCUUUGGUGAUCGGUGAAGAUCUCGCAACGAUUAAGUGCAUGGACUACAGCUGCCAGCUCUAGAUCAUGUGUGGGAUAAUUUUCCUCAUGUGGGUGUAAUUGCCGUGAAGCGUAGGCAAUUACCUGACGAUCUUGCAUGAGUAUGCAACCUAGUCCUUGUCGCGAGGCGUCACAAUAGAUAAUAAAGUCCUUGGAUAAAUCAGGUGGUACCAGUACGGGAGCAGAUGUCAGGCGUCUUUUCAGUUCCUAAAAGCUGAACUCGCACUGUGGAGUCUACUCGAACUUUUUAUCUUUCUUGAGGAGUUUAGUUAGAGGUUUAGCAACCUUGGAGAAAUUCUCGACGAAGCGGCGGCAAUAGCUCGCUAAGCCAAGGAAGCUCCAAACUUGCUUGACCGUCUCAGGUGGAGUCUAAUCAAGGACGGCUUGAACUCGCUCGGGAUUGACGGCAAUACCCUUACCAGAGAUUACAUGGCCUAGAUAGGUUACUUCUGGCAACCAAAAUUCACACUUGGAGAAUUUGGCAUAAAGGCGAUGCUCUCGAAGUUUCAUCAAUACCAGCCUUAGAUGUUCGGCAUGUUCCUCUUCAUUCUUGGAGUAGAUUAGUAUGUCAUUGAGGUAUACUACGAUGAAUUUAUCCAAGUACUCCAUGAAAACCGAGUUCAUUAGCCGGGAGAAGGUAGCCGGGGCAUUGGUUAAACCGAAGGACAUAACGGUGUACUCGUAUUGGCCAUAACGAGUAACAAAGGCCGUUUUGGGAAUGUCCCCGUUUCUGAUUUAGAUUUGAUGGUAGCCCAACCUCAAAUCCAUCUUGGAAAAGACUGAGGAUCCAGCAAACUAAUCAUACAGAUCAUUGAUCCUGGGAAGUGGGUAUUUGUUCUUGAUGGUGACCAAGUUGAUAGGUCGGUAAUCCACAACCAUUCGAUCUGUUCCAUCCUUCUUGACGAAGAGGACGGGGCAAGCCCAAGGAGAGGAACUAGGACGGAUGAAACCCUUUUUCAAGGACUCAUCGAGUUGGUUCUCAAGCUCGGCUAGUUCUAAGGGUGCCAUCUUGUAGGGUCUUCUAGAAAUUAGAAUGGUUCCUGGAACAAGGUCUAUCACAAACUCGACAUCCCUGUCAGGUGGAACACCUGGCAGUUCUUCUGGAAAGGCAUCCGGAAAGUCUCGGACUACCGGAACAUCCUCAAGGUCUGGAAGGGGGUUGGCAUUUAGGGAGUAAAGUUGGCACUUGGCCACUCGAGUUAAGACAUUAACUGUCUUGCCCGAUGGGUGAGUAAGUUGAACGGUUCUAGUGGCACAGUCAAUCUUAGCAUAAUGAGCUGACAUCCAGUCCAUACCUAAGAUGAUGUUUAUGUCCGAGGACUUGAGAGCUAUUAAGGAUGCAAGGAAGACAAGUCUAUCGACAAGAAUUUCGUUCCCAUGGCUUACUCUAGAAGUUUGCCAUCUAGAGCCAGGGGUUUGAAUUUCCAUGGUAGAGGGCAUGUCACAGAAUGUCGUGUUGUGCAAUCGAGCAUAGUUCUCGGAUAUGAAUGAAUGAUAUGCUCCAGUAUCGAAAAGAACAGAUGCCGGAUGGCAGUUAACAAGGAGCGUACCAAGGACGACGUUGGGAUCCUCAUGAGCCUCCUCGGCUGAAACAUAGUUGACAUGGCCACGUGCAGUGGUGGCUGGCUUAGCGUAGAAUGUUUUUCCCGCGGGCUUACCACGGCCAACGGACUUUCCAGUUUGAUUGGGGUUGUUGUUCUGGGGACACUCUCGGCUAUAGUGACCCGGCUCUCCACACUUAAAGCAUGUCACCACAUUGGGGCGUGGAGCAGCAUUAGCAGCGGGGCCACCAUAGGGCUUGGGCGGUGCAAAUUGCUGGUUGGGACGUGGUGCCUCAAAGGAUGGCCUCGGGAUGAACCUGGGUGGCAGUGCCGUGCUUGGAAUCCACACCCGGCGCUUCUGAGCUCCAGAGCCGAUGAAGAGCCAAAAUCACGGGAGUGCUUGCGUGAAGUGUCAUAAUCAGUCUGGCCUUUCUCAGCACUGAUGGCUUUAUGGACCAACUUCUAAAAGGAGGUGCACUUGUGCAGACGAAGACCACGGUGAAGCUCAGGGCUAAGUCCCUUGCGGAACCUUGCCUGCUUCUUAGCAUCAGUAGAUACCUCUUCAGGGGCAUAACGUGCCAGAUUCCCAAAUUCACGACUGUAAGCAUCCACAGUCAGUCUUCCUUGGGUGAAGUUGCAGAACUCCUCCCUCUUGCGAUCCAUGAGACCUUCCGGAAUGUGAUGCUCACGGAAAGCCUCACUGAAUUCAGCCCAAGUAGUGAUUUGGCCGACCGGGCGCAUAGCUUCGAAGUUUUCCCACCAAAGGCUAGCAGGGCCUUUGAGGUGAUAGGCAGCAUAAGUAACCUUGUCGGCUUUGGCUACGUUGGCAGAACGUAGCUUGUGGGUGAUGCUGUGAAGCCAGUCAUCCACGUCGAGGGGCUCGACGGAAUGGUUAAACUUUGGUGGGUACAUCUUGAUAAAGUCAUUGAUUGACACCAACUCAUUUCGCGGGUGGCGUGCAGUGUUCUGCUCAAUCCGCUCCAGCAGGCGGUUGGUCUCACGCUUCUUUCUUUCUGCCUCCAGCAUUACUUCGGCCAGAGAAGGCGGGUGAGGCAGAUUUUCACCUCUAGCAGCACUGGCUUCCCCCUGCUCCGGGGCAACAGGGUUGCUGCGAGUAUUGACCAUCCUAGGAGAAAACAAGACAACGGUUUAGACAAGGAUGGCUCAAACUGAGCAAGGAUGUGCAGAAUGUAAUGGAUAACACGGAACACAGAGAUGUUCAUCCGUAUGUCAUGGUAAUAUAAAACUGCCAUAUAUAUACCAACGGUCAUACACAUCACACAUAGUUUAGUACAAGCCCAGGCUACAGUACAACUAUGAUGAAAGACGUUACAUCUCAUCGGAGGCAUUCCAAGCUCCUAUACAUUAUUGUCUACACCUUCGGAAUUGAUUACACGCAAAGUCAUAUUCCAAAAGUCACGCAGGACAGUGGAGAUACAACUACUACAAUACUAGUGGUACUACUACUAACUCAGACAGCUCCGUACUAGUCCUCAUAGAAGUCACCUCCAUAGCCUGGAAGUUCAACGUGACCAUCCGGGAACAGACGGUCCUGAGGAGCCUGUGGACCAUAGGGGCUUGGAUGGGGUCUUGGACCAACAAACGGUGGCCUGCGGGGACCACAGGGUGGGGUGAUGCCUCCCACAUCACGCCAAUCCACCACGUCUGGCAAAGCAGACCUCACAGGAUACAAAUCCCUUGUAUCCAUACAUCCAGCUUGCACCACAGGUGCAAACCGAGUCAAUGUGGCCCAAUGAUCAGCACGGGUAUUAAAAAGCUCCAGCCUCAAGGCCUGAUUCUCUCGGUCCUUAUAUUCGAGCAUCUCGGCAGUGGUACGAGUUAAUGAAUCCUCCUGAGUGGAGUCAGCAUAGAUAGCCUGAAGAUACCCUUGCGCUCCCGGAAGUGAAGCUAGCAUGUAUCGGAAGUCGGUGUUCCGAAGCAGGCCAGUCCGGACUCGCAUGAUUGUCAUCAUGGAAUAGGCAGCAUCCUGCACAGCCAUCUCAACAGUAACCCCGAGUCCAUAGGAACAGUGAAGGGGCUCGGUAGAUCCAGGAUAAGAAGGAAAUAUCUUGACGGUGCAGAAAUACUGGCUUUGAUUAAAGUCUCAGAAUUGCUCUUCGACGGUGUAUUCGGGAUACCAACGGUAACCCGUCUCGAUCAUGACCCGGACUAACAUAGCAGUAUGACCGGGCACGUCGAGCCACCGGGUCAGGCGAACCACUUUGUUUUGAGCACGGUUGGGCAUCUGAAAGCACAACCACAAUGCAAAGACAUCAGAAUUUCUAGGGAAAAUUGGACAGCAUAACAGCUGUAAAUGCUCAGAAAAAGAUUUGAGACAUCCACAACAGUUCGCAAUACCACUCAACAACAUCAUAUCAAGGUUCUGAUCCAAAUAGCAGCAUACUAAAAAUAGUAGAAACUGAACUGGGGCUUGUAACAACAAUCCUAUAAGCUACUACGGAUUAGUAACACGUGAACCUGAUAGAAGAAGAGAGACUAGUCCUUAACCCACAUUGAAUGAAAAGGGAAUGACUCAGAUAAGAGGCAUAGGGUAAAGGAGUAAAAGAGCCUUACGUUCCCUCCCACAAUCAAUUCCCCUACAUAUAACUAAAGCAUUUCCAGACUCGACAUCGACCAGUUUGGCUCAACGAACCUACAGGCAGUCCGGCACUGAUGCCAACGCUGUCAGGACCCCGAUUCCAAGACACAUCGAUCUAGCUGGUAACACCUCAUAUCACUUUGCGGCCUCACGCACGAUAUUCCACGGGUGUCGCCUUACCAUGGCCCGGGACCGUUUGCGCCUUUUGGCUCACGUAUAUGAUAGUGUCGCUAGCAUCCAUAUGAUAGAGAACCCGGGCCGACAUGGCUAGUCGUGAACCCAAAGAGGCACAGACCUAUGGAGACAGGCAUACAUGAAUCACAUCGAGCAUGUCGGUCAUCAGCGAGUGAUUCCGGGCUGUAGCACUGGGCUAACAGGACUCCGGGGAACCCGGGCUGUAGCAGGCUAGGCAGGACUCCGGAAGUCACCGCGUAACAUUUCCCCGAAGGGACAGACAUAGGAAUGAAGUGAAUCACAUGCCGGCAAGUCAAGUGUCCUGAGCUGUAGUGCUGGGCUAGCAGGACUCUGGUGAACCGGGCUGUAGCGGACUACUAUGGCUCAAGGAACACUAGACUACAUUUCCCCAUAAGAAAGGCUGCCAAGGAUAAACAACUAGAUUGCCGGAUCCCACUCAUACCAAGCAUUUCAAUCAUACACGCAAUAUGUCCGAUAUGAGUACAUACAACAUGGCAUCACAACAAAACUCUACAACUCAAGUACUUUAUUUAAAGGCUCUAGAGAGCCAUACAUAACAGGUUCAUACAGAUAGGGGUCACAUGACCCGACACUCAAGUCAUACAAUCAUACAAGCACAUGCGGAAGCAACCGGUCUGAGUACAGACACUAGAAAGAAAGAAGGCUCCUCGAGGCCUGUCUAUCUACAUAGGGCCCUCCAUGGCCAGGAUCACCACCUGGGUGGCUACUUACUCGUCGACGUCAAGGUCUACAUAGAACCCAUCGGAGGGGGCGGUGUUGUCGUCUGAAAACAGUAAUUAAGCAAACAUGAGUACAAAGGUACUCAGCAAGUCUUACAACAGAACCUAGUAUACAUGCUUAUACUCAAGAAGGUGGUGGGGAUAUUGCAGCAAGCCAGCUUUGACUCUUGGCUAAACUAUCCUACGGAACUUCUCUAGUAAAAUAGUUUUCGCACACGAGUCCACUACUCGCCAACACAAUACUCCACAGGGGAUCCUCCCUCGUCAUCCUAUGAGAGGGCCAUCCUCGGUACUCACACUUAUCUUGAGUAUUUUAGUAGUAUCCAUUUACUUGUCUAUGAACUGUAUAGGAAACCAAGUAGUCAUACACGCUAUUCGGAUAGUUUUAUACCCUGCAGGGGUGUACUUCGUCAUACACGCUUUCACCACUUAUCGCCGUUUACAUGACAUGUACUCGGCAACCUUCAAGCGGAAGCCCAGCGAGGGUGUCGGCCACGGCCUACCUAAACACUUAAGUCUCUAGUCCAGGUUUAUCGCCUAUCCAGGUUCCAUCCACAGGGAGUCCGGCCGAGGUUUCCACAUACGGCCCCGAACGAAGUGAACAUGGUUUCGAGACGCCAAACGGGCGCCCGGCAUACCCGGCCACGGUGUAUCUACCGCAACAUAGCCCACCCCUAGGGUCAGCGCUAUGCACGGCCGCCAACACAUAACCUACAAACACCAGAAACUAUUUGCAACUCCUGGACAGAGUACAAGGGUGAUUAAGAAGUCGAGAUGGUCAAUUAAGGAUCCCAAUGCAUGGUAGUAGUGAAUCUUAAAUCGCACAUACAGAUCUCAGUUCUUAGGGACGGUCUCAAUGAAACAACCCACCAUGUACUCCUACAUGGCCUCUCAUCGAUAUCUUUACCAAAACAUGUUCAACACAUUCCUCAUAUUACCGACAUAAUCAUAUCACCCUAGCCCAUCACCCAGAUGAACCAGACCUGACACAACUCUAAGCAUAGCAGGCAUAGCAAGGUAGGAAUUAUAUACAUGGCUCAAUCAACUCCUACACAUGCUAGUGGGUUUCAUCUAGUUACUGUGGCAAUGACAGGUCAUGCAGAGGAUAAGGGUUCAACUACUGUAGCACACAGCAGUUUGAAUCACGUUGUCUUAAUGCAGUAAACAAGAGCACAGGCGAGAACAUGGGUUGUAUCGGAAUGAUCAAUGGGUUGCUUGCUUGAUGGAGUGGUAGUGGAAUACUGCCCUUCAGUGGGAUACUCGUGAAUAUCCUCGGAGCCAGAACCUACCACGAAGAACACAUCGGAACACAAUCAACACAUGACGAUAUGCAACAAUAUGAUGCAUGCUAUGACGUAUCUUGGCCUAAUGCAAGCUAAAAUAGAAAGGGAUGAACUCAUUUGAAUCAAAAAUUCAAAUAUUAGCUCAUUAAACAUGACCUUAGUAGUGCAUUUCCUUAUUCUGCUUAAACAGCAAGGUAAACUUGUUUUGUCAUGCAUGAAACCAUUACAGAUGGAUAGAUUGAAUUUUUCUGAUAAUUUUUCAUAUAUAAAUUAUUUCAUUUGGAGUUACGGUUGAAUCUCUAUGAUUUUUAGAAGUUUUAAACAUUUUCUGGAAAUUACUGAAUAAAAAUAAAUCCAAAAAAUGCAUUACGGCGUCAGCAUUGUGUCAUGCUGACCUCAGCAGGUCAAAGGCGCCAGCCCAGGUCAAACCUGACUGGUGGGCCCCUUCUGUCAGUCUCUCAGUUAAAUAACAGGAUUAGAUUAACACUAAUUAACUGUCAGUGGGGCCUGGGCCCACAUGUCAGUGACUGAUUAAAAUAAAAUUAGUUAAAACUAAUCCUAGAUUAGUUAGCAGACCGGCCCCACCUGUCAUAGACUCAGGGGGGUCUACCUGGGCCCACCCAGGGUCAAACUGGGUCAAACUCGCCGGCGUUGAGCCGCCGGCGAGACCCGAGACAGUGGCGCAGCUCGGAAAACGCCUACAGGGCACGAGCGAGGCCGUUCUUGGGCUCGUUGGAGAGCUCUUGCAGUCGCGCAUCUAGUGCUGGUGGUGGCCGGGCCUACGGUGGCCGGAGACGACGACGGCGAGCUCCAAGGCGGCGGCCGGAGUUCGGCCAUGUGCGGGGUGUGGGCUGCGGCGUGCAAACGUGGAAACUGAGGCGCUAGCGAGGCACUACGUGAUGCGGCAAGCACGUUGCGUAGCACGGGAUGACCAAAUGGUCGCCGGAGCGGCGCUGACGACAAGCUCGAGCGGAGACGAGCUUCGGCCAUGGUGAAACUAUGGCCUAGAGGGUGCAAACGCGUGGAAAAGAAGAGGGGAAAGGUGGCGGAGCUCACAGGGAGGUCGAUGAGCAGCUCAGUGGGCUCGGGGCGACCGGAGUGAGGCGAAUCGACGAGCGGCGUCCGGCGGGUACCGAGGUUGAAGACAAUCCGAUGGCGGCGAUGCAGGGCCUUCGGCGAUGCGUGGCUCGGUGGGGAGGGCGAGGGCGUUACGGCGGAGCUUCUGGACAGGUCAGAGAGGCGAGGUGGUGAUGGAGGGCGCGACUAUGAUGGUGAGACGGCGAUUAAAAAGAAAGAUCUGGUUCACUCGUACGUGAAAAAAGUAGCAAGCGCUCGAUGCCUUCCUUUGCAUCGAUGCCAGACGCGGUGCUGGGAAUCGACAAGAUAACCGCCAAUCUACCACGAUUAAAUUCCUAGCGCCUCCUUCUAGCGCCUCCCACUGAAAAUGCCCUAAAGGUUUUGGAGGGAUUUUUUUACUGUGUCCUACUUCACGAAUCACGAGGCAAAUCAAGUAGCCGGCAUGGCCUGGCCGGUGAGUGCCAUUGCACUUACUUGCCCCAGCAAUUUUCCGCGUGCAUUGUAGAAUUCUUUCUCCGAGUCCUGUGAAUUAAAGAUGGUGCAGACAAAAAUAUAUCCUAUAUGCGUACAUGUGCAUGAUCAGAACAUGUUUUUACGUGCGUCUACUAUAAAUCAUGACCAUUUUUAACACAAAUCAUGACCAUUCAUGAUUAGUGAAUCAUACUGUCUUAACUUAUGUGAAAUCAUGUGGAGUAAUAUAAUAUAAUAUAAUAAAUAGAUAGAUCCAUGUUGUAUUAUUUUUUGUUUACAAAAAAUAUCUGUCAUUACACAUUUUGAUUUAUGCAUUUGUUUACAAAAAAAACAGUAACAUUUCAUGGUGGAAAGUUUGUAUUGUUUCAUACUGAACACCAAUGUUUUCCUGUAAAAGAAAAUAAUGCCUACGCAUAUGCUUUUAUAUUAUUAUUAUUCUUUCAAACUUAUUCAUACAGUAUUUUUGAUUGUGCAACCAUAAUUUUUAUUGUCUCUCUCGUUCCACUACAUGCUCUUACUCAAUGAUUUUUUUAUAACGGGUGUUUUUAUUAACUCAAAAUAUAGUAUCAAGCGGAUACAAAACAUAAUGAGCCACACCUGGUCUCUGCAUAACUAAGAUGCACACAGCCAAAAGCAGAUGUCUGACAAAAAUAAGAUAAGAAAAUCGACAUAUCGACAACAGUGAGUCAUAUAGUCCCGACACUAUGCCCCCGUUGAAGGACGGGGUGGAGCGAUCUGGAGAUUAUGCUGCCCUCCAUGUUGAGUAAAUACCUCCCUGGCCACUUGUUCCAAACGCAUAGACGCCGCCACGAAUAAUGGUCGGUACUCUGUUCAGUGUAGCAUACACCAUGUAGGAAGUGAGUGCUCACUCCUAGUUACUAAAUUAUGUACACACUAGUAGAAAAAGGGCCAUUUGUCCCGGUUCGUAAGGCCCAUUUGUCCCAAUUGGGGAACCGGGACUAAAGGGUCGGUACUAAAGCCCUACACCUUUAGUCCCGGUUCUUACACCAACCGAGACAGAUGGGGCUCCACGUGGCCGCUACAGCUUGCCGUGGCAGGGGGGCCUUUUGUCCCGGUUGGUAGCACCAACCGGGACCAAUAAGCUACCACGCGUCCGCAUUUGAGGGGCUAGGGUUUUUGUUUUUUUUCUGAAGGGGGGGGGGUGGGUUUGUAUGGUUAAUUUUGGGGGGUUUCACAUAUUGUGUUAGGUAGCUAAUUAAUUAAUAGAGAGAAGUGUCCUCACUUAUCUCCGUGCUUGGUCGACGCUACGUACUAUACGUAUAGAGAGGCCCUCAACACGCUAGCCAGUAAGCAAAUGAAGUAAACCAUUAAGUACAGAAGUUCGUCAUGAACAUAUGCAUACAAACAUAAGUGAUAUCGACCUCUCCUUCUCCGAGAGAUAGGUCGAACAACAAGUUUCCGUAUAUCUAUCCGGCGCUACUAGCUACAUAUAUACAAUAUUAAGAUCUCUUACAAUAUAAUCCCCUAAUUAUAUAUGAACUCAGCUUCCAGAUGGUAUUCUCCGGCUUUAUUGAUGGCGUGGUCAAGAAAGAUUCCCUCCAAUUCCUCUUGAAUUGCUUUGAUGCGAUCUUGUGGUAGGAGUUCAUCUCGCAUCUGCCACAUCUAAUUUGAAGAAGGGGGUCAAUCACCAGUAGAAUAACAACCAUUUGUCCUGGUUCAUAAGGUUAAUUUGUCCCGGUUGGGGAACCGAGACUAAAGGGUCUUUACUAAAGCCCUACACCUUUAGUCCUGGUUCUUACACCAACUGGGACAGAUGGGCCUCCAUGUGGCUGCUGCGGCGAGCCCAGGCCGGAGGUCCUUUGGUCCCGGUUAGUGGCACUGAUACGUCUCCAACGUAUCUAUAAUUUUUGAUUGCUCCAUGCUAUUAUGUUAUCUAUUUUGGAUGUUAAUGGCUUUAUUUUACACCUUUAUAUCAUUUUUGGGACUAACCUACUAAUCGGAGGCCCAACCCAAAUUGUUGUUUUCUACCUAUUUUAGGUUUUCGAAGAAAAGGAAUAUCAAACGGAGUCCAAACGGAAUGAAACCUUCGAGAACGUGAUUUUCUCAAUGAACAUGAUUCAGGAGAAUUGGAGUGUGCUCCAAGAAACAAGGGAGGAAGGCACGAGGCAGGGGGCGCGCCUACCCCCUUGGGCGCGCCCUCCACCCUCGUGGGCCCUCCGCUGCUCCACCGACGUACUUCUUCCUCCUAUAUAUAUCCACGUACCCCCAAACAUCCAGGAGCACCACGAAAACCUAAUUCCACCGCUGCAACCUUCUGUACCCGAGAGAUCCCAUCUUGGGGCCUUUUCCGGAGGUCCACCGGAGGGGGCAUCGAUCAUGGAGGGCCUCUACAUCAACUCCAUGGCCUCUCCGGUGAUGUGUGAGUAGUUUACUUCAGACCUAGGGGUCUAUAGUUAUUAGCUAGAUGGCUUCUUCUUCUCUCUUUGGAUCUCAAUACAAAGUUCUCCUCGAUUUUCUUGGAGAUCUAUUUGAUGUAACCUUCUUUUGCGGUGUGUUUGUCGAGAUCCGAUGAAUUGUGGGUUUGUGAUCCAGAUUAUCUAUGAACAAUAUUUGAUUCUCCUAUGAAUUCUAGUAUGUAUGAUUGGUUUAUCUUUGCAAGUCUCUUCGAAUUAUCAGUUUGGUUUGGCCUACUAGAUUGAUUUCUUGCAAUGGGAGAAGUGCUUAGCUUUGGGUUCAAUCUUGCAGUGUUUGAUCCCAGUGACAGAAAGGGAACCGAUACGUAUUGUAUUGUUGCCAUCGAGGAUAAAAAGAUGGGGUUUAUAUCAUAUCGCAUGAGUUUAUCCCUCUACAUCAUGUCAUCUUCCUUAAAGCAUUACUAUGUUCUCUUGAACUUAAUACUCUAGAUGCAUGCUGGAUAGCGGUCCAUGUGUCGAGUAAUAGUAGUAGAUGCAGAAUCGUUUCGGUCUACUUGUCUCGGACGUGAUGCCUAUAUACAUGAUCAUACCUAGAUAUUCUCAUAACUAUGUUCAAUUCUGUACAAUAUGGUGCACGGGGUUACAUCGGCCUGCAAAGACAUUUCUGCGAUGUGAGACAUCCGAAAAGCAACGAAAACGGGAGAUUAUACAUUUAUUGAAGAGGGCAGGUGUGACAGAUACCGUGAGGGCGUCGAGCUCAGCCAAAGACGAUGGACAGCUGAGCACGGCCUGUGUCAGAGCCGGUGCGGGAGCAGGUGCAGGUGCAGGUGCUGGUGCAACGCUAGUCGAGCUGCUCCUGAAGAAGUCAACAAUGGGAAAGUCCGCUGCAUUUUUUCUGCAUUUUGCGUGCUCCAAUUGAAAAUGGCUGGAACCAAGACAGUAGACAUAUCUGCAACCACCUGUUUUCCGGCAGCUACCGCUGUCGCGACUGUCUCAGAUGAUUUCUUCUCAACCGCAAUCUCAACCUUCUUGUCGAUGUUUUAUUCGGUUAACCUCCAUCUUUCCUUUCUCUCCUCCGUGGUCUCACGGUAGUACUUCUUCCACGUGGCCCCGUCUCCGACACCGUGAACGCGUCCAUACGACGACCGAGUCUCCACGGGGAGUCCUUUCAAUAUGUUCAAUGCCCGGUUGAAUGGAGUGUCCCACUUGGGCCUUGCCAAUGCCUCAGACGGCGAGUCGCUUUCGGCCGCAAUCUUAUGCUGCUCUCUCUACAAAAGGAACACGGAUCAUUUACAAAUAUGACUAAACGUGCAGUCGAACUGAUCAGAAACUAAAAUUACCAGCAGUCUCAUGAACUCCGUCGUGAUCGGGUCCGUCUUGAAAACCUUCUUGACUGAGUCCCAAUGGUGUCGUGCCCUGAGGACGUCAUGCUCCUACGGGACGGUGAAGUCCGCCAAGGGGUCUGGGAUGCCAGAUUUUCGCGUUUCGUGUCCUCCUUGGCCCAUAUGGACCUCUUCCUGCCGUAACCACUGCUUCCGAGGUGGUGGCGCCCCAUGUUCCUUUGUGGAAGCCCCUUCAUGUACUUCGACUUUGUUUUGGCAGCUUCGGCCUCGCAAGCCGCCUUGAAUAUUUCAAAGUGUUCUCUAGUGAUUGUCAGAUUAUCCUUUACAAUCUCGGAGUAGGGUUGAUACGUCUCCAACGUAUCUAUUAUUUUUGAUUGCUCCAUGCUAUAUUAUCUACUGUUUUGGACAUUAUUGGGCUUUAUUAUCUACUUUUAUAUUAUUUUUGGGACUAACCUAUUAACCGGAGGCCCAGCCUAGAAUUGUUGUUUUUUGACUGUUUUAGGGUUUCGAAGAAAAGGAAUAUCAAACGGAGUCCAAACGGAAUGAAACCUUCGGGAACGUGAUUUUCUGAAUGAACAAGACCCUGGAGACUUGGACCCUACGUCAAGACACAAAAGAGGAGGACACGAGGUAGGGGGCGCGCCUAACCCCCCCCCCCCCUCGAGGCACGCCCUCCACCCUCGUGGGGCCCCUGUUGCUCCACCGACGUACUCCUUCCUCCUAUAUAUACCUACGUACUUCCAAACGAUCAGAUACGGAGCCAAAACCCUAAUUCCACUGCCGCAACUUUCUGUAUCCACGAGAUCCCAUUUGGUGCCUGUUCCGGAGCUCCGCCGGAGGGGGCAUCGAUCACGGAGGGCUUCUACAUCAACACCAUAGCCUCUCCGAUGAAGUGUGAGUAGUUCACCUCAGACGUACCGGUCCAUAUUUAUUACCUAGAUGGCUUCUUCUCUCUUUUUGGAUCUCAAUACAAUGUUCUCCCCCUCUCUUGUGGAGAACUAUUCGAUGUAAUCUUGUUUUUGCAGUGUGUUUAUUGAGAUUGAUGAAUUGUGGGUUUAUGAUCAAGUCUAUGUAUGAAUAAUAUUUGAAUCUUCUCUAAAUUCUUUUAUGUAUGAUUGUUUAUCUUUGCAAGUCUCUUCGAAUUAUCAGUUUGGUUUGGCCUACUAGAUUGAUCUUUCUUACAAUGGGAGAAGUGCUUAGCUUUGGGUUCAAUCUUGCGGUGUCCUUUCCCAAUGACAGUAGGGGCAGCAAGGCAUGUAUUGUAUUGUUGCCAUCGAGGACAACAAGAUGGGGUUUUCAUCAUAUUGCAUGAGUCUAUCCCUCUACAUCAUGUCAUCUUGCUUAAGGCGUUACUCUGUUUUUAACUUAAUACUCUAGAUGCAUGCUGGAUAGCGGUCGAUGAGUGAAACCUAUGGCCCCCGGGUCUAUCUUUAUCAUAUUAAUCUCCUACUACUUAGUUAUUUCCUUUGCUUUUUCCUUUGCCUUUAUUUUACUUUUGAUCUUUAUCACAAAAAUACCAAACAUAUUAUCUUUAUCAUAUCUAUCAGAUCUCACUCUCGUAAGUGGCUGUGUAGGGAUUGACAACCCCUAUUCGCGUUGGUUGCGAGGAUUUAUUUGUUUUGUGCAAGUACGAGAGACUCGCGCGUAGCCUCCUACUGGAUUGAUACCUUGGUUCUCAAAAACUGAGGGAAAUACUUACACUACUUUGCUGCAUCAUCCUUCCUCUUCGCGGAAAACCAACGUAGUGCUCAAGAGCUGGCAAUAAGGAUUUCUGGCGCCGUUGCCGGGGAGGUCUAAGCAAAAGUCAACAUACCAAGUACCCAUCACAUACCCUUAUCUCCUGCAUUACAUUAUUUUCCAUUUGCCUCUCGUUUUCCUCUCCCCCACUUCACCCUUGCCGUUUUAUUCGCCCUCUCUCUCUCUCUCUAUCCUCCCUCUCUUUCUCUAUUUGCCUCUUUUUUCCCACUUGCUUUCUGUUUGCUUGUGUGUUAGUUGCUUGCUUGUCACGAUGGCUCAAGAUAAUACUAAAUUACGUGACUUCACCAAUACCAACAACAAUGAUUUUAUUAACACUCCGAUUGCUCCUCUUACCGAUGCUGAAUCUUGAGAAAUUAAUACUGCUUUGCUGAAUCUUGUCAUGAAAGAUCUGUUUUUCGGCCUUCCUAGUGAAGAUGCCGCUACCCACCUAAAUAGAUUCGUUGAUUUGUGUGACAUGCAAAAGAAGAAAGGUGUGGAUAAUGAUAUUGUUAAAUUGAAGCUAUUUCCUUUUUCGCUUAGAGAUCGUGCUAAAGCUUGGUUUUCGUCUUUGCCUAAAAAUACUAUUGAUUCAUGGAAUAAGUGCAAAGAUGCUUUUAUCUCUAAGUAUUUUCCUCCUGCUAAGAUCAUCUCUCUUAGAAACGAUAUUAUGAAUUUUAAGCAACUUGAUCAUGAACAUGUUGCACAAGCUUGGGAGAGAAUGAAACUAAUGAUACGUAAUUGCCCUGCCCAUGGUUUAAAUUUGUGGAUGAUUAUACCAAAUUUUUAUGCCGGAUUGAACUUUGCUUCUAGAAAUCUUUUAGAUUAGGCCGCGGGAGGCACUUUUAUGGAAAUCACUUUAGGAGAAGCUACUAAACUCCUAGAUAAUAUUAUGGUUAAUUAUUCUCAACGGCAUACCGAAAGAUCUACUAAUAAAAACGUGCAUGCGAUAGAAGAAAUUAAUGUUUCGAGUGGAAAGAUGGAUGAACUUCUGAAAUUAUUUGCUAAUAAGAGUAUUUCUUCUGAUCCUAAUGAUAUGCCCUUGUCUACUUUGAUUGAGAAUAAUAAUUAAUCUAUGGAUGUGGAUUUUGUUGGUAGGAACAAUUUUGGUAACAACGCGUACAGAGGAAAUUUCAACCCUAGGCCUUAUCCUAGUAAUCUCUCUAAUAAUUAUGGUAAUUCCUACAACAAUUCUUAUGGAAAUUAUAAUAAGAUGCCCUCUGAUUUUGGAUCUAAUAUUAGAGAAUUUAUUACUUUCCAAAAGAAUUUCAAUGCUUUGAUUGAAGAAAAAUUGCUUAAGAUUGAUGAUUUGGCUAGGAACGUUGAUAGAAUUACUCUUGAUGUUGAUUCUUUGAAACUUAGAUCUAUUCCACCUAAGCAUGAUGUCAAUGAGUCUCUCAAAGCCAUGAGAAUUUCCAUUGAUGAGUGCAAAGAAAGAACCACUAGGAUGCGUGUUAAGAAAGAUGCCUUUAUAAGAGCGUGUUCUUCUAAUUCCUAUGAAAAUAAUGAUGAAGAUCAAAAAGUUAUUGAUGUCCUCCCUAUUAAAUCUUUGUUUUGCAAUAUGAAUCUUGAUAAUCAUGGGACUGAAUAUGAUCCACCUUUACCUAGAAGGCGUUCCAAUAAUUCAGAAUUUGUUGAUCUUGAUGCUAAAAUUGAUAAAGGUGGGAUUGAAGAAAUUAAAACCCUAGAUGUUGCUAAACCCACUAUUAUGGAUUUCAAGGAACUUAACUAUGAAAACUGCCCUUUGAUUGAUUGUAUAUCCUUGUUACAAUCCGUGCUAAAUUCUCCUCAUGCUUAUAGUCAAAAUAAAGCAUUUACUAAACAUAUUGUUGAUGCCUUGAUGCAAUCUUAUGAAGAAAAACUUGAAUUGGAAGUUUCUAUCCCUAUAAAGCUUUAUGAUGAGUGGGAACCAACUAUUAAAAUUAAAAUUAAAUAUCAUGAAUGCUAUGCUUUAUGUGAUUUGUGUGCUAGUGUUUCCACGAUUCCAUAGACUUUGUGUGAUUUGUUAGGUUUCCGUGAUUUUGAUGAUUGCUCUUUAAACUUGCACCUUGCGGAUUCCACUAUUAAGAAACCUAUGGGAAGAAUUAAUGAUGUUCUUAUUGUUGCAAAUAGCAAUUAUGUGCCCGUAGAUUUUAUUGUUCUUGACAUAGAUUGCAAUCUUUCAUGUCCUAUUAUUCUUGGUAGACCUUUCCUUAGAACGACUGGUGCAAUUAUUGAUAUGAAGGAAGGAAAUAUUAGAUUCCAAUUUCCAUUAAGGAAAGGCAUGGAACACUUUCCUAGAAAGUAAAUUAAAUUACCUUAUGAAUCUAUUAUGAUAGCCACUUAUGGAUUGCCUACCAAAGAUGGCAAUACCUAGAUCUAUCCUUGCUUGUUAUGCCUAGCUAGGGGCGUUAAACGAUAGCGCUUGUUGGGAGGCAACCCAAUUUUAUUUUUAUUCCUUGAUUUUUUCUCCUGUUUAGUAAUAAAUAAUUUAUAUAGCCUCUGUUUUGGUUCUGUUCUUUGUGUUUAAUUAGUGUUUGUGCCAAGUAGAACCGUUAGGAAGACUUGGGGAAAGUCUUGUUACACUUGCUGUAAAAAACUGAAACUUCAGCGCUCACGAGAACUGCUGCCAUUUUUAUUUGGAAAGUGCUAUGUAGUUAAUUAUUUUUCAGAUGAUUAACAGAUAAAUUCCUCACGUCCAGAAAUUUAUUUUAGAAUUUUUGGGGUUCCAGCUCUUGAGCUAGCUACAGAGUACUACAGGCUGUUCUGUUUUUGAAAGAUUCUGUUUUUCGUGUGUUGUUUGCUUAUUUUGAUGAACCUAUGGCUAGUAAAAUAGUUUAUAUACCAUAGAGAAAUUGGAAUACAGUAGGUAUAACACCAAUAUAAAUAAAUAAUGAGUUCAUUACAGUACCUUGAAGUGGUCUUUUAUUUUCUUUCGCUAACGGAGCUCAUGAGAUUUUCUACUUUAAGUUUUGUGUUGUGAAGUUUUCAAGUUUUGGGUAAAGAUUUGAUGGAUUAUGGAACAAGGAGUGACAAGAGCCUAAGCUUGGGGGUUCCCAUGGCACCCCCAAGAUAAUCUAAGUACACCUAAAAACCAAAGCUUGGGGAUGCGCCGGAAGUCAUCCCCUCUUUCAUCUACUUCUAUCGGUAACUUUACUUGGAGCUAUAUUUUUAUUCGCCACAUGAUAUGUGUUUUGCUUGGAGCGUCUUGUAUUAUUUGAGUCUUUAUUUGUUAGUUUACCACAAUCAUCCUUGCUGUACACACCUUUUGAGAGAGCCAUACAUGAUUUGGAAUUUGUUAGAAUACUCUAUGUGCUUCGCUUAUAUCUUUUGAGUUAUAUAGUUUUGCUCUAGUACUUCACUUAUAUCUUUUAGAGCACGGUGGUGGAUUUGUUUUAUAGAAACAAUUGAUCUCUCAUGCUCCACUUAGAUUAUUUUGAGAUUCUUAAUAGCAUGUUAAUUUGCUUAAAAUCCUAAUAUGCUAGGUAUUCAAAGUUAGUAAAAUUUUCUUAAGAGUGUUUUGAAUACUAAGAGAAGUUUGAUGCUUGAUGAUUGUUUUGAGAUAUGGAGGUAAUAAUAUCAAAGUCGUUCUCGUUGACUAGUUGUGAAAUUGAGAAAUACUUGUGUUGAAGUUUGCAUGUCCCGUAGCACGCACGUAUGGUAAACGUUGUGUAACAAAUUUGAAACAUGAGGUGUUAUUUGAUUGUCUUCCUUGUGAGUGGCGGUCGGGGACGAGCGAUGGUCUUUUCCUACCAAUCGAUCCCCCUAGGAGCAUGCGAAUAGUACCAAGGUUUUUGAUGACUUGUAGAUUUUUGCAGUAAGUAUGUGAGUUCUUUAUGACUAAUGUUGAGUCCAUGAAUUAUACGCACUCUCACCCUUCCAUCCUUGCUAGCCUCUUCGGUACCGUGCAUUGCCCUUUCCCACAUUGAGAGUUGGAGCAAACUUCGCCAGUGCAUCCAAACCCCGUGCUAUGAUACGCUCAUUCACACAUAAACCUCCUUAUAUCUUCCUCAAAACAGCCACCAUACCUACCUAUUAUGGCAUUUCCAUAGCCAUUCCGACAUAUAUUGCCAUGCAACUUUCCACCAUUCCGUUCAUCAUGACACAUUCAUCAUUGUCAUAUUGCGUAGCAUAAUCAUGUAGUUGACAUAGUAUUUGUGGCAAGGCCACCGUUCAUAAUUCAUUCAUACAUGUCACUCUUGGUCCAUUGCAUGUCCCGGUACACCGCCGGAGGCAUUCAUAUAGAGCCAUACUUUGUUCUAGUAUCGAGUAGUAAUUAUUGAGUCGUAAAUAAAUAGAAGUGUGAUGAUCAUCAUUAAUAGAGCAUGGUCCCAAAAAGAAAAAAAAGGAAGGGCCAAAAAAAGGCCAAAUAAAAAAAUAUAAAAAAGGGGGCAAUGCUACUAUCCUUUUUUUCCAAACUUGUGCUUCCAAGUAGCACCGUAAUCUUCAAGAUAGAGAGUCUCUUGAUUUGUCACUUUCAUAUACUAGUGGGAAUUUUUCAUUAUAGAACUUGGCUUGUAUAUUCCAACAAUGGGCGUCCCCAAGUUCCCUAGGUCUUCGUGAGCAAGCAAGUUGGAUGCACACCCACUUAGUUUCUUUUGUUGAGCUUUCAUACAUUUAUAGCUCUAGUGCAUCCGUUGCAUGGCAAUUCCUACUCCUUGCAUUAACAUCAAUCAAUGGGCAUCUCCAUAGCCCAUUGAUUAGCCUCGUUGAUGUGAGACUUUCUCCUUUUUGUCUUCUCCACAUAACCCCACUCAUUAGAUUCUAUUCCACCCAUAGUGUUAUGUCCAUGGCUUGCAAUCAUAUAUUGCGUGAAAGUUUAUAGGUUUGAGAUCACUAAAGUAUGAAACAAUUGCUUGGCUUGUCAUCGGGGUUGUGCAUGAUGAGAGCAUACUUGUGUGACGAAAAUGAAGCAUGACUAAACUAUAUGAUUUUGUAGGGGUGAACUUUCUUUGGCCAUGUUAUUUUGAGAAGACACAAUUGCUCAGUUAGUAUGCUUAAAGUAUUAUUAUUUUAUGUCAAUAUGAACUUUUGUCUUGAAUGUUUCAGAUCCGAAUAUUCAUACCACAAUUAAGAAGAAUUACAUUAAAAUCAUGCCAAGUAGCACUCCACAUCAAAAAUUCUGUUUUUAUCAUUUACCUACUCGAGGACGAGCCGGAAUUAAGCUUGGGGAUGCUUGAUACAUCUCCAACGUAUCUAUAAUUUUUGAUUGCUCCAUGCUAUAUUAUCUACUGUUUUGGACAAUAUUGGGCUUUAUUAUCCACUUGUAUAUUAUUUUUGGGACUAACCUAUUAACCGGAGGCCCAGCCCAGAAUUGUUGUUUUUUGCCUGUUUUAGGGUUUCGAAGAAAAGGAAUAUCAAACGGAGUCCAAACGGAAUGAAACCUUCGGGAACGUGAUUUUCUCAACGAACAAGAUCUAGGAGACUUGGACCCUCCAUCAAGACAUAAAAGAGGAGGCCACGAGGUAGGGGGCGUNNNNNNNNNNNNNNNNNNNNNNNNNNNNNNNNNNNNNNNNNNNNNNNNNNNNNNNNNNNNNNNNNNNNNNNNNNNNNNNNNNNNNNNNNNNNNNNNNNNNNNNNNNNNNNNNNNNNNNNNNNNNNNNNNNNNNNNNNNNNNNNNNNNNNNNNNNNNNNNNNNNNNNNNNNNNNNNNNNNNNNNNNNNNNNNNNNNNNNNNNNNNNNNNNNNNNNNNNNNNNNNNNNNNNNNNNNNNNNNNNNNNNNNNNNNNNNNNNNNNNNNNNNNNNNNNNNNNNNNNNNNNNNNNNNNNNNNNNNNNNNNNNNNNNNNNNNNNNNNNNNNNNNNUGGGCCCCCCUGUUGCUCCACCGACGUACUCCUUCCUCCUAUAUAUACCUACUAUUGGGGAACGUAGCAGAAUUUUAAAAUUUUCUACGCAUACCAAGAUCAAUCUAUGGAGUCAUAUAGCAACGAGGGAGAGAGGAGUGCAUCUACAUACCCUUGUAGAUCGCGCGCGGAAGCGUUCAAGAGAACGGGGUUGAUGGAGUCGUACUCGUCGUGAUCCAAAUCACCGAUGACCAAGUGCCGAAUGGACAGCACCUCCGCGUACAACACACGUACGGUUGGGAAGACGUCUCCUCCUUCUUGAUCCAGCAAGGGGGAAGGAGAGGUUGAUGAAGAUCCAGCAGCACGACGGCGUGGUGGUGGAUGCAGCAGGAUCCCGGCAGGGCUUCGCCAAGCGCAAGCGGGGAGGAGAGGUGUUACGGAAGGAGAGGGAGGCGCCAAGAGCAAGGGUGCGGCUGCCCUCCCUCCCCCCCCUCUUUAUAUAGGGGCCUUGGGGGGGCGCCGGCCCUAGGAGAUGGAUCUCCAAGGGGGGCGAAGGCCAAGGGGUGGCUUCCCCCCCAAGCCAAGUGGGGGGCGCCCCCACCCCUAGGGUUUCCCAACCCUAGGCGCAUGGGAGGCCCAAGGGGGGCGCACCAGCCCACUAGGGGCUGGUUCUGCUCCCAAUUCAGCCCAUGGGGCCCUCCGGGAUGGGUGGCCCCACCCGGUGGACCCCCGGGACCCUUCCGGUGGUCCUGGUACAAUACCGGUGACCCCCGAAACCUUCCCGAUGGCCGAAAUUGUACUUCCUAUAUAUAAAUCUUUACCUCCGAACCAUUCCGGAACUCCUCGUGACGUACGGGAUCUCAUCCGGUACUCCGAACAUAUCCUUGGUUACUACAUACUAAUAUCUCUACAACCCUAGCGUCACCGAACCUUAAGUGUGUAGACCCUACGGGUUCGGGAGACAUGCAGACAUGACAGAGACGCCUCUCCGGUCAAUAACCAACAGCGGGAUCUGGAUACCCAUGUUGGCUCCCACGUGCUCCACGAUGAUCUCAUCGGAUGAACCACGAUGUCGAGGAUUCAAUCAAUCUGUGUAGAAUUCCCUUUGUCAAUCGGUACGUUACUUGCCCGAGACUCGAUCGUCGGUAUCCCAAUACCUCGUUCAAUCUCGUUACCAGCAAGUCACUUUACUCGUGCCGUAAUGCAUGAUCCCAUGAUCAACCACUUGGUCACAAUGAGCUCAUUAUGAUCAUGCAUUACCGAGUGGGCCCAGAGAUACCUCUCCGUCAUACGGAGUGACAAAUCCCAGUCUCGAUUCGUGCCAACCCAACAGACACUUUCGGAGAUACCUGUAAUGUACCUUUAUAGUCACCCAGUUACGUUGUGACGUUUGGCACACCCAAGGCACUCCUACGGUAUCCGGGAGUUGCCCAAUCUCAUGGUCUAAGGAAAUGAUACUUGACAUUCGGAAAAGCUACAGCAAACGAACUACACGAUCUUUGAGCUAUGCUUAGGAUUGGGUCUUGUCCAUCACAUCAUUCUCCUAAUGAUGUGAACCCGUUAUCAAUGACAUCCAAUGUCCAUAGUCAGGAAACCAUGACUAUCUUUUGAUCAACGAGCUAGUCAACUAGAGGCUCACUAGGGACGUGUUGUCGUCUAUGUAUUCACACAUGUAUUACGAUUUCCGGAUAACACAAUUAUAGCAUGAAAAAUAGACAAUUAUCAUGAACAAAGAAAUAUAAUAAUAACCAUUUUAUUAUUGCCUCUAGGGCAUAUUUCCAACAGUCUCCCACUUGCACUAGCGUCAGUAGUCUAGUUACAUUUUGAUGAAUCCAACACCCAUGAAGUUCUGGAGUUGAUCAUGUUUUGCUCUAGGGAGAGGUUUAGUCAAUGGAUCUGCCACAUUCAGGUCCGUAUGUACUUUACAAAUCUCUAUGUAUCCAUUUUGAACACUUUCAUGAAUGGAGUUGAAGUGACGCUUGAUAUGCCUGGUCUUCCUGUGAAAUCUGGGCUCCUUGGCAAGUGCAAUAGCUCCAGUGUUGUCACAGAAUAGAGUCAUCGGGCCCGGUGCAUUGGGUGUGACUCCUAGGUCGGUAAUGAACUCCUUCACCCAGAUUGCUUCUUGUGCUGCCUCCGAGGCUGCCAUGUACUCUGCUUCACAUGUAGAUCCCGCCACAACGCUUUGCUUGCAACUCCACCAGCUUACUGCCCCACCAUUCAAAAUAUACACGUAUCCGGUUUCCGACUUAGAGUCAUCCAGAUCUGUGUCGAAGCUAGCAUCAACGUAACCCUUUACGACGAGCUCUUCGUCACCUCCAUAAACGAGAAACAUAUCCUUAGUCCUUUUUAGGUACUUGAGGAUAUUCUUGACUGCUGUCUAGUGUUCCAUGCCGGGAUUACUUUGGUACCUUCCUACCAAACUUACGGCAAGGUUUUCAUCAGGUCUGGUACACAGCAUAGCAUACAUGAUAGACCCUAUGGCCGAGGCAUAGGGGAUGACACUCAUCUUUUCUCUAUCUUCUGUCGUGGUCGUGCAUUGAGCCUCGCUCAAUCUCGUACCUUGCAAUACAGGCAAGAACCCUUCUUUUACUGAUCCAUUUUGAACUUCUUCAAUAUCUUAUCAAGGUAUGUACUCUGUGAAAGACCAAUGAGGCGUCUCGAUCUAUCUCUAUAGAUCUUGAUGCCUAAUAUAUAAGCAGCUUCUCCAAGAUCCUUCAUUGAAAAACACGUGUUCAAGUAGGCCUUUAUGCUUUCCAAGAAUUCUAUAUCAUUUCCCAUCAACAAUAUGUCAUCCACAUCCAAUAUGAGAAAUGCUACAAAGCUCCCACUCACUUUCUUGUAAAUGCAGACUUCUCCAUAAGUAUGCGUAAACCCAAACGCUUUGAUCAUCUCAUCAAAACGAAUGUUCCAUCUCCGAGAUGCUUGCACCAGCCCAUAAAUCGAAUGUUGGAGCUUGUACACCUUGUCAGCAUUCUUAGGAUCGACAAAACCUUCCGGCUGCAUCAUAUACAAUUCUUCCUUAAGGAAACCAUUAAGGAAUGUUGUUUUGACGUCCAUUUGCCAUAUUCAUAAUCAUAGAAUGCGGCAAUUGCUAACAUCGUAGUCAACCCCUUGAACUUGCCGAUAACCCUUAGCGACAAGCCGAGCUUUAUAGAUGGUCACAUUACCAUCCGCGUCUGUCUUCUUCUUAAAGAUCCAUUUAUUUUCUAUGGCUCGCCGAUCAUCGGGCAAGUCAGUCAAAGUCCAUACUUUGUUUUCAUACAUGGAUCUUAUCUCGGAUUUCAUGGCUUCCAGCCAUUUGUUGGAAUUCAGGCCCGCCAUCGCUUCUUCAUAGUUCGAAGUUCACCGUUGUCUAACAACAUGAUUUCCAAGACAGGGUUGCCGUACCACUCUGGUGCGGGACGUGUCCCCGUGGACCUACGAAGUUCAGUAGCAACUUGAUCUGAAGUUUCAUGAUCAUCAUCAUCAAUUUCCUCUCUAGUCGUUGCAGGCACCUUAGGAACAUUUUCUUGAGCUGCGCCACUUACCGGUUCAAGAGGUAAUAAUACUUCAUCAAGUUCUACUUUCCUCCCACUUAUUUCUUUCGAGAGAAACUCUUUCUCUAGAAAGGACCCAUUCUUGGCAACAAAGAUCUUGCCUUCGGAUCUGAGGUAGAAGGUAUACCCAAUAGUUUCUUUAGGGUAUCCUAUGAAGACGCAUUUUUCCAAUUUGGGUUCGAGCUUUUCAGGUUGAAGUUUCCUUACAUAAGCAUCGCAUCCCCAAACUUUUAGAAAUGACAUCUUAGGUGUCUUCCCAAACCAUAAUUCAUACGGUGUCAUCUCAACGGAUUUCGACGGAGCCCUAUUUAAAGUGAAUGCGGCAGUCUCUAAAGCAUAGCCCCAAAAUGACAGCGGUAAAUCGGUAAGAGACAUCAUAGAUCGCACCAUAUCUAAUAGAGUGCGAUUAUGACAUUCCGACACACCAUUACGCUGAGGUGUUCCAGGCGGCGUGAGUUGUGAAACUAUUCCACAUUUUCUUAAGUGUGUGCCAAAUUCGUGACUCAAGUAUUCUCCCCCACGAUCUGAUCGCAAGAACUUGAUUUGCCUGUCACGUUGAUUCUCAACCUCACUUUGAAAUUCCUUGAACUUUUCAAAGGUCUCAGACUUGUGUUUCAUUAAGUAGACAUACCCAUAUCUACUCAAGUCAUCAGUGAGGGUGAGAACAUAACGAUAGCCACCGCGCCUCAACACUCAUUGGACCGCACACAUCAGUAUGUAUGAUUUCCAAUAAGUUGGUUACUCGCUCCAUUGUUCCUGAGAACGGAGUCUUGGUCAUUUUACCCAUGAGGCAUGGUUCGCACGUGUCAAAUGAUUCGUAAUCAAGAGACUUUAAAAGUCUAUCUGCAUGGAGCUUCUUCAUGCGUUUGACACCUAUGUGACCAAGGCGGCAAUGCCACAAGUAUGUGGGACUAUCAUUAUCAACCUUACAUCUUUUGGUAUUCACACUAUGAAUAUGUGUAACAUUAUGCUCGAGAUUCAUUAAGAAUAAACCAUUCACCAAUGGAGCAUGACCAUAAAACAUAUCUCUCAUAUAAAUAGAACAACCAUUAUUCUCGGAUUUAAAUGAGUAGCCAUCUCAAAUUAACCGAGAUCCUGAUACAAUGUUCAUGCUCAAAGCUGGCAGUAAAUAACAAUUAUUGAGGUUUAAAACUAAUCCCAUAGGCAAAUGUAGAGGCAGCGUGCCGACGGCGAUCACAUCAACCUUGGAACCAUUCCCGACGCACAUCGUCACCUCGUCCUUCGCCAGUCUCCGUUUAAUCCGCAGCUCCUGCUUUGAGUUACAAAUGUGAGCAACUGCACCGGUAUCAAAUACCCAGGAGCUACUACGAGUACUGGUAAGGUACACAUCAAUUACAGGUAUAUCACAUAUACCUUUAGUGUUGCCGGCCUUCUUGUCCGCUAAGUAUUUGGGGCAGUUCCGCUUCCAGUGACUACUUCCCUUGCAAUAAAAACACUCAGUCUCGAGCUUGGAUCCAUUCUUUGGCUUCUUCCCGGAAACUUGCUUAGCGGGCGCGGCAACUCCCUUGCCGUCCUUCUUGAAUUCUUCUUACCCUUGCCUUUCUUGAACUUAGUGGUUUUAUUCACCAUCAACACUUGAUGUUCCUUUUUGAUUUCCACCUCUGCUGAUUUCAGCAUUGAAUAUACCUCAGGAAUGGUCUUUUCCAUCCCCUGCAUAUUGAAGUUGAUCACAAAGCUCUUGUAGCUCGGUGGAAGCGACUGAAGGAUUCUGUCAAUGACCGCGUCAUUCGGGAGGUUAACUCCCAGCUGAGUCAAGCGGUUAUGCAACCCAGACAUUUUGAUUAUGUGCUCACUGACAGAACUAUUUUCCUCCAUCUUAUAGCUGAAGAACUUGUCGGAGACUUCAUAUCUCUCGACCCGGGCAUGAGCUUGAAAAACCAUUUUCAGCUCUUCGAACAUCUCAUAUGCUCCAUGUCUCUCAAAAUGCUUUUGGAGCCCCGGUUCUAAGCUGUAAAGCAUGCCGCACUGAACGAGGGAGUAAUCAUCAGCACGUAACUGCCAAGCGUUGAUAAUGUCUUGGUUCUCUGGGACAGGUGCGUGACCUAACGGUGCUUCUAGGACAUAAUAUUUCUUGGCAGCUACGAGGAUGAUCCUCAGGUUCCGGACCCAGUCCGUAUAGUUGCUGCCAUCGUCUUUCAGCUUGGUUUUCUCUAGGAACGCGUUGAAAUUGAGGACAACGUGGGCCAUUUGAUCUACAAGACAUAUUGUAAAGAUUUUAGACUAAGUUCAUGAUAAUUAAGUUCAUCUAAUCAAAUUAUACAAUGAACUCCCACUCAGAUAGACAUCCCUCCAGUCAUCUAAGUGAAACAUGAUCCAAGUUAACUAGGCUGUGUCGGAUCAUCACGUGAAACGGACUAGUCAACAUCGGUGAACAUCUUCAUGUUGAUCGUAUCUUCUAUACGACUCAUGCUCGACCUUUCGGUCUUCUGUGUUCCGAGGCCAUGUCUGUACAUGCUAGGCUCGUCAACUAAACCUAAGUGUAUUGCGUGUGUAAAUCUGGCUUACACCCGUUGUAUUCGAACGUUAGAAUCUAUCACACUCGAUCAUCACGUGGUGCUUCGAAACAACGAACCUUCGCAACGGUGCACAGUUAGGGGGAACACUUUCUUGAAAUUAUUUCGAGGGAUCAUCUUAUUUAAGCUACCGUCGUUCUAAGCAAAUAAGAUGUAAAACAUGAUAAACAUCACAUGCAAUCAAAUAGUGACAUGAUAUGGCCAAUAUCAUUUGCUCCUUUUGAUCUCCAUCUUUGGGGCUCCAUGAUCAUCGUUGUCACCAGCAUGACACCAUGAUCUCCAUCAUCAUGUCUUCUUGAAGUUGUCUCGUCAUCUAUUACUUCUACUACUAUGGCUAAUGCUUUAGCAAUAAAGUAAAGUAAUUACAUGACGUUUAUGUUGACACGCAGGUCAUAAAAAAAUAAAGACAACUCCUAUGGCUCCUGCCGGUUGUCAUACUCAUCGACAUGCAAGUCGUGAUUCCUAUUACAAGAACAUGAUCAAUCUCAUACAUCACAUAUAUCAUUCAUCACAUCCUUUUGGCCAUAUCACAUCAGACGGCACAUGCUGCAAAAACAAGUUAGACGUCCUCUAAUUGUUGUUGCAAGUUUUUACAUGGCUGCUAUAGGUUUCUAGCAAGAACGUGUCUUACCUACGCCAAAACCACAACGUGAUAUGCCAAUUUCUAUUUACCCUUCAUAAGGACCCUUUUCAUCGAAUCCGAUCUAACUAAAGUGGGAGAGAUAGACACCCGCCAGCCACCUUAUGCAAGUAAUGCAUGUCAAUCGGUGGAACCAGUCUCACGUAAGCGUACGUGUAAGGUCGGUCCGGGCCGCUUCAUCCCACGAUGCCGCCGAAUCAAGAUAAGACUAGUAACGGCAAGCAAAGUGACAAUAUCCACGCCCACAACUGCUUUGUGUUCUACUCGUGCAUAGAAACUACGCAUAGACCUGGCUCAUGAUGCCACUAUUGGGGAAUGUAGCAGAAUUUUAAAAUUUUCUACGCAUCACCAAGAUCAAUCUAUGGAGUUAUCUAGCAAUGAGGAAGAGAGGAGUGCAUCUACAUACCCUUGUAGAUCGCGCGCGGAAGCGUUCAAGAGAACGGGGUUGAUGGAGUCGUACUCGUCGUGAUCCAAAUCACCGAUGACCAAGUGCCGAACGGACAGCACCUCCGCGUUCAACACACGUCCGGUUGGGAAGACGUCUCCUCCUUCUUGAUCCAGCAAGGGGGAAGGAGAGGUUGAUGAAGAUCCAGCAGCACGACGGCGUGGUGGUGGAUGCAACAGGAUCCCGGCAGGGCUUCGCCAAGCGCAAGCGGGGAGGAGAGGUGUUACGGAGGGAGAGAGAGGCGCCAAGAGCAAGGGUGCGGCUGCCUUCCCUCCCCCCUCUUUAUAUAGGGGCCAUGGCGGGCGCCGGCCCUAGGAGAUGGAUCUCCAAGGGGGGCGAAGGCCAAGGGGUGGCUCCCCCCCCCAAGCCAAGUGGGGGGCGCCCCCACCCCUAGGGUUUCCCAACCCUAGGCGCAGGGGAGGCCCAAGGGGGCGCACCAGCCCACUAGGGGCUGGUUCCCCUCCCAAUUCAGCCCAUGGGGCCCUCCGGGAUGGGUGGCCCCACCCGGUGGACCCCCGGGACCCUUCCGGUGGUCCCGAUACAAUACCGGUUACCCCCGAAACCUUCCCGAUGGCCGAAACUGUACUUCCUAUAUAUAAAUCUUUACCUCCAAACCAUUUCAGAACUCCUCGUGACGCCCGGGAUCUCAUCCGGGACUCCGAACAACUUUCGGCUUACUACAUACUAAUAUCUAUACAACCCUAGCGUCACCGAACCUUAAGUGUGUAGACCCUACGGGUUUCGGAGACAUGCAGACAUGACUGAGACGCCUCUCCAGUCAAUAACCAACAGCGGGAUCUGGAUACCCAUGUUGGCUCCCACAUGCUCCACGAUGAUCUCAUCGGAUGAACCACGAUGUCGAGCAUUCAAUCAAUCUGUAUACAAUUCCCUUUAUCAAUCAGUACGUUACUUGCCCGAGACUCGAUCGUCAGUAUCCCAAUACCUUGUUCAAUCUCGUUACCGGCAAGUCACUUUACUCAUACCAUAAUGCAUGAUCCCGUGAUCAACCACUUGGUCACAUUGAGCUCAUUAUGAUGAUGCAUUACCGAGUGGGCCCAGAGAUACCUCUUCAUCACGCGGAGUGACAAAUCCCAGUCUCGAUUCAUGCCAACCCAAUAGACACUUUCGGAGAUACCUGUAAUGUACCUUUAUAGUCACCCAGUUACGUUGUGACGUUUGGCACACCCAAGGCACUCCUACGGUAUCCGGGAGUUUCACAAUCUCAUGGUCUAAGGAAAUGAUACUUGACAUUCGGAAAAGCUACAGCAGAUGAACUACACGACCUUUGAGCUAUGCUUAGGAUUGGGUCUUGUCCAUCACAUCAUUCUCCUAAUGAUGUGAUCCCAUUAUCAAUGACAUCCAAUGUCCAUAGUCAGGAAACCAUGACUAUCUUUUGAUCAACAAGCUAGUCAACUAGAGGCUCACUAGGGACGUGUUGUGGUCUAUGUAUUCACACAUGUAUUACGAUUUCCGGAUAACACAAUUAUAGCAUGAACAAUAGACAAUUAUCAUGAACAAAGAAAUAUAAUAAUAACCAUUUUAUUAUUGCCUCUAGGGCAUAUUUCCAACACCUACGUACCCCCAAACGAUCAUAUACGGAGCCAAAACCCUAAUUCCACCGCCGCAACUUUCUGUAUCCACGAGAUCCCAUCUUGGGGCCUGUUCCGGAGCUCCGCCAGAGGGGGCAUCGAUCACGGAGGGCUUCUACAUCAACACCAUAGCCUCUCUGAUGAAGUGUGAGUAGUUCACCUCAGACCUACGGUUCCAUAGUUAUUAGCUAGAUGGCUUCUUCUCUCUUUUUGGAUCUCAAUACAAUGUUCUCCCCAUCUCUUGUGGAGAACUAUUCGAUGUAAUCUUCUUUUUGCGGUGUGUUUGUUGAGACCGAUGAAUUGUGGGUUUAUGAUCAAGUCUAUCUAUGAAUAAUAUUUGAAUCUUCUCUGAAUUGUUUUAUGUAUGAUAGGUUAUCUUUGCAAGUCUCUUCGAAUUAUCAGUUUGGUUUGGCCUACUAGAUUGAUCUUUCUUGCAAUGGGAGAAGUGCUUAGCUUUGGGUUCAAUCUUGCGGUGUCCUUUCCCAGUGACAGUAGGGGCAGCAAGGCACGUAUUAUAUUGUUGCCAUCGAGGACAACAAGAUGGAGUUUUCAUCAUAUUGCAUGAGUCUAUCCCUCUACAUCAUGUCAUCUUGCUUAAGGCGUUAAUCUGUUUUUAACUUAAUACUCUAGAUGCUUGCUGGAUAGCGAUCGAUUAGUGGAGUAAUAGUAGUAGAUGCAGGCAGGAGUCGGUCUACUUGUCUCGGACGUGAUGCCUAUAUACAUGAUCAUACCUAGAUAUUCUCAUAACUAUGCUCAAUUCUGUCAAUUGCUCAACAAUAAUUUGUUCACCCACCGUAGAAUAUUUAUGCUCUCGAGAGAAGCCACUAGUGAAACCUAUGGCCCCGGGUCUAUCUUUAUCAUAUUAAUCUCCUACUACUUAGUUAUUUCCUUUGCUUUUUACUUUGCCUUUAUUUUACUUUGCAUCUUUAUCACAAAAAUACGAAAAAAAUUAUCUUUAUCAUAUCUAUCAAAUCUCACUCUCGUAAGUGGCCGUGUAGGAAUUGACAACCCCUAUUCGCGUUGGUUGCGAGGAUUUAUUUGUUUUGUGCAGGUACGAGGGACUCGCGCGUAGCCUCCUACUGGAUUGAUACCUUGGUUCUCAAAACCUGAGGGAAAUACUUACGCUACUUUGCUGCAUCAUCCCUUCCUCUUCGGGGAAAACCAAGGCAGUGCUCAAGAGGUAGCAAGGGUUCCUUUUUGUCGACGAUCCGAUGUUUCAACCCUGUUUUCCAGGUGGCCAACGCGUCGCUAAACUUGGUGACGGCGUGUUUGUUUAUCUUCUUCAUUGCCAGGUCCUUAUCUGGAUCUUUAUUAUCCUUUUCACUGCGGUCUGGGAACAAGAUUAUCUGGUGCAGUUUCUUAAGGAGGGAGGGCCUCAUAUUAUCUAUCUUCUGUAGUUUCCCAUCGUUGAUCGUGGCAGUUGUCCGUACGAUGCAACCUAUUUGAUUGCCGUAGCACGAUCGCGCUUCCUCGGGCGCUAUUGUCUCAAAAAUACCGCCGUCCAUCUCCGUGACCGCCAGUCUACUACUCAUGAGCUGGUUUGGGCGCUGUGGCCUCUUUGCUUUCGGUUCUAGACCAGCUCCGCUAGUCUCGGCGCCUGUCUCAGUUUCAUCAUCGGUCCGCAUGUCGGUAUCAGUCCCCGAUGCGACACCACAGUUGCUGCAACAUGGGUAAGGGAGACCACGUCAGUGGUGGGGGGUCUGAAAAUCAGAACACACUUUCGCGCGUCGCGGGCCGCCUCUCAGACAGCUACUGGGGAGGCGGUGGAGUACCUGGGUGCGCGGCGAAUCCCCGGGAACUCGGUGACCAACUUCCUUCCCGUGUGGCGCAUGGAGACGACGGCGACCCCGGCGAAGAGCAGCUUAGCCGCGAGCUGCACAGCCUCGUCCACCUCCUAAGUUGGGACCUCCGCGCGAGCGUUGCGGGGCCGCCACUCGGAUGGCUUCUGGAAGGCGGUUGUACAUGGGCACAUGGUGAAUCCCGGCGAGAGCUGGCCAUUGGCGCGCGCAAGUAGACGACGAUGUCCUCGAAGAAGAGCAGCCCGGCCAGCUCGCCUCACUAUCCUUUGAUUAGAAAUGAAAGAUUGGGAAGAAGCAGACUUGAGCCUGCAGGGAAAGGAUAAGGUGACGAUGCAGUCUCCACUCGUUCGGGGCGACACUCGUACUGAAUGUAUGAGAAACGUGACGUGGCAGAGACCCCAAGAUACUCCCUCCAUUUAUUUUUAGUCUGCAUAUAAAGUUUGGUCAAAGUCAAGAUUUGUAAAUUUUAACUAACUUUAUAAUAAAAAAAUAUCAACAUUCACAAUAUGAAAUCAAUAUUACCAGAUGCGUCAUGAAAUGUAUUUCCAUACUAUAUAGUUUUGGUAUUGUAGAUGUUCAUAUUUUUUUAUAUAUAUGGGAAGUAGAGGCACUCUUCUAUAUAAUGAAGUUUAUAAUAUAUGUGCUUAUAUUGUACUAUAAUUGUUUGAAUAACUUAGCAUAUAUUCAGAUGUAUGAUAUCUGUAAUUUAAACGCUUGAAUUUUACAUAUGAAUAUUUAUUAAUAAAUAUGUACCCCUAUAAUAGCUAGGCCGUGCAGUUGCACGGGUAGAUGACUAGUGAUUACAAUCUUGCUUGUGUGCAAGUCAAGCUUAUCUAGUUUACACGUAACAACUUAUAGAACAUUACAAAAUUUAUGCUUGCUAAUAACUUCUAGAACACUACAACACUUGACAUGUAAAAGGAAUUUGAUGAGUCAUGGCCUACUAAAGCAAGUUACAUUACUAGUCUUAUCUAUCUUAACAGACCACACAAGAUUACAAACUAUGUACCGUGACAGCCAUGCUUAUCUAGUUUAUGCGUAACAAUUUGCAGAAAAUUACAAACUUAGUUUCAGAAAGAUAGGCAAUCUAGAUUAGUGUUUGAGCUGUAAAGUGAAUAAGAUGAGUCAUGCAUGUCAUCACACCUUUUUGGUGGUGGAAUGAUAGUGCAACAACAAGGAACUUUAAUGACCAGUCCAAGAAUACACUUGUAAGUAGUGCCACCAAACAGAACAUACCAAAUGAUGAUUUUGAGAAGCAUCCAAGCACUUUCCACACAAACAAAUGCCAAUUGUGAAAGAGAUCAUUCCAUGGCAGCUAUAAAUAGCCCCAUAGCAUGACGAUCAUCCUUCCUCAUCCAUCAUUCUCAUAAGUAGAGCACAUCAUUUAAGCCAAGCAAGUUGUGGUCAAUACAAAUCCACCAUGAAGACCUUUCUCAUCCUUGCCCUCCUUGCUAUCGUGGCGACCACCGCCACAACUGCAGUUAGAGUUCCAGUGCCACAAUUGCAGCCACAAAAUCCAUCUCAGCAACAGCCACAGGAGCAAGUUCCAGUGGUACAACAACAACAAUUUCUAGGGCAGCAACAACCAUUUCCACCACAACAACCAUAUCCACAGCCGCAACCAUUUCCAUCACAACAACCAUAUCUGCAGCUGCAACCAUUUCCGCAGCCGCAACUACCAUAUUCGCAGCCACAACCAUUUCAACCACAACAACCAUAUCCACAACCGCAACCACAGUAUUCGCAACCACAACAACCAAUUUCACAGCAGCAGCAGCAGCAGCAGCAGCAGCAACAACAACAACAACAACAACAACAACAACAACAACCACAACAAAUCCUUCAACAAAUUUUGCAACAACAACUGAUUCCAUGCAUGGAUGUUGUAUUGCAGCAACACAACAUAGCGCAAGGAAGAUCACAAGUUUUGCAACAAAGUACUUACCAGCUGUUGCAAGAAUUGUGUUGUCAGCACCUAUGGCAGAUCCCUGAGCAGUCGCAGUGCCAGGCCAUCCACAAUGUUGUUCAUGCUAUUAUUCUGCAUCAACAACAAAAACAACAACAACAACAACAACAACAACAACCAUCGAGUCAGGUCUCCUUCCAACAGCCUCAGCAACAAUAUCCAUUAGGCCAGGGCUCCUUCCGGCCAUCUCAGCAAAACCCACAGGCCCAGGGCUCUGUCCAGCCUCAACAACUGCCCCAGUUCGAGGAAAUAAGGAACCUAGCGCUACAGACACUACCUGCAAUUUGCAAUGUCUACAUCCCUCCAUAUUGCACCAUCGCGCCAUUUGGCAUCUUCGGUACUAACUGAGAAGAAAAUAACUCUAGUACUAGAUAUAUGAAACACCGUUUUCUCAGUCCAUGGUUUGGUCGUUGUAGCGGUGAAAAAAUAAUGUGGCAUGCACUAUCAUGUAAGAACCCAAACUAUACUAGUUCAAACUUGGGAAUAAAAGACAAACACAGGUCUUGUCUACAUAUUUAUGUCGCAUCUAUUUAUAUAUUAAAAGUAAUAUAAGGUGAACCAGGAGCAAGGUAAAUAUGCUAGAAAAUUGCACGUUAAUUAGAAAUUACUAGCCCUCAAUCCGGUAAAUCUUAACAAAUAGAAUUAUCUUGACCGUUAGAUUUAUGUAACAUAUAUAAUUCUCUGGGCCUCCAACGACUGUACGUGACACAUCUGAACGCACAUAUGUUAAAGAAAAUAUAUUUGGUAAAUGGUGGGCCUCUUUAAAAAGAGAACUCACGUACAUGCACCAACUAAGAAAAACACAUACAUGUAAACGGGAAAAGGGCUCCACCCCGUUGAAAAAAUAUACAUCUGGAGGCCACUUUGUUUCCUCAUAAAAAAAAACUUACGUUAAAAAGAUUGCAUGCAUCCCAGGGAAAAUAGUCAAGAAGAAGUCGGACUCUUCCUUACAAAAACAAGGAACGUGUUAAGUUGACUUCAAAGAAAAAAGGAACAUGUUAAGUUAAAAAAAACAAGAAACCUGUUAAGUUAGAAAAAAACAAGGAACGUGUUGUCCUAGGAAAGAUAUGUGUCAAAUCUUACAAAAAAAAGAAUACACACACGUACGUUCAUGCACUUGGAAAAUAGAAAAAAAAAGGAACAUCACGUAUGUAUACACUUCGGAAACUCAUUACAUGACCAUGUCUGAUAUACUCCUCUAAUGCUUAAUAUUAGUGCCUAAUAAUUUAUAUUUAAAAUUUAAUUUACUGAUCAAAUAUCCCCACUGUUUAAAUUUUAAUUUGGCACAUUGUUUGGCUAUAGUAUGAACCUAAAUUUCCUCUUAUUAUUAUAUAUCAUGAUAAUAAUCCAAAGGCGACUAAUCUGCGCCGGCGCACCGGCGCAAUCAAUUCGGCCCGACACAGCGCGGCCGUUUGAUUAAAUUGCAUUUAACCGUCAGAUCUAGAAUCAUUUUAUUUCCAAUUAAACGGAUUCAACCAAACAGCAGAGGGGAAAACAAAGCAGCACCGCCGCCAACACUAGUCAUGGACGACCGAUGUAGCAAAACCUUGAAGAACCGCCGCCGGUCGCCACCCUCGCCGCUGGUCGCCGCCCUCGCCGCCUGCGUUUCUCAUCGGCUUCAUGCAUGCAACAACAUGCACUCGUGAUUGCAGGCUUGCAGCUCCGGCUCCGGGGGACAUGGCCGCAUCUCCGGUAGCGCCGGCCGCCAGCCGCAGCACCUGUCGUUGUGGUCACGCUGUACCUCGCCGUGUGCCCUCCCAAGGCUCUUGCUGGUUCCAACAAAAAACGAUACCUAUUGUAGCAAAAAAGUUUAUCGCUUCCAGCAAAAAAGCUUACCGCUAUAGCCCGCCAUCAUCAUUGUAGCAAAAAUGUUAACUCGAUGUAGCUUCUGUGGUUGCCGACUGCGGCCAAAAAUGACGUGGUUGUAGCAAAACACAAAAGAAAAACGCCGGCCGUCCGCUGUGUAUGGUGGUAACAAACCCUAUAGCCGGUGGUAGCGAAAAACUUCACUGUUUGCAGCAAAAAAAUGUUGUCGCCCGUCGUCGAGGUUGCAUCAUCUUCAUGAAUUAUGUCGCAAAAAAACGUUGUCGCCGGUAGUAGCAAAUGAAGCCGCCGGUAGUAACAAAACAAGACACUGGUUCCAGCCAAAAAAAUCAGCGACAGAACCUUUUGUUGGUUCCAACAAAAAAACUUGUCGGUUGUAACAUCCCUCGCCGCCGGAUGUAGCAUCUCCCAGGGCUAGUUGCAACACUCCAUAAAAAAAGUUGUCUAUGAGCGCAUCCAUGGCAACUGCUGCACCGUCAGCAACGAGGGGAAGAGGAGGCAAUGAAAAUCGUUCGAGUCGUAGCUCCACUGGACACGGCUGCAGCAUGGGGAGUCCAAAAAUCUGUCACAAGCAAGAUGCGCCUCGCCAUCCUCCUGCGCAGGAGAGAGAAGAAAAAGGAAUAAGAGGAAGAAGAAACGAAACGGGAGAAAGAAAAAAAGAAACGAUUGGUUGUGGGCUCAGGCAAUUAGUCAAAUGAGGGGCACGCGGGGCCGUAGGAUACAGCGCAAUCGAACGAAGUGCGCGCGUCCGGCCGAAGACUCAGCUGGACUGCCGGUCCAGCUGGAAAUGUUUCCCUAAUACAAAGGCUUUUCUGAAUGACAAGUCGUCUGAGUUAUCGGCUAACUAGAAAAAAGAUAAAUAUGCUAGAUAAUUCCAUAAUAAUUAGAAAUAUCUAGCCUUUAAUUAUGUAAAUCAGAAAAUCACAACCGUUGGAUUUACUUUAAAGGUAAAUUUCUCUAAAUUCCCACCAUUGCCAGUAUGUAGAAACAUGUGCUGCUUCAAUUCUCCCUUAAUCACCAAUCAAUCAACAACUGAAAACAUACCUCAGUUAAAAAAACUGAACAAAAAAAAGAAAAAAAGAAGAAAGGACAAGAUACACGCAUGUACACGACAGCCUUGGCUUGAAACACAUCAGUAGAUCAAGUGUCCGCCUCCCUUACACAGAAUAAAUUCUAGGGAAGAAAAUAAUAGUGCAACCUAACCUUAUACGUACUAUUCUAUCCUCACGUCCCAUGAGGUUUACUAGCCUACUGCCGCCGCAUCAUGCCAUCCUCUCCUUUCAGCUCCCUCCUUGCGGCGCCACUACUCGCCUAGGGAUAUUGCUGCUCAGACCGUGGAGCUUAACCUGCUUCUUCUUCAGCAAAUAUGGAACUGCUUUAGGAUCCUUCUGACAUCAGCGCGUAUGGGCCUCAUUAUACUGCAGCUCCUGGACCUCCUACAAUUGGUUGGCUAUGGCCAGUUGAUCGAUGUGCUGAAGUCCAGGUCUGUUUGCUGGCACAUAUGCUUUGGAAAUAGGCCACUAUGUUUGUACUUCGAAAUUGUUUCUGUAUUCUUCAGUGGUACAUCCUUUUAAGCGCCAGUUUUUUAUGUUAAUUCAUGCUGACAACACUUAACCUAGCCUUUCAUGUUCACGUACUAAAUACAGGAGCAAGUAAAAACAACAGACCACCUAAUUGCUCUGCAAGUUCUACAUAGGAAAAUUUGUCAUGUUCUACGAUCGCACCAUCCCACCCUUCUCUCUUGGUAUGGGCGCCAAUUGAGGGAUUGAUAAAACUGAAACGAAGACGUCACAGGGCUGGAAGUACCGCUAGCCUGGUUCGCACUGCAACCUACCCAACGCCAUCAGAAACUAGCAACUGAGUCAGGUGUUGAUCGAUUCUCUCAAAUUGCUCUCAUGUAAGUACUACCCCUUGCAUGUGCGUACAUACCUUUGUUGCAUUCUCAAACAGAUAGAACAUGUAUGAUCGGUGCAUGGCUAUUUUUCAUCACAUGACAUCCAGAUAACAAGCAUGAAAGGACUACAUUGGAGAUCAAAAAAUAUUGGUUCCUGGCUAGAGUACCACUACCUAUGGACUUGUCUCCAUAGAAUUUGUUCCCAAGAUGUUAUUUUAAUUAACCUCUUUAGCUUUCUUCCGUUGCAAACGGUGAUGUGCAUCAUGGUAUAUACGUGACCAUCUUGCACAUGUAUACACAAGAGGCUCAGACGGAGGUGCUGGAUUCUGGACGAGGGAAUAUGAAGCAGGAGUGAGCGAAGAGUAAAUAAUGGUGGGAGUACCGAUUGGUGUUAUGAAGAAAAAUGCCAUCCAAAGAUUGAUUAGUGUCAUGGAAGAUUAAUUUCUGAAUGCGAAUAUAUAUGUUACAUUGGUUUGGAUCUUUUUGAGAUAAUUGCACCUAAAUUAGGUUCUUUCUUAUUUCAUAUGUAUACCUUAUUUCAGUAAAAGUUCACAACGAACUUAGUAGGACAAAUAUAAUUUUGUUUGUUCUUUCUGUUGUCCGCCACCAAAGCUCAGUUUGAACUCUCUAGAAAUGGACAAUGAUUUAUGCAUUCUAUAUCUUCUUGAUUGAUUAGCCAUGACAAGGAAAUAAAAGGAUUGACUGAUAUAGCAUAACUUUGGAACGAUCUGUUCGUAGAGGUUACUACAAAUUAGAGUAGUGUCUGUUGGAAUUUUGCUAGUAGGCCUUUGGCCCAAAGCCCAACUAAAAUUCUGAAAUUCUCUUCGCUCAUUCAUGCACACAUGUGAGUGGAGUGAGUGAGACUAAAGUUUAGAGAGAGUUGCACCUCUUUAUAAGGUGAGCUCUUCUACCACUUGUAUGAGCAUGAGAAGAGGAGACCUAUACACGCGCUCCUCCUCCUCGCUCACCACGUCUCGUCACGCCGCGCCGCGCCGCGGAUUGCGGGAUUGAGCCGAGCCGAGGACGUUGUCUAUAUUUUUGCUGUUUGGGAAAAAUUAAUAAGUCAUUAAUUAAUAAUUAAUGGAUGCGUUAAUUACUGAACCAUUUUCGAUUCUUUUGGAUCGUGACGACUCGGACGUGGGGUUUACUCCCACGAUCUACCCGGCCCACACUAUAUAGUCAGGCAGACGUCUACCCUAGCCGCCGCCACUUCGUAUGGUUUCUCACCACCGUUACAGAUCGUUGCGCCGCCAAGCAAGUUUUCUCCAUUCCUCCUGUCGGCAUGCACUGGGAGAAGGGACAGCAGGCCUCCGGAACCCCGCCUCUCGUGAUCCUGUACGGGAGAGGGGCGAUCAGAUUUUUGGGGAGCGCACUCGCACGACUGCUGGCAGCGACGACUUCGCAAACGACGACUUCUUCCCCGACCUCGGCAACCUCAUCCUCGACUUCUGCACCGUAUGUUAUUCUAUCCUUCUUGUUCGAGAUCGUGGUAGAAUUCAGAUUUCUAGCAUGUUCCCUAGAUGUGAUUUGUUCAUCUACUAUUCUAAUUCGCAUGAUUAGUUUAAUCUUUGCUAUUGCUGUCAUGAUCUAUUUCCUAUUUAUUCGGAUUAAAUCUCGUAGUAAUUUGCUCAUUUUUCCAACAGUGCCAUCUAAUAGAUGAUGUAAAUCUCCUCAAGUUUGACGUUGUUGAGCUAAUUUACAAAAAAAACCUCAUCAUUAUUGGAUGUCCUUAACAGCUCAAGAACAAGUUGGGGUCGAAAUAAUGGAUUUUACACUUUUACAUUAAAGGUUUAGCUAAAGCAAGCAGGUGUUUUUAAACCUGAAUUUUUUUCCUCCUGAAUUUCUUUGUAUUUUCUUAUUGACACUAUUUAUACAAUCAUCUGACAAAGAUUAGCUAAAGCUGUUUGUAGAUACGUUCAAACCUGAAAAGCUUCUUUGGUUAUCCUUUUAAUAGUUCUACGUUUAUUUUCUCAUAGGUCUUAAUUCUUAUGUAAUACCAAGAUGCAUUGUGGUAGUGUACAUGUGUUAAAUUCAGGUUGUUAUUCACAAUUUGCGACAAAAUUUAGCUCACGCUACAUUUAAAUAUGUUGAAAUGUGAAAGCUCUUUUUCUUCUCCUUUCUACACCUUGCAUCGGAUUGCAUCCCUUUAGUUAUCCAACAUUUUGUACAACAUGUAGAGAUUAGGAAGUUCAUCAUAGUUUGUCUAUUUCCGUGCUAAUAAAUGUAUGAAAUCUGCAUUUCCAAGCUACUAGGACAAGUAAAAAAUAAUAAUUUUACUAUAGGAUUCAAAAACAGCAGUUCUGAAGUGCACUUUAUUUAUUUGUGAAAGUGAUCACAUUUUGUUUCAUUUUUCUAUAGACAAAUCUACUAAUACAUACUCACGAUAAAACUAUAAAAGUUCUAGUCCGCACAUUGGGCGGGCCACCCGGCUAGUUAGUCUAAAGAUAACAAAAUGAGUCUGGAAUUUGAAUUAAAUUGAAGUAUUUUCUUGGACUAUCCACAUCCUUGGCUUGCCCCUGAUCAAUUAUUUCCAGAGAAGCAUUCAAUUCAUCAAUCAAUUACAUUGAUUUUAGUGGCUGGUACUUCUCCUCGACAUCAGUAUAUUCACCGUGGCCACUCCAAAUCGGCAAGAAUGAGGUACCAGUGCUCUGGAGCAGUGCAAGCUAAUUGCUUCUCAUGUGAAGGGGUGCGGGCGCGGGAGAGGUAUUUCUGGUGGGCCAAGGGAUAAGAAGCGACCGUGGCAGCGGUACAGACGCCCGCAAAGCCCCAUAAUUUGUUUUUGGUUUACAGGAAAAAUGCACAUCCAUACCGGCCUGGGGAAUAUAGCACUGUAUUGCAUGGAAAACCAUGUCCGGAUGGUUGUGAGCGGUUUGAGGGUUAGCUUUUGUAACGCCCGGUUAGUUAUGCUAUAGCAAUUCCCUGCUAAUGAUGUCACGUCACCACGAUUACUGUUGUUAACCUCACAAUGAUUCAAUCCCGUUCAAAUUCAAAUUUGAAAUAAAGGUAAACAUCAAAAGUUUUCAAACAUUAAAACUAAAAUCUUUGAGAGGUGACAAAUAAUGCAUAAGUAAUUAUGGUGAAGAAACCACACUUUAAUCAAAUGUUUAAAUACUCUAAAAUGAAAAAAAAACAGUGACUUAAACUAUUAUUUAAAUGCUUUUAAAAUAGUAAAAAUCUUCUAACUAAAUUAUUUGGGUACCAAACUUUUGGUGGCAGUGGUAUAUUUAGUAGAACUAAUUUAGAUGCUAAUUAUAUAAUUUACAAAAUUAGAGUAAAUUGAAAAAUAGGAUAAAACGGAAAAAGGAAAGACAAAACAAAUAAAAGCAAAAGGGGGCAACCCCUCGCUGGGCCUCGGCCUAGCUGGCCACUAGACUAGCUAGGCUGGCCCCGCCGCCUCCCUUAACCCCCCACUCCCCAUCGAACCCAAGCCCGAUCGCCCCAUUUCCCACACACCCCCUCGCUAGUCUCCCCACCUCUUGAUCCCAUCUGGAUCGGGGAGGGUAUUGCCCCCAUCAACCCCGUUGCCGUCGCCGGAUCGCCCGCCGACGUCGGCAGGCCUCCUCCCCGUCGCCCGUCUCCGGCUCACCUCCCCUCUCGCUCCUCUUCCCCGACCCGAUCUGGAUCGUGAACGAGCAAUGAGCUCGAAGCCCCCCUUCACCAGCGCCAUCACCGUGCGCCACCACCACCACCUGAAGACCUCACCGUCGCUGAACCUUGCGUCGCCUCCUUGUAUCCCUCCCCUACUCGCAUCCUCAAGCCAGGCCGAGCCCCUUCUCGGCAACGCUGUGAGACGCCCCCGUUUCCCUCCUCUUUCCACCGCGUUCACCGCGCCGCCCGCCGUGCCCCUCGCCGUGCAUGAGCCCACCACCGCACCAGCCCCCGCUCCGCGCACGACCCUACCCGCGCCCGCGCCAUGAUCCCCUUUUCCGCCCUACCUUCACGCGCUCGCCGCGAUCCCCAUGCUCCCCCGCGCCCUCUUUCGGGGGCGCCGACUGCCCCUGUCCCGGUGCUCGCCGCCGUGCCUCGCCACCGCUCUACUGCUACGUUACUACUGCGCUGCGGCCGCCGCCUCUUCCCGCUGCUCCGCUAGCGCCGAAGCUCCCGGUUGGCUCCACCACUGCUCACGUUAAACCGCCGGCCUAAAUGGCCUAACCCUCGGCUAAUGAACCCCCACUAACCCACUGACACCGGGACCCACAUUCCCUAAUUAACCAUUUAAUAAAUUAACAUUAGUGUAUGACAUGUGCGUCCCCUGUUAAUUAAUAAUUUUACUGCUAGUUUUAUUAGUUUCUGUUUUUCUGCAUAUUUCUUUUGUAUUUGAACAGGCUUUAUACAAUAAUAUUUAGCGUAUCAUACACAUACAAAUGUAAUCAUAGCAUAUACAUACAAAUAGUCUCAUCAAAUCAUGUCAUCAUCAUAAUCAUCAUCCAUCACAAAGUGGUCUCUGGUCAUCAUCUCGAAAAUAGCGAUACAAGUCUCGAUUACUUGCAACUACAUCGUCAUCCAUCUAAACAAUGAUAUACACGAGAAGAGCUCUCACUAUGAGUGAGAGCGGAACUAUGCAGUACAUGAGUUUGUAUCCCUCUCUCGCAUUAGCGUGAACCUAAACUAACGACUGGCUGUUGCUCGGAAACCGGAAACCGGUACACCUGGGCCUGACACUCCGGCCACUCAUCGUAUACUCCUGGCGUAGCACUUCUUCGCCAUCGAUGAUCUAUGCACCUGCAUCGUCACAUGAGUCGAUGAUAUGCAACAUAUAUAGUUGAGCAACAGAAAGAGACAGACUUGGCAAAAAUAGAAGCAACAUAUCACAAGUAUAAAUAACAAAGUUAAUGUUUUGCAGGAUUACAACUCAACCCAUUGCAGAUUAGAAAACAAGCCCGUAUGAAUGCACAGGCUGACGACUAGUCUAUCUAUACCUAUACCUAUACCUAUACCUAUACCUACCUAUACUAAUUACAGACUCCCAAGGAAUUCCCACGUUAAUUAGUAAUUAGGAGUCGUUAAUCUUGUGGGACCAAAUUAUUACGACAGUCCACGAUCUCUUUUCUCUCUGUGUAAAAAAAGGUCCACGAUCUCUUUUCUCGGUUGUAAAAGAUAAAGGCAACUCAGGUCCACGAUCUCUUUUCACGGUUGUGAAAGAUAAAGACAACUCCCGUCUUCUUCUAAUCUAUAGUUCUAUACCUCCACGACCCCUUUCUCUCCCCAUUUAAAAGGAACAAGCUGAACCAAUAUCUAAGCAUGCAAUUGGUUCCUGUGCGGUCUUGACCUUCCAUCCGUCCACUGCUCGAUCGGCCCUCCCUCAACUACAAGCUGACAAGCCACCAUCGCCAUCCAGCGGCACGCCACCGUUCAUGCAUGUGUUUUUGCCCUUCAAUCUGAAGGAGAUGCGUUGGCUACUCAAGUAACUCUGUUUGUUUUGUUCAAACCAAUUUCGUUAAUUCGGUUCUUUGAUUAUCUAAUUGACAUGGCCUGUGAGUUUUGUGCUAGUGAUACAGGGCCUGUCUACUAGAUUCUCUCCUUGCAACUUCUAUUGUUGUCUCGAUUUGGUGUGGUCAAGAUCCUUGCCCCACCACAAGCAGCACCUUUGCACCAUCGGGGAAAUCUGUCAUAGCAAACAGAGGUAUGUAACAUGCUUUGGUGUUUUCCUCUUUCGUUUAGAUCACUAGAGUUGCUCAACCACACCAUUCAUUGAUUAGUAGUUGGCCUGAGAAGUUGCUCGGUCACCUGCAGCGUCUGAUCCCCUUCUUGACCCUCUCCUUCUGGUCAUUAUCCACCGGCAGGUCAAUGCAAAACGGAUCGUUCGUUGCCGCCACCUUGCGGAGACCGAUGUUUGGCUGCCCUCCUGCCAUCCUGGCACUCUGGUACCGGUCACUGUGCCGUUGUUCUAGAAGAACUAUGUCACACGAAGCGAGAUAUCUUCUUACUAAUCUGGAACAUAAGUGUUUCUUCUUACUAGGAUUCGCUCACCGGUGCAUUCAUCUCUUUUUGGAAAAUACGGCCUUCAUAUUUCACACGCCUAUACAUGGGUGCUGUCCCAACAAUAAUCCAUCUAAUCCAUGAUGCACAUUCAUGAAGACUGAUGUGACUGAAUUAAUAUAUCAAUCUGGUGCUUCCGGAUCAGCACUUGAAGAAGCAACCCCUUUAGUUCAUAAAUUUAUCAUACGAAAGUCAGGGGAAAAAUCAACUAAGUCAUGUGUGCUUUUCUAAUUAAUUACUAUACACUAAUUCCAUUUUUUUCAGUAGCAGGCUAGGAUACGUGGAUUGUGGCAGCACAGAAGUAAACCGAUGAGCUACAUUGGCCGUUCACCAGUCAUCGGAUCAGAAGCCAUGUCGACCAGAGGGACGGAACAGUUCUAUAUUAGGCGAUGGAUACAUGUGGAAGCAACUAAGCAUAUGUGGAUGCAUGUGAUCGCAUAGGUAAGGCCAUAGCUGUUCAAGCCCUACAGGAUCUUUAUUGCUGGUUUUAAUUAUGAGUUUACAACACCAUCUAUACAUACUACUUAUCCAUUUAUUUCCUUACCUUCUUUGUUUCUUUCUCUCCUUGAUCCCCUGUCAAAAGGGCAUCAACAUCCAUAUGCGCAACGGCACACGCAACAAACUAUGACUUCGGUUGCACGUCCAAUGGCAACCACAGUACAUGAUGAUAUCAUGUUUGCUGCAAGACGAAGUACAAGUUCAUAAUUUGGUCUUUUGCAUGGUCCCUUAGUAAAUUAUAUUUGUCCACAUACACCACAUACAUAAAAACAGGUAGAAGCGGUUGCAUGAUGAAAAUGUCCUCUCAAUAUGCAUGCCUAUGAAUACUAUCACCAGAAAGCCAAGGACUAACAAUUAUUCAGGGGUCAAGAUUGAAGACAGACGUCCAAGAUUGGCAGUCGGCCGGCCUAAGAGGGGCAAAACCGUUGUACAUUAUAUUGUAUGGACCUAGCAAGAUCCUAAAGAUAAGUGAUAAUGGAGAUCAUGGGGGCCACCCUUAUAACCAUAUGUCCAAAUGUUCUUAUUUGUUUAUUUUUCUUUUCUCUUUUCGGAAGAAUCCAUCCUGCCUCUAUGGUCAUCCUGACCACUUCGUAUUGUUAUCUAAUCUCCUCCCUUAAUUAAUAUAAAGAAUUACCGCAGCUGAAUUCACUAAAAAAAGUAUUCAGUUUAUUUUAAUUUAUUCAACUAUUAUGGCAUAUCAAUUGGAUUGCAAGUUCUUGGCGGUUGCAUUUGAAUCAUAUUUGAUGUGCACAAAGGCUUCAGUGUCAAGGUGGUCGGACGAGUAUUUAUGUCCAUUAUAUAUGUGUUAGCUUGAGAUCAUCAGGCACCUGUUAUGCAUCUGUCCAGUUAAAAGGAUGUUCAGACUCAGGCUUGCCCUACCAUAUAUGGCUGUGACACUCUGAACCAAGCAAGUUGGUCAUAUGUGUCGAGCACUAUUAACUCUUUGGAAGAGGAUCCACCAAGUACAGGAAACAAAUCAAAUAUCUUCUUAACCUUAUCACCAGAAAAAUUAGCAAGAGAUGAAUAGUAACAUUUUAAAGAAGAAAGAUAUGUUUGAAAAGGGAUAUAUAUUAUGGCGACGAUUAGAAGAGCCCUUGACGAAUGGUGCCUAGCCUGCGAAAGUUUCUUAUGAAUAUAGUCAACACUCUAUAUCAACUGUUGUAAGAUUUUAGAAAUAUUUUUGGGGACAUAUGAUACAUGUCUAUUAUACAUAUGAUUCAACAGAAGUUUGAUUGAAUACAUAUUUAAAACGUGACUGACUUCUAUAUGGACGGAGUAUUUCACAAAGGACUCACUGCCAACUGUGUGAAUAUUCCAAGAUAGUUAGUGCACAUAAAUGUUCAAAUCCAUAGCCUGCAUAAAUAUACAAAAGCAAUGUGUUAGACCACUACACAUGCUUCUGAAAGGAGGCAAAAAAAUGUAUGCUUGAUUGAUGACCGUUCAUGCAUGAAAUUAAUUUCUGAUUUCUAAUUAUUUUGGUCAUAUAAUGGAAAUAGAGACAUUAUAAAGAUCCAACAGCAUGCUAUCACACACGUGUGAACACAGACACACACAAAUAACAUUUGCCGAGCACUCACAAAUAAAAGGUGUGGCUACUCUUGGGUGUUCUACAGCUGGCUUAAAAAAACACGUAUGAAACAUGAUCCCCAAAAAUCUGAAAUUCGCAACAUAUGAAAAUCCACCCUCAAACAUAUUUCUGGUGUCUCAAUUCUUUUAGUUUCAGAUGGUAUGUCCAGCCAAAGUAGUUGUACACAUACAUUACUAUGUUCUAUUAUUUGAGAUUCUAAGACAACAUUUAGUAACUAGCCCGUGCGAUGCACGGGUUCACGACUAGUAUAUAUAAAGCUUAAUGGUGCCUAAGAAAGCUCGCACAAUUUUACAGUGGCUGUGGAGAUGUGUUGCCAAACUGAGACAUAAGAUUUUCGUUUGGCAUCCAGAGUUGCAGACCGCUUGUGUUAUCCUUAAUCCAUGGCCACUCUAAUUUUUCCGGCUGGGCCUUCCCUGUGGUACGGCAGCAAGGCUUGCGUGUGUAUAUGUUUCCUUUAACUACCACUAGCACAUAUGCCCGUGCGUGCGUUGCAAGGGGAGAGAUAAUGGCGUAUCCACCAAUAUAUCUAGCAGCAUGACCCAACAACAUCCGAAUGAUGUCACCCGACGACGGCAGGAAGGCACACACAGAGGUCUAGUAAAAACUCAACAAUUGUACGGGCAUGGUUAAUUCGCGUGAAUUCAAGGGUGUGAGAUUAGUUAGUGUUGGUCCCACAAUUGAAUUCGGGGGCUGAUUAGUUAGUGUGGGCCCACCCUUGAAUUCACCGGGGGAGACAAAAUAAUUAGGGUGAGGAGAGAUUUACGGGGCUUGGUCCCCAGAUGCGUUGCGGCAGUCAUUAUUCGAGCAUUGCAAUGCUCGCACGUGAGGAGCUCUUUUUCCAAUUGUAUAUUGAGAAGCAUUGCUACAGAUACAAUGUUUUUGAUACGUUUUUGUACGAUGAUCCUGAUCUUAAAGGGCCUUCUAAUUUUUAAAUCUUAAAGGCAUUAUUUGUAAGUUGUCGUGAAAAAAAUCUCGCUAAAAGGGUUAUGUUAGACCAUCUUCAGUACAUUAGAAAUAACGAAUUAUAAUUCCUUGGCAUUUGAACAAACAAUCCCUACUUAUUUACACAUACAAUACUUUUGGUAUGAUUUUGAAAUCUUGAAGGCAUUAUUUGUAAGUUGAAGCAAUUUUGAAAUCUCACUAAAAGGUCUGUUAGACCAUCUAUAGCUUUAGAAAUAACUAAUUAUAAUUUUGCAAAAAAAAGAAAUAACUAAUUAUAAUUCCUUAAGCAUCUGACCGAAACGACCCCGAUUUAUUGUCUGGGUAGUAAUUCCUUUGCAACAUUAUUCUCUCCUUUCUUGAAGGAACUCUUGCCUGGGUAGUAAUUCCUUUGCCCACGUAUUUGCAAGGUUAUUCUCUCCUUCAUUUUUACAGGAGCUCUCCUUCCUUAUACUAAUUGGUCAUUAUCCUCUCCUUCCUUUUUCUUUUUGCCAAACUCUCUUUCCAUAUUUAUGCCGCUAACCACGCCACUCUUUUUCCUUAUUUAUGCCCUUUGAUCACGCCACACAUCUCAUGAAAUCUAAGCCAUAUAUAUCACCCAUCUUUUUUCCUUAUUCCGGUGCUUUCCUCACAAACAGUAGUUCUCUAGGAUGCUUAACGAUUUUGAAACAGAAACAUAUAUAAAUCGGUAGAACGGGUUGUAAAGCAGCGAGGUGGUACUAAUUUAUAAAGAAACAAACCUUUUCUUUUUGUGUAAUGAUGCCUUGGUUCGGCUGGUUGCGUUGGGAAAAGGACCGGCGAAGUGGGCGAACCAAAAACGGAUAAAAUUACGGUGGUAAGAAGCGAUAGCCCUUUUAUUAGUAGGUAUGAGGAUGUCUAGGAUGUCUAGGAUGAGGAUUUACUGCACACAAGUGCGGGGGCACUCAGGUCCUGAUGCCGCCUUUUUAUUUUGGCUUCCGAUUUUCAAACUUCUAUAUCUUUUAAACAAAAAAUUCAAUUUAAGUUACGUUUUCAUAUUCGUGCUUCUCGCGGCCAGCGCUUUCAAAUAAGAUCCAUUUUGCAUACAUUUUGGUGGCUUUUGGAAACGGGCGAAUAGCUCCUAUGCGACGUUGUUGGUGUGUAUUGUCUCUCAUGCGACGUUGUUGGCUGUAAUAGCUCUCAUGCGACAUCUGCGUUGGAAAAAAUAGCUCCCAUGCGACACACCAUUUACGCGGCUAGUUGGCUGUUAGUUAGGCUGAGGUUUGGUUAGGACACUGGGGGUUAUGUGCUCUGACUGGUGGGGUCCACCUAUGGUCACGUAGACAAGAGUCAACCGUCCACGACUCGACCUGGGACUGUGUGACCGUGCUCGACUCACCCGUGCUGGACUGAGUGAGCGGUGCCGCCGUAAGCAUCUUCUCCGACAGCGGUUUCUUCUCCGCGGUGGUGGAGCGCAUUUCUCGGCAGCGGCAGAGCUAUUGCGAGGUGAGCCCGAAACCCUAGUCCCACUCCCCAGAAUUUUGGGGGAUCUGUGGCCUCAUGCUGCCCUCUGUUUCUUGGCGAUUUAGAAUCGGGCUCCAUUGGAUCCGGGGGUUGUUUCUUCUCCGUGGCCCGGUGGUGGAGCGCCUAUCUCUGUAGCGGCUAUUGCGAGUGAGUAUUUUCCAAACACUACUCGCAUUCCACUAAAUUUUGGAUAAAUCUGUGGCCUCAUGCUGCCCCUAUUUCUUGGCGUUUUAGAAUCUCGAUUGGAUAGGAGAUGGAGCGAGGGCUGGAUGAGAUGGAGCGAGGAGACAGUGCUUCAAAUCGGUAAUGCCACACUCUUUUCUUGGCGAUUUAGAAUCGAACUCGAUUUGGUAGUGACUGCCGCCGCUGCCUGCCAUUGACAAAACAGGGGAGGUUCAAGUUCUGCCACCACAUUCACAAUUAUAGUGGAAUUUUUUCCCUGUAAAGCCAAGCUCAGUGAUGGCAGUGUCCAAGACAUUGAUAGAGAUACCACCGUGAGGUUCGAUGUCGAAUUUGCAGAUGUUGAUCCCCAGGAAUUGGAGAGCAUGAAGGAGAAGGCCGUGGGCAAUUUGGUGGAGAGAAUUGGGGAGAAUAUUGUUUGGGGUCCAGAACAAGAGGUAUGUCUGCAACGUUUCGAUAACUAUAAUGGUGAAUAUGUGAGAAUUGAAGAUGGAGAAUCCAUGGUUGCUGAAAUUGAUCAGCAAGAAGGGUGGGCAACUAAACAAGUAACAUUUUAUGCAGAGCUAAUUGAUCUACAAACUCAUUCCAGAGUUGGUUAUGUGCAAUCAAAGAGGGCUGCACAGAUGGAAGAUGAUGAGUGGGUUUCACAAAAGAAGAUGUUGGCAUUGUUGACUGAACCGACUGUAGUAGCUGAAGAUACAGGGAUUGAUGCAGAUGGAGAGGAGGGAACCCAUGGUGCUAGGAAGAUUGUUGUUGACUGGAAUGUAGUAGAGUUGAAUGAAAAAACAGAUUUGGUCAUUACACCAAUAUCUGACAUUGAUAUGGCCGAAAUGUUUGGCAUUCAAGUUGAUGACAAAGAUAAGGAGAAGGAUGACAGUUCUUUGCCUGCUGAAGGAACAUAGGCCCUAGAAAUGCAAAUGAGGAUGAAGAACAGCUGAUGAGAGAGGCUGCAGAUGAUGUGGAUGAUGCAGAUGAUAAUGAGUUGGUUUGUUUGUAUGACAAAGAGAACCCAGUUAUUGAGGUGGGAAAGUUGUGGCCAAGCAUGAAGGAGUUUAGGAUGUCUUUCAGGACCUAUGCAGUGAAAAAGAGUUUGAUGCCAAGACUAUGUGGACUGAUUGAAAGAAAUUUUAUGCUCGGUGCAAAGGUUAUGAUGGUGGUGGCAAUCCUUGCAAAUGGUACUUGUCUGCCAGACUACAACCUGAUUGAAGUACAGUAAGGGUAAAUCAAAUACCACACCAGCAUACAUGUAUGACCACUUCACAGAGAGUUUCAAAGAUGACAUCACAGCUUUGGGUUACAGAGAAGAUUACUCCUAUUUUAGCCAAGACUCCAAACACUACUGCAAAGAGGCUUAAAGUUGACUUGGAGAAGCUGUACCCCAUCCAGCUGCAAUAUACCACAGUGUGGAAAGCAAAACAAAGGGCCAUGAAAUCAUUGUAUGGUGACUGGGCAAAUACAUUUAGGAUGUUGUAUAGUUUUAAAGCAGAGGUGGAGAAGAGGUCACCUGGGAGUGUGGUGGAGAUAGAUACAGAGGUAACAGAGGAUGUCAUGGUUUUAUUCAGCAAGUUUUUUAUGUGUUUGAAGCCAUGCAUAGAUGGAUUCAAAGCAGGUUGUCGUCCAUAUUUGAGCAUAGACUCAUCUUUUUUGACUGGAAAGUGGAAUGGUCAGUUGGCUGCAUGCAAUGCUCUAGAUGGACGCAACUGGAUGUUCCCAAUUGCAAUAGGAAUGUUUCAAUCAGAGACAGAGGCAUCAUGGAUAUGGUUCAUGAUGCAACUGAAAAGAUGUAUAGGGCCAGUUUCUCCUUUAGCCAUCCACACAGAUGCAUGUAAAGGGUUCGAAAAUGCAGUAAAAAAUGUUGUCCCCCAUGCUGAGCAGAGGGAGUGCUUUGGACAUAUGUGGAUGAAUCUGAUAAAAAAAUUAGAGGAGAUGAAUUUGGGCGCAUGUGGCCAGCAGCAAGAUCCUACACCAGACAGACACAUUCCUAUCACCUUGGUAAGAUAUUGGCAUCAUGUAGUGAUAAUGAAUUUGCUUCAUGGUUGAACACCCGCCAUUCUCUGUUGUGGUAUAGAUCAGGUUUUAAUACUGCCAUAAAAUGUGAUAAUAUCAAUAACAACUUGGCAGAAAGUUUUAACAACAAAGUGAAGGAUUUGAAAGACUUGCCUGUGCAUGACAUGGUGGACCAAAUAAGGAUCAUGAUCAUGCGUUUGUGGGAGUUGAGAGGAAAAAUUGCUAAUAUUUUGGAAGGGGACAAGCUUCCAGCAGUGGUACAAUAGGUGGUCAACAGGAGUAGAAAUCUUUCACAUCUAUCUGUUGAGAAAUCUUCCUUGUGGGGUGCUGAAGUUAGAGAUACAAAGAGUGGCAAGAGGCAUGUGGUAAAUACUGAGUUGCAUGAGUGUACUUGCCGAGAGUGGCAACACACUGGAAAACCAUGUGAGCAUGCCAUACUUUUUUUGGCAUCUAAACCCAGGUUAAAUAUGCACCCAUAUUUGCAUGAGUAUUAUUCAGUACAAAAAUUCAAAGCUGCAUAUGCAAGUCCAAUUCCUGCACUGACUGACCAAUCUCAGUGGCCUGAGGUGGAAAUAGAAUUUACCUUGUGUCCCCUGUCACUAGAAGAAAGGCUGGGAGGCCUAAACAGAGCAGAUUCAAAGCUUGGUUUGAGAAAGGUGGUUGUAGUAAGAAGGGGAAAAAAGAAAAGAAAAAGAAUGAUAAGCCCAAAAGGGCUCAAAAAGGUAAGAAAAAUAGGUGCAAGUUGUGUGAGGUACUUGGGCACAGAAUUGGUUCAUCCAAGUGCAUCUAUACUCCUCAGAGGACAAAGUAUGUUCAUGUUACUGUUUUUACAAGUUUUUGAUUUUGUUACUUGUUCUAGUAUCUAACCAAGUCAAAUGCUUUAUUUUUUAGGAGGAAGCGUGCAGAAAAAGCCCCACCUCUUGUUGUUGAACAAUGCUGGCCAGUGAAAAAAGCAAGACUCAAUGGCUAUAUAGAAGGAAGAGCACUAAGCAGAUAAUGUUUGGUGACAAAGAUAUGGAGCUAACUGAAACUGUUACUGCUGAACAUGAGCUAAGUGUUUCUGUUUUGGACGAUGUGAUGCAUACUGAAUCUGUUUUGCAGACGCUAGGGCAAUCUGAAACUGUUGCAGAUGAAGCAACGGUUGUGCUGCCAUGCGAAUCUGCUUUGACAACUGUGUUGCCAUGUUUGGAGGUUGUGCUGCCAAGUGUUGAGUUGCAAACUGAAGUAGUUGAACAAUUUGUGCCAUCUACUCAAUCUGCAGAAGUGCAAACUGAAGAAGUGCAAACUGAAGAAGUGGGACAUGGUCAGGUGAAAAAGUUGAGGGGGCCUAGUGGAGUUUGCAAGGGGCCAAAAAGCAAGAGCAUCAACAUCAACAAACUAUGCGCCGUGGAACCAAACGAUGGAAAAAAGCAGAAGAAAUCGAGUGGUAGAAAGAAGCAAAAGAAAUAGAGUCGAAAUCAUUCAAAUUUGAUGUGAAAACUUAAGUUUGUUGUCAUUUGAUGUGAAAACUUAUGUUCUUUCAUGUGAAAACUUAUGUGCUAUGAUGUUGAUUUGACUUGAAAUAAAAUUCAAAUUUGAACCGACAUUCAAAUUUGAACCUAUCUCCAAAUUUUUUUGAGUUCAUUUGUUUGUUCUGUGAUGUUGCAUCGUUUUAUGUACUACUAUGCACUUUGUGAAGUCCAACUCAUAGUCACUGAAAAUGCUGUACAAACAGGCUCCAAAGUAAGGGAAAACGGCCCCAUUUCUAAGCAAGUUUUUUUCGAUCUUCUCAAAAUCACCCAAAAAAGAUUUUCUUAGCUUAUAUUAUACCUAUAUAGGAUCAAUACAAAGUCUCACCUUUUUUGAAUAAGUAUUCAUAUUAUUUAAUUUAUUUUUGAAAAAACACCCUUUAAUACAAAGUCAGCAAUAAAACAAGUUUAAAAAUUUUAAAUGCAAAAAUAACUUCAGAUCCUCCUUAGUCACUCUAAAAUGAAGCUAAGGUGAUGUUUUUUGAUUUUUUUGCAUUUUCAAAACCUCAAACCCUCUUCUCACUCCUUUGAACUCUAUGCAACCUCAGUCGAGAUAGUCCAAUUUGUGAAGGUUUUUUCAUGCAAAGAUCAUUAGAUCAAGUUUAUCAUUUUAUAUCAUAACUAUGUAACAUAAAAAGGCUAUAUGCGCAGGUUUUUCAUUUUUUAGAUUUUUUUGAAUUAGUUAUACACAUUUGAAUGUUCGGUCAAACCUUUCAAAACCCCGUUGACUGCCUCAAAACCCCAUGUAACCCUAGCGCCAAACGUCCACCGUCGAUCUAACCCUAACGCCAAACUGCGGCCGUCGGAUGGGACUUCUAGAAGGAUUCCGCGGGGGCGAUCCAUGGGCUCCAAUCUGAUUGGCCAUUGUUUUUUCUCUCUGACGAACAGAUAACGUUGAGCGGGGGAGCAUCUAAGUGACCGUUGGGCCGAGUGGAUUGGGCCUGGCAAAGCCUGGCGUGCGUGCACACGGCUGUUGAGAGGGGGGAUGGGCUGCAUGCGAGCGGGUCAAUGACAUGUGGGCCAUCCUUGUCCCAUGCAUGCCAUGCAACGUCGCAGCCUAGCUAUUCUUUGCUCGUGAAAGCCUAGCCAUUUGCAUGCGGGCUUGCAUGCACGCAUCGACGCAGAGUACGGCAAGGGUGCAGCGUAUAGGUACGUCGCAUCUAAGCUAUUUUAACAAAUGCAUGUUUGAACGAGAUGGACGCGUCGGUGGUGCAGCUCCUUUUUCAGUGUCACGCGCGGAUGAACGGGCCUGUUUCCCAUGCGGCAUCACCGCCGAUGCAAGUGCCCGUGCCUCUUUGGAUGCUCUGGCCGCCGUUUUUUGAAUUAAUGCCCGCAAUUACUUAUGCCAUGCGAACGGAGAAGAGAAAAAGAUCGAGAAGGGGCACCGUGUACACAUUGACCAUGGUUGCAAUGCGGCUAUAAAAGGGCACCAUUUCCUCAUCCUCUCACACUCAUCUCUCAAGCCUCCUCCCCUUCUUCUUUUCGAGCCAAAUCCACCACUCGAGCCACCAUGCAGUUCAACGGCCCUACCUACCGUCGCCCUUGCACCGUGCCGGAGAGGCAGUACCCAGCCGGAGUCGUCGUGGAGAACAGCCUGAGGGUGUGGGCCAUCUCUAGGUGGAGGGGCCCUAGAGAGUUGGCUCGCUUCUUCCUCCAAGCUGGCUACCGCCACCUCCCUCCGGGCACUCCGCCCAUGUUCCACCUCCACGAGCAGUACGAUGGCAAUGCCGGCCCCGACGGCUUCGUCAUCGGCCUCUAUGUCACCUUCACCAACCCCUACGACGCUCACCACCUCCCCGGGGAGGUGUUCUGGUGUGGAUGCGAGUUUAUCGCGUUCACGACCUACAACAUCUUCACCAACUUCCACCACAUCUUCCCUCACCACAACGGCAUGCACACCCUCCCCUAUCAGAUGCCGGAGGACGACGAGUGAGGGGCCCAAGGAGGAGGGUCCAAGGAGUGGCAAGGAGGAGGGGCCAAGGAGUUGUUCAAGCGGCGAGUCUUCUAUCUAUCUAGUUUGGGGCUCUAGUUUGUGUUUGUGUUGGUUCGGGCGUGUGUGCCCGUGUCUUUUAUAUAUCUAGUUUUAAUUAUUUUACUUUCAUGUUUUAUGAACUAUAUGUAGUGGGGGGAUGCCCCUCUAUAAGUUUUAUCUAUCUAUGCUACUAGGGUACCCGAUGCCCCUCUAUCUAUCUAUAUGUUUUUUCGGUCCUAAAGUUUCUCCAUUGCAUUUUAUUUAUGUGGCCAUGUGUACUAAAAAACAAUUGAUCUGGUAUCUAAAAUGUACGUUACCAAGAAAUUGACAAUAAAGAUUAUAUACUGUACUACAUAAUCAUACAGUUGGUAUACAAUGCAUUUGAAGACAAUGGGCAAGAAAAAUGCUAAUUAUCUGGUGCUGGUGACAUGCGUAAGUGUUGUCUGAUGUUUAAAUCAUGCUUGCUAUGUCAUUUUUUGCUGCCAAACAUGGCAUUAGCGAGAAAGGUCAUUUGGGCACUGAAUGUAUUAAAGUAUACACCAUAUAUAAAAAUGUCUAGCCAAAAGAUUUGGGUGUACAACUGUACACCAAUGACCAAGUAUGGAUCCGCCCCUGGUUGUAAGGGGAUGCCCCUCUAUGUUGUAAGGAGAUGCUACUAGGGGCACACUAGAUGUCUUCUUUUUUUGAGAGAGGCACAACCUUUUUCGGUUGAAACACACGAGUAAAAACUUUGAAAACACCAUAGCACAAGUAAAAAAAUAUAUUAAGAAAUGGUGCUUGGUUGAAAUAAACUAGAACCAAACAAUUGCAACUUUCUUGGUUCACAAAGACUGCUCAAAUAAUUAUCUCAAAUAGCUUAUGCAUAAAAAUAUCUCAAAUAAUUAUUAGAUGAGUUAUCUCAAAAAAGGUGACUGCAGGAAACUUAAAAUUUGUGAAAUGAUCUAAAGCCGAAAAGAUAUAUCGAUGAAUUAUCUCAAAUAGCUUAUGCAUAAAAAUAUCUCAAAUAAUUAUUAGAUGAGUUAUCUCAAAAAAGGUGACUGCAGGAAACUUAAAAUUUGUGAAAUGAUCUAAAGCCGAAAAGAUAUAUCGAUGUCAAUGACCGUGUGCACUUUUUUUGCACUCCUUUUAUCAAUGGGCCUGGAUAUGUUCUAUUCGGCCCUGCCUAACUUCUAUAUGGGCCUGGCCUUUUCGGGCAACUAUGGACGAACCUUUUUUUUCCUUUUCUCCCUCUACCACUGAAACUGAAACUGAUGACGAACUGAAGAACUAAAAAACGGGGCCGAAACAGAGUGGAGAGGACAUGCUGAAUUCGUACAACGCAACACUUUUAUUCAAAUAUACAUAUCAUUAGGAUUACAAAUGAUGCCCAAUCUAUUCACUUACGACUAAUUAUCAUCACAUAAACAAAUGCGAGAGCAAUUACACAAACAUAAAAAAGUCCGGCCAUCAGCCCCAUCAAAUUGCCCUGCUUCUGCAAUUUGAUGAGUUUCUUCAUCUGCUUGUUUAGCUUCUUCAGCUCUGCCGUCACUACUGCAUCCCCCACAGUAGCCCCAAUGGAAUGGGCACAUCCAGGGGCCCCAGAUCCAGAAGCGCCCGAUCCAAACUUGCCCAACUUCUCCACCUCCAGCGGUAAAUCGAGCUCCCCUGAUGCACCCUCCAGUUGAAUCCGCUCUAUGUACUCAUUUAGCCACUCAAAAUGGGUGCAUUGCUUCAAUUUCUGAAAUUGGAAAGAUGAACCCUAAAUCCCAAAUCCGAUGAAAAAUGGGGAAAAAUUGUGAUAUGAAAUUGGGAUACAAAAACCAAAAUUGGCAUAUUGAGAAGUAAAAUCUCACCUUUCCCUGCUCUGGUUUGCUCUCGCAUUUCACGAAUUCCCGCCCAAGGUUGCCAUUCUUGUCGGUCGUUGUGACUAGCCGCUUCAGGGGUGUGAUACGUGGGCCUGCAGGGCACCUUGUCAUGGGCACUGCGCCAUAGCGCGGCCAUGAGCGGCGGGAGGCUGAAGCGGAGCUCGACAUUGCUAGGUCGCGGCCCGGAACGGCGUUGCUGCGCGUCGUCGCCGGAGAAGAAGAACAACAACGGUCGGGGAGGGGGGGUGGGGGCGGGGGCGAGGAUGGGCCACGGCUCGGGCCACGGCUCGGUGUCCUCUUGUACCAAUGCUGACCUGGAUAAGUUAGUGGGUCCCACGCAGUGGGUCCCGCUCACCUGACCAAUGCUGAGUUGGAUAAGUUAGUGGGUCCCGCGCUGUGGGUCCCGCUCACCUGAUUCGAGUUUUAAACAUGUGUCUUUGGAUUAGACAGCAGUGUCGCAUGGGAGCUAUUUUUUCCUAUGCAGAUGUCGCAUGAGAGCUAUUACAACCAACAACGUCGCAUGAGAGACAAUACACACCAACGAUGUCGCAUAGGAGCUAUUCGCCCUUUGGAAACAUUGCUAAGUUUCAUUGUUUGAAACUUAGUACGAGCGACCGAUAAAAUUUAAUUAUUUUGUGUCUACGACCAACAGGAGAAAUUGCUUAAAAUUACAUCUUUGAAACUGGUCAUUUUUUGAUGCAAAAAUGUAAGUUUCAUCAUUGAAACUUAAGGGCAUGUCCAAUGCUGGAUGCUUAUCCAGGCGCUUAUCGUGUGGAAAAAAAAAAUGCCACGAAGUUAGCUCUCGCUUGUCCAACAGCCAAUGCUAACAACGGGCGCUAACCACGGCUGGAGCUAUAGAUUAGAAAGAAAGAUCUGGUUCACUUGUACGUGAAAAAAGGAGCAAGCGCUCGAUGCCUUGCUUUGCAUCGAUGCCAGACUGAGGUGCUGGGAAUCGACAAGAUAACCGCCAAUCUACCAGGAUUAAAUUCCUAGCGCCUUCUUCUAGCGCCUCCCACUGAAAAUGCCCUAAAGGUUUUUGAGGGAUUUUUUUACUGUGUCCUACUUCACGUAUCACGAGGCAAAUCAAGUAGGCGGCAUGGCCUGGCCGGUGAGUGCCAUUGCACUUACUUGCCCCAGCGAUUUUCCGCCUGCAUUGUAGAAUUCUUUCUCCGAGUCCUGUGAAUUAAAGAUGGUGCAGACAAAAGUAUAUCCUAUAUGCGUACAUGUGCAUGAUCAGAACAUGUUUUUACGUGCGUCUACUAUAAAUCAUGACCAUUUUUAACACAAAUCAUGACCAUUCAUGAUUAGUGAAUCAUACUGUCUUAACUUAUGUGAAAUCAUGUGGAGUAAUAUAAUAUAAUAUAAUAGAUAGAUAGAUCCAUGUUGUAUCAUUACACAUUUUGAUUUAUGCAUUUGUUUACAAAAAAAACAGUAAAAUUUCAUGGUGAAAAGUUUGUAUUGUUUCAUACUGAACACCAAUGUUUUCCCGUAAAAGAAAAUAAUGCCUACGCAUAUGCUUUUAUAUUAUUAUUAUUCUUUCAAACUUAUUCAUAUAGUAUUUUUGAUUGUGCAACCAUAAUUUUUAUUAUCUCUCUUGUUCCACUACAUGCUCUUACUCAAUGAUUUUUUUAUAAUGGGUGUUUUUAUUAACUCAAAAUAUAGCAUCAAGCGGAUACAAAACAUAACGAGCCACGUCCGGUCUCUGCAUAACUAAGAUGCACACAGCCAAAAGCAGAAGUCUGACAAAAAUAAGAUAAGAAAAUCAACAUAUCGACAACAGUGAGUCAUAUAGUUCCGACACUAUGCCUCUGUUGAAGGACGGGGUGGAGCGAUCUGGAGAUUAUGCUUCCCUCCAUUUUGAGUAAAUACCUCCCUGGCCACUUGUUCCAACCGCAUAGACGCCGCCACGAAUAAUGGUUGGUACUCUGUUCGGUGUAGCAUACACCAUGUAGGAAGUGAGUGCUCACUCCUAGUUACUAAAUUAUGUACACACUAGUAGAAAAAGGGCCAUUUGUCCCGGUUCGUAAGGCCCAUUUGUCUCAGUUAGGGAACCGGGACUAAAGGGUCGGUACUAAAGCCCUACACCUUUAGUCCCGGUUCUUACACCAACCGAGACAGAUGGGGCUCCACGUGGCCGCUGCGGCUUGCCAUGGCAGGGGGGCCUUUUGUCCCGGUUGGUAGCACCAACCGGGACCAAUAAGCUACCACGCGUCAGCAUUUGAGGGGCUUGGGUUUUUGUUUUUUUCUGAAGGGGGGGAGGGGGGUUGGGGGUUUUGGGGGGUUUUGUAUGGUUAAUUUUGGGGGGUUUCAUAUAUAGUGUUAGGUAGUAAUUAAUUAAUAGAGAGAAGUGUCCUCUCUUAUCUCCGUGCUUGGUCGACGCUACGUACUAUACGUAUAGAGAGGCCCUCGACACGCUUGCCAGUAAGCAAAUGAAGGAAACCAUUAAGUACAGAAGUUCGUCAUGAACAUAUGCAUACAAACAUAAGUGAUAUCGACCUCUCCUUCUCCGAGAGAUAGGUCGAAGAACAAGUUUCCGUAUAUCUAUCCGGCGCUACUAGCUACAUAUAUACAAUAUUAAGAUCUCUUACAAUAUAAUCCCCUAAUUAUAUAUGAACUCAGCUUCCAGAUGGUAUUCUCCGGCUUUAUUGAUGACGUGGUCAAGAAAGAAUCCCUCCAAUUCCUCUUGAAUUGCUUUGAUGCGAUCUUGUGGUAGGAGUUCAUCCUGCAUCUGCCACAUCUAAUUUGAAGAAGGGGGUCAAUCACUAGUGGAAUAACAGCCAUUUGUCUAGGUUCGUAAGGCUCAUUUGUCCCGGUUGGGGAACCGAGACUAAAGGGUCGUUACUAAAGCCCUACACCUUUAGUCCCGGUUGUCGGUGUCAAAACCGGCGGAUCUCGGGUAGUGGGUCCUGAAUUGUGCGUCUAGGCCGGAUGGUAACAGGAGGCAGGGAACACGAUGUUUUACCCAGGUUCGGGCCCUCUUGAUGGAGGUAAAACCCUACGUCCUGCUUGAUUAAUAUUGAUGAUAUGGGUAGUACAAGAGUAGAUCUACCACGAGAUCAAGGAGGCUAAACCCUAGAAGCUAGCCUAUGGCAUGAUUGUUGUGUAUGGAGUUGAUUGCCUACGGACUACAACCCUCCGGUUUAUAUAGACACCGGAUAGGGUUAGGGUUACAUAGAGUCGUUUACAAUGGUAGGAGAUCUUGAAUAUCCGCAUCACCAAUCUUGCCUUCCACGCCAAGGAAAGUCCCAUCCGGACACAGGACGAAGUCUUAAAUCUUGUAUCUUCAUAGUCCAGGAGUCCGGCUGGACGUAUAGUCCGGCUACCCGAACACCCCCUAAUCCAGGACUCCCUCACCGGUUCUUACACCAACUGGGAGAGAUGGGCCUCCACGUGGCCGCUGCGGCGAGCCCAGGUAGGAGGUCCUUUGGUCCCCGUUAGUGACACUAAUACGUCUCCAACGUAUCUAUAAUUUUUGAUUGCUCCAUGCUAUUAUGUUAUCCAUUUUGGAUGUUAAUGGGCUUUAUUUUACACCUUUAUAUCAUUUUUGGGACUAACCUACUAAUCGGAGGCCUAGCCCAAAUUGCUAUUUUUUGCCUAUUUUAGGUUUUUGAAGAAGAGGAAUAUCAAACGGAGUCCAAACGGAAUGAAACCUUCGGGAACGUGAUUUUCUCAACGAACAUGAUCCAGGAGACUUGGAGUGUGCGCCAAGAAAUAAGGGAGGAAGGCACGAGGCAGGGGGGCGCGCCUACCCCCCUUGAGCAUGCCCUCCACCCUCGUGGGCCCUCCACUGCUCCACCGACGUACUUCUUCCUCCUAUAUAUAUCCACGUACCCCCCAAACAACCAGGAGCACCACGAAAACCUAAUUCCACCACCGCAACCUUCUGUACCCGAGAGAUCCCAUCUUGGGGCCUUUUCCGGAGGGGGCAUCGAUCACGGAGGGCCUCUACAUCAACUGCAUGGCCUCUCCGAUGAUGUGUAAGUAGUUUACUUCAGACCUACGGGUCCAUAGUUAUUAGCUAGAUGGCUUCUUCUCUCUCUCUUUGGAUCUUAAUACAAAGUUCUGCUCGAUUUUCUUGGAGAUCUAUUCGAUGUAAUCUUCUUUUGUGGUGUGUUUGUCGAGAUCCGAUGAAUUGUAGGUUUAUGAUCCAGAUUAUCUAUGGACAAUAUUUGAUUCUCCUCUGAAUUCUUUUAUGUAUGAUUCGUUUAUCUUUGCAAGUCUCUUCGAAUUAUCAGUUUGGUUUGGCCUACUAAAUUGAUCUUUCUUGCAAUGGGAGAAGUGCUUAGCUUUGGGUUCAAUCUUGCGGUGUUCGAUCCCAGUGACUGAAAGGGAAGCGAUAUGUAUUGUAUUGUUGCCAUCGAGGAUAAAAAGAUGGGGUUUAUAUCAUAUUGCAUGAGUUUAUCCCUCUACAUCAUGUCAUCUUCCUUAAAGCAUUACUCUGUUCUCUUGAACUUAAUACUCAAGAUGCAUGCUGGAUAGCGGUCGAUGUGUGGAGUAAUAGUAGUAGAUGCAGAAUCGUUUCGGUCUACUUGUCUGGGACCUGAUGCCUAUAUACAUGAGCAUACCUAUAUAUUCUCAUAACUAUGCUCAAUUCUAUCAAUUGCUCGACAGCAAUUCGUUUACCCACCGUAAUACUUAUGCUCUUGAGAGAAGCCACUACUGAAACCUAUGGCCUCGGGGUCUAUCUUCUAUCAUAUUAAUCCUCCAAUACUUAGUUAUUUAUAUUUCUAUCUAUUUUACUUUCCAUCUUUUAUUUCUCUUUAUCAUAAAAAUACCAAAAAUCUUAUCUUAUCAUAUCUAUCAGAUCUCACUGUUGUAAGUGACCGUGAAGGGAUUGACAACCCCUUUAUCGCGUUGGUUGCGAUGUUCUUAUUUGUUUGUGUAGGUUCGUGGGACUUGAGCGUGAUCUCCUACUGGAUUGAUACCUUGGUUCUCAAAAACUAAGGGAAAUACUUACGCUAAUUUACUUCAUCACUCUUUCCUCUUCAAGGGAAAACCAACGCAAUGCUCAAGAGGUAGUGUCGGUGUCAAAACCGGCGGAUCUCGGGUAGUGGGUCCCGAACUGUGCGUCUAGGCCGGAUGGUAACAGGUGGCAGGGAACACGAUGUUUUACCCAGGUUCGGGCCCUCUUCAUGGAGGUAAAACCCUACGUCCUACUUGAUUAAUAUUGAUGAUAUGGGUAGUACAAGGGUAGAUCUACCACAAGAUCAAGGAGGCUAAACCCUAGAAGCUAGCCUAUGGUAUGAUUGUUGUAUAUGGAGUUGAUUGCCUACGGACUACAACCCUCCGGUUUAUAUAGACACCGGAUAGGGUUAGGGUUACAUAGAGUCGGUUACAAUGGUAGGAGAUCUUGAAUAUCCGCAUCGCCAAGCUUGCCUUCCACACCAAGGAAAGUCCCGUCCGGACACGGAACGAAGUCUUCAAUCUUGUAUCUUCAGAGCCCAGGAGUCCGGCUGAAGGUAUAGUCCGGCUAUCCGAACACCCCCUAAUCCAGGACUCCCUCAGUAGCCCCUGAACCAGGCUUCAAUGACGACGAGUCCAGCGCGCAAAUUGUCUUCGGCAUUGCAAGGCGGGUUCCUCCUCCAAGUCCUUCAUAGAAGAUUGUAAGCACCAAGAGUAGUGUCCGGCUCUGCAAAAUAAGCUUCCACAUAUCGCCAUAGAGAGAAUAAUAUUAACACAAAUCAAAUCUGCUGACGUAUUCCGCAGUGCGUCAUCACACUACAGCCAAGUCCUUCACUCGAAUCGUUUUCACUUUUCCACCUCAGCGUGUUUUGCGAGGCGGUUUCCUUGGCACGUCUUGUCAAAGCAGAGAUCGUGUCCCCCUUGUUUACGGGAUUCUCGUUAAUACGGACGUGGGUAACCCAACCGCGCCACUUAUCACGGCGCUUGGGAGGCAAGCGAGUUUUACUAGGCUGGUGGGGACGCAUAGUCGCAUCCGCCCAUAUAAGGGGAUAAGGAUCCACCUUUUUACCUACGCCUUCUUCCUCCUUUGCCUAGCCAUCUUCUGCGCACCCGAGCUCUAGCGCCCCAGCCCGCGCUUCCUACCUCAACCCUCUCCAACAAUGUUCGGAGCGGGAGGCAAGUGGAUGGUCUCCUCCGUCACGGAGGGCCAUGUCAAAAGGUUAAGGAAGGCCGGAUACUUGUCCAAAGACAUCGCGCACCGGCUUCCUGAGGAGGGGCAGCUUCUCCCCACCCCAAGGCCCCAUGAGAGGGUAGUAUUUCUUCCCCACUGCCUCCGCGGACUGGGUUUUCCUCUCCACCCAUUUGUCCGCGGGCUCAUGUUCUACUAUGGCCUAGAUUUCCACGAUCUGGCCCCGUACUUCAUCCUCAAUAUCUCGGCGUUUAUCAUCGUGUGCGAGGCUUUCCUCUGCAUUCGCCCCCAUUUCGGCCUCUGGCUCACGACCUUCAACGUCAAGCCAAAGGUGGUGCGCGGUAACCAGGCGGAGUGCGGAGGUGCCAUGGCGGGCAAAAUUGCCAACGUCCUAUGGCUCGAGGGCUCCUUUGUGGAGACCUUGAAGGGGUGGCAGUCAGGGUGGUUUUACAUCACCGAGCCACGCGAUCCGAAGUGGAUCGCAGCCCCUGAAUUCCGAUCCGGACCCCCUACGCGGCUCAUGUCCUGGAAGGAGACGAGCUUGUCGUGGGGCGACGAAGGAGAGUUGACCAGACUGCAAAAAUGCAUCCAGUCCCUGGUGAACAAGCAGCUCAAGCUUGUCAACGUAAUCUAGGUCAUGCUCGUCCGCCGGAUUCUUCCGUGUCAAGAACGGGACUUCAAUUUGUGGGAGUUCAACCCGGCGCAACACCGAACUCUGAGAAGGCUCUUCAACACGACGUACGAAGAUGUCUGGAGGGGGCUAACCAAAGGCGCCGAGACUCCCACAUCCGCCUCCGAAGACCGCGGAUUCAGCUCGCAGCGUCCUGCUGGCGAGGUAAGAUAUUUCCAUCUUUUACAGGAUGUUAAGCUUUUUCAUAGUUGACUCUAUGCGGGAUCAAAACUCCCUCACCUUUGACAGGAUUGGCGGGAGAAGUCCGGACAGAUUAAAUGCCCGGCUCCCUUGCCCGAAGACCUAGCCCCUGCUCUCCUAGAGAAGCUGCUGGUUUCGGCACCUUAUGUGGUGCCGGAGAAGAGGGCCAAGAAGAAGAAGGCCACGGGGACUCGAAAGAGUUCCUGGCAUAUGGUGGUGUCGGACUCGUCGUCCGACCAGUCCGAGACGCACUCCUCCCGUGAAGACGAGGAGGAAGAGUGUCGGACUCGUCGUCCGACGAGUCCGAGACGCACUCCUCCCGUGAAGAGGAGUGGCCGGACUACGUCCCCGACGCCGACGAGGACGAAGAGGAGUGGCCAGACAGGGCCAAGCAUCCGGCGAGAUCGUAAGUGUUCGGAUACCAGAGUAACUCGUGAUAUUCCUUUUGUUGCACAGCUUUCCCUAAUGUCGGAUAUAAUCAUGCAGUCCGCCCAAGGAUGGGCUCGACGAGUCGUCGAGCGGCUCCCUGGAUUCAUCGGACGUGAAUUCAGUUCCGCCUACUGCUUCCCCCUGUGCUGCAGAUGACGCCGAAGUGGCGUCGCGACAAGCUCCGGGACGAGAGGAGGUGGUCCAGGAGGAGUCGCGAGGUGACCUCCCGGACUCCAGGAGUGAAGGGGACAAGACCCCCCUGGGAUCCAAGUUCGGCUUUAAGCCGGACACUGAGAUGGAAUCAUCAACAGUUCCGGACUGCGGUAGGCGAACUCCUACCAGGAGGAGCAAGCCUACUGAGCCGGCAUCCUCCGUCCAGCCGGAGGCGCCGGACAAUCUGCUGGAGGAGCUUAAGGGCGCCUCCACCGACGAGGAGCACCGUGCCGUCAUGAGUACGGUGAUCCAGAAGGUUCGGUCCGCCAAAAGCGGACUGACUGAAGCUUGUGCUGGCCUUCUAACAGGCUUCGAGGUAAGUAAAAAUAUGUAAAAAUAUUACCGUAUAGACAGUAGCCCCUGAUGCUCUGUUUGGCGUUUGUAAAGAAAAGCCAAAUAGAGGAUCUAUUAAAUAUCGCAGGAGUCUAACUAAAAAGGAGUCAAUAUAUGUAUGCAGGCUUCGCUGCUGGCCACCGCCGCACUGACUGCGGAGGUGGGUGCCCUGAAGGAGGGCCUCCAGCGGACCGAGCAAGAGCUCGGCCUUGCCAAACGGCAGCUCGAGGAAAAAGAAUGUAAGAGAUACCUUACAGAAAAAGUGCCUAUAAAAAGGCUUGAUUGCAAAAAGAGUAGCAGGAUUGUACUGCUUAUUGUAGGGGCCACGACUGAGGUGGCGACCUUUAAGCAGGUGUUGUCUGAGGCCGAAAAGAAAACGGCCGCGGAGCGCACCGAGCGAGACAGACUUGGGGCUCAGGUCAGCGAGGUGCAGCAAGAGCUUCAGGCUCUCAUGAAAAAACAUGAGAGUUUGAAGCUGGAGUCGAAGGCGCAAGCAUCCGAGCUUGCAACGGCCCUAGAGGCUGCCAAGUCUACCAAGGCCGAUGCCCUAAAGACCCUCCAAGAGUUGGAGGAGAUGAGGAAGAUAGCAACGGGUAAGGCAUUCUUUAUGCAAAGCAGAAAUAUAAAAGUGAACUACCUGUUACUUACCCGAAUCCGAAGCUCUCCAGGGGCAUUCGCAGAUCUUCCCUGCAGCGUAUCCGAUGCCGCCGCAUUAUACCAAGCUGAAGAGGGUAGCUCGACGGAGAAGGUGUUCUGGUUUCAGUAUUCUGAGGCCGGACACCCUGUGCCCUUGAGCAACCAGCUGAAACAGCUGGUUGAGCUCCACAAGGCGGCCAAGCAGGCCAUGAAGGGCUUCAUAGUUCGGCUGUGGCCUGGAGAGGCCCUACCUGGGAGCUAUCUCGGGCUGGUGCGGCGGCUGGUGGAGGCCUGUCCGAGGCUUGAGGUCAUCAAGUGCUCCGUCUGCAUCGAUGGUGCCCGUCGGGCCCUUGCCCGUGCAAAGGUGCACUGGGGUAAGCUGGACGGUGAGAAGCUUGUGAAGGACGGGCUGCCGCCGGGGAAGGAGCAUCGCAAGCCCGAGAACUACUACAAGGAUGUUCUUGCAGGUGCCCGCCUUAUGGCGGAUCAAUGUACCAAGGAUGUGAUAUUUGAAUGAACUCGCUCGUGUUUAUCUUGUGCGCUGAAAACUUGUUCAUAUGUGCUAAGCAAUGCUUAUUGAAUUUAAAAUAUUACUUUCUGUGCGGCCAUUUAUCAAAAAUUGAGAGAUGGCCAGUCGUCGGCUUCUGCCCCCGUGCCACUAGUGCUGGGGUGUUCGGGAUAAACCUGAGCGCUCUUUUUCCCAUAGUUGGGUCCUUCGAGGGAGGCGCUCAGCACAACGAACCAGGCAAUCGGACUAUAAUGCUUGAACACUCUCACUUAGCCAUAGAGCUCUAUAAUUUUAAAUUUCGGUGAAGCCCGUAGUUCGGAAGACCGAGUUCGGGGCGCUAUCCACGCCUUGGCCGGACAAAGCCGGCUCCUCGCUCGAAGCGGCAUAAGCCUUUAGGGACUCGAAAAACCUCUCGAACAGCGAUCGGUCUCUCGCCACAUCAUGACAGUCAGUUUUAGCUUUCUCCACUCAGGUGCUUAACCCAGGUGAACCGGGGCACAAUCGCAGUGGUUCUCCUAGUGCUACCUUAGCCGAUAGAGCGGAACGUAAGGCACCAAAACAUAGGAGCCACGCAAACCCAACUAUUGACCCAAAUCAUGAUUCGGAGCCGAUGCAUAUAGUGCUAUAAGUUCGGGGUGCCGCACUUGUGAAAGUGUACGGACUUCUCACACCAUUAUGAGCGGUACUGAAGCCCCUGGCAUGUUUGCCAUACCAUGGUGUACGGGUGCAAUCAUGUCAUUUAAUAAACAUAAAUGUGAAAAGAAGAUAAUGCAAAAAAUAGACUAGAAGCUAAGCAUUGUUUAUAGAGAGGCUAUUUAUCAAAGCCGAACGAUACAAAUAGUGCGGUAAGCAAAAGAUAUUGGACUAUUCAGUAUGUCCUGACCAGGGGCAGGCCGCGGAAUUGUAUUUAAAACAGGUAUACCGCUCGUAACAGAGACCACCUGGGAGUUCCAUAAUGCGUCAUGGCUUGUCUGCCUCCCUGGAUCUUGCAUCGUUUGUGCGGCAGUCGAAUUGCCGAACAGGUCGUCCGAAGUAUGGAGUCCUGAAAGAAGAAAAAAUUAAAAAAAGAAUCCGGCAGCCCCUAGUACGUAUUAAGCCGUAUUUUGGGCGUGUUGUUAUUGUGCCCCUUCCCCUGUGCCCAUGGUAUUUCAAGGGCGUAGUUAUGUACGUGAGGUACUGGUUUCGCUAUGUUGCGAAAGCUGGGGUUGGGGCCGCAUUGCUACGCUUGCUUAGAGUGUGCCAGGCAGUGUCUGGCUUUUUAAUGGCCGGACUGGAGAAUUGCCUGAGAAGGCUACUUUGUACCUCCGCUGCGAGAGCCGCCGUAUGCUCCUCCAUAUGGAGGGAGCGUUCGGUGUUUCCGUUGAACGUAAUUACUCCUUGAGGGCCUGGCAUCUUGAGCUUGAGAUAUGCGUAGUGCAGCACCGUGUUGAUCUUUGCGAAUGCGGUUCGUCCGAGCAGGGCAUGAUAGCCACUGCGAAACGGUACUAUAUCGAAGAUUAACUCUUCGCUUCGGAAAUUGUCCGGGGAUCGGAAGACCACAUCAAGUGUUACUGAGCAUGUACUGUUGGCUUCUACACCUGGUAUAACGCCUUUAAAGGUCGUUCUUGUGGGCUUAAUCCUUGAGGGAUCUAUGCCCAUUUUCUGCACUGUAUCCUGAUAAAGCAGGUUCAGGCUACUGCCGCCGUCCAUGAGGACUCUUGUGAGAUGAAAUCCGUCGAUGAUCGGGUCGAGAACCAAUGCGGCGAAGCCGCCAUGACGGAUGCUAGUGGGAUGGUCCCUUCGAUCGAAAGUGAUCGGGCAGGAGGGCCAUGGGUUGAACUUUGGGGCGACUGGCUCCAUCGCAUAUACGUCCCGUAGCGCAUGCUUCCGCUCCCGCAUGGGAAUGUGGGUUGCGUAUAUCAUGUUCACCGUCCACACUUGUGGGGGAAAGCCCUUCUGUCCAUUGUUGUUCGGCGGCUUGGGCUCCUCGUCGUCGCUGUGCAGCCCCUUGUCUCUGUUUUCGGCCCUUAACUUGCCUGCCUGCUUGAACACCCAACAAUCCCUGUUAGUGUGAUUGGCUAGCCUUUCGGGGGUGCCAUGUAUCUGGCACAAGCGAUCGAGUAUUCGGUCCAAACUGGACGGGCCCUGAGUAUUCUUUUUGAAUGGCAUUUUCCGCUGACCGGAUUUAUAGCCUUUGAAUCCGGCAUUGACUGCCGUGUCUUCAUUGCUGUCGCUGCUAACGCGGCGUUUUUGCUUAUUCCGAUGUGUCCUACCACUUUUGUCCUUGGUAUCCGAAUUACCAGGGUGCUUUGAUAAGUUGUUACUGCGAGCUAGCCAGCUGUCUUCUCCCGCGCAAAAGCGGGUCAUGAGUGUCGUGAGGGCUGCCAUGGAUUUCGGCUUUUCCUGUCCCAGGUGCCAGGCAAGCCACUCGUCGCAGAUGUUGUGCUUCAAGGCUGCCAGGGCCUCUGCGUCCGGACAGUCGACUAUCUGGUUUUUCUUUGUUAGGAACCGUGUCCAAAAUUGUCUGGCCGAUUCCUCUGGCUGCUGAAUUAUGUGGCUUAAGUCGUCGGCAUCCGGUGGUCACACGUAAGUGCCCUGGAAGUUGUCGAGGAAUGCGGCUUCCAGGUCCUCCCAAGAACCGAUUGAGUCUGCUGGCAAGCUGUUAAGCCAAUGCCGGGCCGGUCCUUUAAGUUUGAGCGGGAGGUAUUUGAUGGCGUGUAGAUCAUCGCCGCGUGCCAUGUGGAUGUGAAGGAGACAAUCCUCGAUCCAUACCGCCGGAUCUGUUGUGCCAUCGUAUGAUUCGAUGUUUAUGGGUUUGUAGCCCUCUGGGAUUUUAUGAUCCAUUACUUCAUUCGUGAAGCAUAGCGGGUGUGUGGCGCCUCUGUAUUGGGCUAUAUCACGACGUAGCUCGGAAGAGCUAUGUCUGUUGUGUUCGGCCCGGCCGGAUUUGUUGUAUCCAGAGUGAAGAUCAUUUUCCCGUGCCUUAGUUGAGAGGUGUCGGGGCAUGGCUUGGGUGGAGGGCCGAGACGCCUCUCUGUCGCGGCCGCGAGGUGGCCGGUCUGCCAUGUCAUGCGCUGGUGAUGUAGGUGCUUCCUCCUCUGAUCGGGGUAGCGGCCUAUGCUUCGGGUAACUCUUGGAGGGGCGUUCGAGUUCAUACUCUUCGGCCGCAAGGACUUCAGUCCAUCUGUCAGCUAGCAAAUCUUGGGCAGCUCUAAGUUGUUGCUGCUUUUUCUUGAGGCUGCUUGCCAUGGCUAAAAGCCUGCGUUUAAAAAGCUCUUGUUCGGCGGGGUCUGAUGGUAUGACGAAUUCGUCGUCAUUGAGGCUUGCCUCGUCUUCGGAGGGAGGCGUAUAGUUAUCAUCCUCGACCUUUCCGUCUGCCGCUCUCUCAUCAGGGCUGGCUUCUCCAUCUUCCUGUGCCGAAUCUUGCUGAGGUGGGUGUUCUUCGGCGCUAUCCGGGGUAGUAUUAUCUCUCAUGUCGGAAUCACCGUUUUUGCUUUGGCGGGAUUUAGAGCGGCGCCGCUGGUGCCGGCGCUUUGGCUGUUUCUUGGGGGCGUCAUCCCCCACUGUUCCAUCGCCAUCUCCAUCUUUUGGAGUAUCCACCAUAUAUAUGUCAUAUGAUAAGGUGGCCUUCCAGCGCCCUACAGGUGCUGGUUCCUGUUCGUCUCCUACAUUGUCGUCCAUGCCGUCGAUGUCUUUGGAGCUGAAGUCAACCAUGUAGGUUAGACCGUCGAUAAUGGCUACAAAGUGGGUGGUGGGUGGGCUUUGAAUUUCCUCAUCGUAUGUAUCCCACCCUCGCUGACCGUAGUCCGGCCAGGGCUCUCCUGAUAAAGAGAGAGACUUAAGAGAAUUCAGGAUGUCGCCAAAAGGCGAAUGCUGAAAGAUGUCUGUAGCGGUGAACUCCAUUAUCGGCACCCAAUCGGAUUCGAUUGGCAGGGGCGCGGGGGGUUCGGAGUCCGGGGAGGAGUCCGGAUCCUCGGAGUCACGGGUCGUGCAGAGUGCGGGGCUAGCGUUCGGCUCGAUCGCUUUCGGGAUCGCAGCCCCCGAGGUGACGUCCAACCGCUCAUCCUCGAUUGGCGCAAUAGGUUCCGAGUUAGGGGUCGGAACCGAUGCGUGUGCGGCCUCCAGGACACUGGCCGGGGGCAGAGCUAGAUCAUGCCCCUCGGGAUAGUGCGGCGUGCUUGGCCGUGGCUCGAGCCCGUCGAAGAUCAAGUCUCCGUGGAUGUCAGCCGUGUAGUUUAAGCUUCCAAACCUGACUUGAUGGCCAGGGGCGUAGCUUUCGAUCUGCUACAGGUGGCCGAGCGAAUUGGCUCAUAGAGCGAUGCCGCCGAAGACGAAGAUCUGUCCGGGGAGAAAAGUCUCACCCUGGACCGCAUCGUUGUUGAUGAUCAAAGGAGCCAUCGGGCCUAAAGGCGACGAGACAGAGGAACUCUCAAUGAAAGCACCAAUGUCAGUGUCAAAACCGGUGGAUCUCGAGUAGUGGGUCCCGAACUGUGCGUCUAGGCCGGAUGGUAAUAGGAGGCAGGGAACACGAUGUUUUAUCCAGGUUCGGGCCCUCUUGAUGGAGGUAAAACCCUACGUCCUGCUUGAUUAAUAUUGAUGAUAUGGGUAGUACAAGAGUAGAUCUACCACGAGAUCAAGGAGGCUAAACCCUAGAAGCUAGCCUAUGGUAUGAUUGUUGUAUAUGGAGUUGAUUGCCUACGGACAACAACCCUCCGGUUUAUAUAGACACCGGAUAGGGUUAGGGUUACAUAGAGUCGGUUACAAUGGUAGGAUAUCUUGAAUAUCCACAUCGCCAAGCUUGCCUUCCACGCCAAGGAAAGUCCCGUCCGGACACGGGAUGAAGUCUUCAAUCUUGUAUCUUCAUAGCCCAGGAGUCCGGCUGAAGGUAUAGUCCGGCUACCUGAACACCCCCUAAUCCAGGACUCCCUCAGGUAGCAAGAUGGAUUUCUGGCGCCAUUGCCGGGGAGAUUCGCGCCAAGUCAAGACAUACCAAGUACCCAUCACAAACCCUUAUCCCUCGCAUUACAUUAUUUUCCAUUUGCCUCUUGUUUUCCUCUCCCCCACUUCACCCUUGCCAUUUUAUGCGCCCUCUCUUUUUCCGUUCCCCUCUUUUCCACUUGCUUUGUCGUUAUGGCUAGUCCUUUAUCUACUCCUUUGUCUCCCGAGAAUGAAGUUCUUAAUUUUAAACAAAGGGAGGGAGAAAAUCUAAAAGAUGCUUGGUACAGAAUUUGCAACACACAAAUUAGAUCUACUAGGAAACAAUCUACUUUUGUUCUUCUUCACGAUUUUUAUGUAGGCAUCACACCUUGGAAUAGAUAUAUUCUUGAUGCCAUUACCGGAGGGAAUUUCUUGGGUAGCCAUACUUUUGAUUCUUAUAAUGCUAUGAUAGAUCUGUUUGGCCCACCACCUCUUUUGGUUAAUGGAACUAUUUUAACUUUGGAACAUGUGAUGCAAUGGCUUGAAAUUAGUGAAAAUAAAGUUGCCACCAUAGAGUUAAUUGAAAAUUUGGAUAGAAAGAUCCAUAACCAAAUUACCCAAUACGGAUCUAAGUUAGGAGUUGCUCUUAAAAGUUUUAAAGAAAAGGGACCUAUGGUUAAUGAAAAGAUAGAAAAGGAUUCCACUAGAAUUGAUAAAAUUGAGGAUAUUAUUACCAACCUUGGGUCUUCCUUUUCUUCUAUUAUAAAUACUCCGCCUAAUGCUAAGAUUGCCAAACUAAUGUAUGUUACAAAAAAUAAGGGUGAAACUUCUAAUAAGGAAAAUGCGGAUCUCAAAUCCAUAAGUGUUCACCCCAAUUUUCUCACUAUCCUUAAGGAACCUUUUGCUACAAAUGAUUUUCUUGAUUUCAUACCUAGGAGUUUGAUAAUUAAUAAAAACAAAGAAACUCCUAAAAGUUAUUGGUGUGUUAUUGAAGAAUCACCUUCCAAAGACGGCAAUACCUAGGUCUAUCUUCGCUUUUAUGCCUAGCUAGGGGCGUUAAACGAUAGCGCUUGUUGGGAGGCAACCCAGUUUUACUUUUAUUCCUUGAUGUUUGCUCCUAUUUAGUAAUAAAUAAUUUAUGUAGCCUAUGUUUUGGUUGUGUUUUUUGUGUUUAAUUUGUGUUUGUGCCAUGUAGAACCAUUGGGUAGACUUGGGGAAAGUCUUUUUGAUCUUGCUGUAAAAAACAGAAACGUUAGCGCUCACGAGAAUCGCUGACAUUUUUAUUUGGAAAGUGAUAUUUAGAUAAUUCUUUUUGCGGAUGAUUAAUAGAUAAAUUCCUCACGUCCAGCAAUUUAUUUUAUAAUUUUUGGGGUUACAGAAGUUCGCGUUAGGUACAGAUUACUACAGACUGUUCUGUUUUUGACAGAUUCUGUUUUUCGUGUAUUGUUUGCUUAUUUUGAUGAAUCUAUGGCUAGUCAAAGAGGUUAUAAACCGUAGAGAAGUUGGAAUACAGUAGGUUUAACACCAAUAUAAAUCAAGAUUGAGUUCAUAACAGUACCUUGAAGUGGUGUUUUGUUUUCUUUCGCUAACGGAGCUCACGAGAUUUUCUGUUUGAGUUUUUUGUUGUGAAGUUUUCAAGUUUUGGGUAAAGAUUUGAUGGAUUAUGGAACAAGGAGUGGCAAGAGCCUAAGCUUGGGGAUUCCCAUGGCACACCAAGGUAAAAUUAAAGGACACCAAAAAGCCUAAGCUUGGGGAUGCCCCGAAAGGCAUCCCCUCUUUCGUCUUCGUCUAUUGGUAACUUUACUUGGAGCUAUAUUUUUAUUCACCACAUGAUAUGUGUUUUGCUUGGAGCGUCUUGUAUGAUUUGAUUAUUUGAUUUUUAGUUUACCAAAAUCAUCCUUGCUGUACACACCUUUUGAGAGAGACUCACAUGAUUGGGAAUUUAUGAGAAUACUCUAUGUGCUUCACUUAUAUCUUUUGAGCUAUAUGGUUUUUGUUCUAGUUCUUCGCUUAUAUAUUUUAGAGAAUGGCGGUGGUUUUAUUUUAUAGAAAUAAUUGUUCUCUCAUGCUUCACUUAUAUUAUUUUGAUAGUCCUUUAGAACAACAUGGCAAUAAUAAAACUGUCAUACAAGUGCAUUGAAUACUAUGAGAAGUUUGAUACUUGAUAAUUGUUUUGAGAUAUGGAGAUGGUGAUAUUAGAGUCAUGCUAGUUGUGUAGUUGUGAAUUUGAGAAAUACUUGUGUUGAAGUUUGUGAUUCCCGUAGCAUGCACGUAUGGUGAACCGUUAUGUGACGAAGUCAGAUCAUGAUUUAUUUGUUGAUUGUCUUCCUUAUGAGUGGCGGUCGGGGAUGAGCAAUGGUCUUUUACUACCAAUCUAUCUCCCUAGGAGCAUGGGCAUAAUACUUUGCUUUGAUAACUUAUAGAUUUUUGCAAUAAGUAUGUGAGUUCUUUCUGAGCAAUGUUGAGUCCAUGGAUCAUACGCACUCUCACCCUUCCACCAUUGCUAGCCUCUCUAAUACCGUGCACUUCUCGCCGAUAUCAUACACCCACCAUAUACCAUCCUCAAAACAGCCACCAUACCUACCUAUUAUCACUAGUGCAGAACCGGGCAAUAGCACCGGUUCGUAAGGCCCUUUAGUGCCGGUUUAGGAACCGGCACUAUUAUUUCGGCACUAAACCCCCCCCCCUUUAGUACCGGUUCAGCACGAACCGGUGCUAAAGGGGUACCACGUGGCACGAGCCAGCUCCGGGGGCCGGGAGCCCUUUAGUACCGGUUGGUAAAACCAACCGGUACUAAAUGGUUGUGGGUUUUUGUUUUAUUUUGUAUUUUUCAAUUAAAUUUGUGUUAUCAAUUUAAAUUAGGAUUGUUUUACGUUAUAAUGAGUUGUAGUCGUCAUCAUCAUCAUCAUCAUCGCAUAUUAAUAAAUAAAUAAACUCUAGCUAGCUAAAAAUCAUCGUGGUCGUCUAAUUACCACUAUUUAAUCAUCAUAGUCAUUACCGCUAGCUAUGUAAUCAUCAUCAACGUUGGCUAGCUUAAAGAGGAAACAUUCACUUUGUAACAGAAGCAAAGAGAUAUCAUCAAGUUCAACAUAAUCAUCACCAACAUCGAAGUUCAGGACACGGAUCCAUGAGACGAGUACUAAUUAAGAGCAUGAAGUAGUAGCUACUGAUCCUGCUUCUCCCUCUCAGGUAGAAUAGCACAGAACAUGUAUAGCUCUCCUGAUUCAUCAUACUGAAGCAUGCAGAUGAAUCUGUCUCCUAAUCUUGGGUUGCGCUUCUCCUUACUGCCCCCUAGUACUUCUCUGCGAUCGUUAACAAUUUUGCUCCAAUCUUUCACUAUUAAGCAUUCUUCGCUUUUAGAAAUCCUGAAUGCACUCAUGUGCAAUGUAGGAAAUCUUGGUCGUAAGCUAACCAUUGACAUGCGACCUUUUGUCUCGAUCCACUAAGGCACAACUGUCAUCGGAAGUCCCUGUUGAACAACAUCGUAUAGUAAUUAAUAUACUAAGCAAUGAAAGUUUAGCUUUAAAAAUAAUGUACGCAAAAGAUGCACUAAUUAAGGACAAAUAUUUAAAAUCUUACCAUCUUUUGAUUAUAGAUGUGACCGUAGUUCAAGGCGAUCACCAUUGGUCGCACGUUUUGAGUACUAACAUUUCUAAGUUUAGAAAAAAAAUUGUCUUGACAGUAUUAAGAUCCUCAAGCCAUGAAACACAAUGACUUAUUUCCUCGCAGUUUAGUUGAGCCCCGAGGUAGUAGUAGGUCCUGUCUACCAAGCGCCGGACAUGUUUGCUUGAACCGAAAUAAGCUGACAAUACACAUCAGUUGUCAACUAUUUUUGAAUAAACUGUACGAAAGACAUAAACGUAUAUAUGCAUGCAUGGUUGAGAAAAACUCACCAAAUGGUAGAACUGGAGGCGUUUGCACAUCGACCCAGAUGUCUAUAUUACCUUCAAUAUCAUCUUCCGGACGAAUAUCAAAGGUGAUAACCAUAUCAGGCUCAAAUGCAUAAGCCUUGCAUAGUGCUUGCCAAGUUUUGCAUUCAAAAUGGGUGUAUGUGCCUCCAUUAUAUAAUUUGACGUUGAAAGUAUACCCAUGCUCCGUCUUCAAGUAAACUCUCUUUACCUCCAUAUCAUCUAUAGCACUAAAACCUAUCUUAUAUAAUACAAAAAUUCUUGUAUGGCAGGGGAUGCGCUAGUAGAAUAGUGAAAAUUUAAAAUUAUAAGUUGAAGCAAAUGAAGCAUAAGUUUUGCAUUCAAAUAAUAAUUGACAAAGUGGCUUACUGUAUCAACUUCAAAUGUCUCAUCCAGCUUGAUGUUGAAGCGCCUACCAUCAACAAGGAAAUUUUGGUCGCACAGGCCGCGCUGGUCUUCACAGUGUUCGCACAUAAUAAAAUCUUUUUAGUUGUCAGAUGACAUUUCCUAUGUUCAUAUAGGUGAAACAUUAAACACCUAUAUCUAGCCAAAUAUAUAUUCAUCUAACAUUUGACAUUAAUAUAUCUAACUAUAUAUUCAAUUGACAUUACUAUAUAUUUAACUUUUCUAUCUAAUUCAUCUAACAUUCGACAUUAAUCUAACAUUUAUAUAAACUCAAAAUAUAUAAAAAAUUAAAUAAACAGAAAAACUCAUUAACAAAUAAUAUUUUAAUUAGAUCAUCAAAUCUCAUAUACCUAAAUUUUCUUACUAAAAAUAAACUAGUUAUAUUAAUUAUUCAACUAGUUCUAAUCUNNNNNNNNNNNNNNNNNNNNNNNNNNNNNNNNNNNNNNNNNNNNNNNNNNNNNNNNNNNNNNNNNNNNNNNNNNNNNNNNNNNNNNNNNNNNNNNNNNNNNNNNNNNNNNNNNNNNNNNNNNNNNNNNNNNNNNNNNNNNNNNNNNNNNNNNNNNNNNNNNNNNNNNNNNNNNNNNNNNNNNNNNNNNNNNNNNNNNNNNNNNNNNNNNNNNNNNNNNNNNNNNNNNNNNNNNNNNNNNNNNNNNNNNNNNNNNNNNNNNNNNNNNNNNNNNNNNNNNNNNNNNNNNNNNNNNNNNNNNNNNNNNNNNNNNNNNNNNNNNNNNNNNNNNNNNNNNNNNNNNNNNNNNNNNNNNNNNNNNNNNNNNNNNNNNNNNNNNNNNNNNNNNNNNNNNNNNNNNNNNNNNNNNNNNNNNNNNNNNNNNNNNNNNNNNNNNNNNNNNNNNNNNNNNNNNNNNNNNNNNNNNNNNNNNNNNNNNNNNNNNNNNNNNNNNNNNNNNNNNNNNNNNNNNNNNNNNNNNNNNNNNNNNNNNNNNNNNNNNNNNNNNNNNNNNNNNNNNNNNNNNNNNNNNNNNNNNNNNNNNNNNNNNNNNNNNNNNNNNNNNNNNNNNNNNNNNNNNNNNNNNNNNNNNNNNNNNNNNNNNNNNNNNNNNNNNNNNNNNNNNNNNNNNNNNNNNNNNNNNNNNNNNNNNNNNNNNNNNNNNNNNNNNNNNNNNNNNNNNNNNNNNNNNNNNNNNNNNNNNNNNNNNNNNNNNNNNNNNNNNNNNNNNNNNNNNNNNNNNNNNNNNNNNNNNNNNNNNNNNNNNNNNNNNNNNNNNNNNNNNNNNNNNNNNNNNNNNNNNNNNNNNNNNNNNNNNNNNNNNNNNNNNNNNNNNNNNNNNNNNNNNNNNNNNNNNNNNNNNNNNNNNNNNNNNNNNNNNCGGCGGCGGGGACAGCGACGAUGACGACGGACGACGGUACGGGCGACGGGCGGCGACGACGGGAUCGAGCGGUCCGCGCGGCGGAGGUGGGAGACGAAGUGGGGAGUUGAAACUGAAAUUUUCGUAAGUGCUAUAUAUAUAUAUAUAUAUAUAUAUAUAUAUAUAUAUAUAUAUAUAUAUAUAUGAUUGGCCUUUAGUACCGAAUCGUGGCUCCAACCGGUACUAAAGGCCUAUUUUCGCCAGGCCAAGCGGCGGGAAACGAAGGCUUUUAGUACCGGUUGGAGCCACCAACCGGUACUAAAGGGGGGCCUUUAGUACCGGUUGGAGCCACCAACCGGUACUAAAGGCCUUGCGCUGCCACCCCAAAAUUUAGUCCCACCUCGCCCGGCGAAGGGCAGCCGCACUGGUUUAUAAACCUAGCCGCGGCUACCUCUUCGAACUCCUCUAUAUAGCAGCCUUCUGGGCCUAAUUAAUUAGGGCGCGCUGCCAUGUGAGUCUGCUGGCCCUUCUGGGCCUGCAUUUGCACACCCUAGGUCUGGUAGACCCACAGGGCAGUGCGCCAACAAAUUUUUUAUAUAGUUUUAUCUUUUCUGCAUUACUUAUUUUCUUUUAUUUAUUUUUGAGUAGUUUUUUAUAUAGUUUUUGUUUUCUGCAUUAUUUAUUUUCUUCUAUUUAUUUUUGAGUAAUUUUUUUGUAUAGUUUUUUUAUUUUCUGCAUUACUUAUUUUUGCAUAGUCCGAAACCCUGAUACUCGGAAAGAGUUUGUCCAGUUUGUACACGAAGUGCGUCCAGUUUUUGCCGUGACCCUCUCUACUCUUUCGCGCAUGCUAUGCGGGUGAUACGAUGAUACCAUGCCAAGUUUCAACAUUUUCAGGAUUCAUUUUGUAGUGAUUUUCAAUUUCACGGUCAUUUAGCUCUCUAAACAAUUAGGUAAAUGACUGAAAAACAACAAAUGAUGUCAGAACAUGUUGAAAAUUGAUGACGUCGCUUUAAAUGCUGCAUACUGAACACAAAAGAAGUCCGGAGUACAAAUAAGUUUAAAAAACAUUGAAGUGGCCAUGUAACAGAUGAGUUCUCGUCCGAAACCCUGAUACUCGGAAAGAGUAUGUCCAUUUUGUACACGAAGUGCGUCCAGUUUUUGCCGUGACCCUCUCUACUCUUUCGCGCAUGCUAUGCGGGUGAUAUGAUGAUACCAUGCCAAGUUUCAGCAUUUUCAGGAUUCAUUUUGUAGUGAUUUUCAAUUUCACGGUCAUUUAGCUCUCUAAACAAUUAGGUAAAUGACCGAAAAACAACAAAUGAUGUCAGAAUAGACUGCACUGCACAUAGCUCAGUGUAGACUACACUGCACAUAGCUCAGUGCAAUCUAUGUUAUUCCGCAAGGCUUGAAGCUAAUCAACAUGUAGAUGAGCAUUGCAAUUCUUCGUCAUUGUCUGUGCACUCACGGCUUAUAAACCGCUCAUACUGCCUCUCUCUUGGCGAGGUGGGACUAAAAACAACUUGCCAUAACCUCAUCAAUUUCCUCUUGAAGCUUGUCCUUGCCUUUUUGCUUGUAUUCUUGUGGUGGAAGAUCAUCUUGAGCUUGUGUCCCCUUGAAGGAAGUAGGAUACUUCUCUUGUUGAGGAACAAACUUUGUCUUGGGGUAUUGAUCUUCUUCCCACUCAACUCCAUUGGCAUUGAACUUUCGUUCAAAACCAACACCUUGAUUCUUCCAGUGCCUUCCUUGCUUGCGCACAAUUUCCUCGAAUUGCUUACUCCCGGCAAGGCUUUUGUACAUUCCUUUCUCUAUAAUUCCCUUCAAUAAGCUAUUUUCUUGCUCAAGUGUAACUUGGCUAAGAGAAUCAUUAGUGGAAUCAAGAGAACUACUAGAAGCAACAAUGUUAGAUCUUAUGUCACAAAAAAGAAGUCGUAUCAAACCUUUUAUGUCGGAUCUAGAACAAACCAAUCGGUAUCGCCAUCAUACAGCCCUACCGUGGCUUGUGAUGCAUAUAUAUAUGCAUAUCAAAUGCACGGUUGGGCGUAUGAUGGCGAAUCCGAAUGAUUUGUAUUCAGUCGAUGAACUGGUAGAUGUAUGCAGUCGAUGAACUGGUAGAUGUAUGUAGUCGAUGAACUGAAAGACUUAUGCAGGGAAGGCGAGAGAUGGGCUAUAUAUAGGGUCGUCUGGCUCACAAAGUGAUUGUGGUAGUUUCGAUCCAACGACUCACAUGAGCUAGGAAGAAGCACACCCUUGAUCCAACGACUCGCAAGAGCUAUAAAGAAACACACGAUCCAUGUGAUUCUUCCUGAUUGGUGGGAUGCACAUUAGUAUCGGUUUGUGCCAUGAACUGGUGCUAAAGAUUGGCAAUGAACCGGUACUAAUGGUAGCAGCCCGCCUAGCCGUUGGAAUCGGCACUAAUGGUCACAUUUGUGCCGGCUCAAAUUCAAACCGGCACUAUAAUGUGCUUCACAUUUGACUGUUUUUCUACUAGUCAAUAGAGUUUGCCAAACUUGAGUUUCCCAAGUCACUUACACAAAAAGCUAUGAUUCAUGGUUGUCAAAUCCAUAAUUUACAAACCACAACAACCUUGAGGCAUAACAAGCUUUAAAUGCUGCAUACUGAACACAAAAGAAGUCCAGAGUUUAAAUAAGUUAUUAAAAAUAAAAAAGAGGUGCAAUGCUGGUUAAUUUGCUUCAAGCUAUUCGGAAUAGUGUAGAUUGCACUAAGCCACUGCACAUAGCUCAGUGCAAUCUAUGCUAUUCCGCAAGGCUUGAAGCUAAUCAACAUGUAGGUGAGCAUUGCAACUCUUCGUCAUUGUCUGUGCACUCACGGCUUAUAAACCGCUCAUACUACCUCUCUCUUGGCGAGGUGGGACUAAAAACAUCUUGCCAUAACCUCAUUAGUACUGGUUCAUGGUACGAACCGGCACUAAAUGGUGAUGGUGGGGCCAUAGCCUGACCGCAGGCUGACACAGCCUCUUUAGUACCGGUUCGUGGCAUGAACCGGUACUAAAGGUUCGCCACGAACCGGUACUAUUGAUCGCCGCCACGAACCGGCACUAAUGUACACAUUAGUGCCGGCUCUAAUUCAAACCGGCACUAAUGUGCUUCACAUUUGACCCUUUUUCUACUAGUGUAUGGCAUUUCCAUAGCCAUUCCGAGAUAUAUUGCCAUGCAACUUUCCAUCGUUCCAUUAUUAUGACACACUUCAUCAUUGUCAUAUUUGCUUGCAUGAUCAUGUAGUUGGCAUCGUAUUUGUGCAAAGCCACCAUUCAUAAUUCUUCAUACAUGUCACUCUUGAUUCACUGCAUAUCCCGGUACACCGCCGGAGGCAUUCACAUAGAGUCAUAUUUUGUUCUAAGUAUCGAGUUGUAAUUCUUGAGUUGUAAGUAAAUAAAAGUGUGAUGAUCAUCAUUAUUAGAGAAUUGUCCCAAGUGAGGAAAGGAUGGAGACUAUGAUUCCACAACAAGUCGGCAUGAGACUCCGGACGAAAAUAAAAAAAGAGGGAAAAAAGAGAAAGGCCAUAAAAAAGAAGGCCCAAAAAAUGAGAGAAAAAGAGAGAAGGGGCAAUGUUACUAUCCUUUUUCCACACUUGUGCUUCAAAGUAGCACCAUCAUCUUCAUGAUAGAGAGUCUCCUAUGAUAUCACUUUCAUAUACUAGUGGGAAUUUUUCAUUAUAGAACUUGGCUUGUAUAUUCCAAUGAUGGGCUUCCUCAAAUUGCCCUAGGUCUUCGUGAGCAAGCAAGUUGGAUGCACACCCACUUAGUUUCUUUUGUUGAGCUUUCAUACACUUAUAGCUCUAGUGCAUCCGUUGCAUGGCAAUCCCUACUCAAUCACAUUGAUAUCUAUUAAUGGGCAUCUCCAUAGCCCGUUGAUACGCCUGUUCUGGAGCUCCGCCAGAGGGGGCAUCGAUCACGGAGGGCUUCUACAUCAACAGCAUAGCCUCUCCGAUGAAGUGUGAGUAGUUGACCUCAGACCUACGGGUCCAUAGUUAUUACCUAGAUGGCUUCUUCUCUCUUUUUGGAUCUCAAUACAAUGUUCUCCCCCUCUCUUGUGGAGAACUAUUCGAUGUAAUCUUCUUUUUGCGGUGUGUUUAUUGAGAUCGAUGAAUUGUGGGUUUAUGAUCAAGUCUAUCUAUGAAUAAUAUUUGAAUCUUCUCUGAAUUCUUUUAUGUAUGAUUGUUUAUCUUUGCAAGUCUCCUCGAAUUAUCAGUUUGGUUUGGCCUACUAGAUUGAUCUUUCUUACAAUGGGAGAAGUGCUUAGCUUUGGGUUCAAUCUUGCGGUGUCCUUUCCCAGUGACAGCAGGGGCAGCAAGGCAUGUAUUGUAUUGUUGCUAUCGAGGACAACAAGAUGAGGUUUUCAUCAUAUUGCAUGAGUCUAUCCCUCUACAUCAUGUCAUCUAGCUUAAGGCGUUACUCUGUUUUUAACUUAAUACUCUAGAUGCAUGCUGGAUAGCGGUCGAUGAGUGGAGUAAUAGUAGUAGAUGCAGGCAGGAGUCGGUCUACUUGUCUCGGACGUGAUGCCUAUAUACAUGAUCAUACCUAGAUAUUCUCAUAAAUAUGCUCAAUUAUGUCAAUUGCUCAACAGUAAUUUGUUCACCCACCAUAGAAUUAUUAUGCUCUCGAGAGAAUCUACUAGUGAAACCUAUGGCCCCCGGGUCUAUCUUUAUCAUAUUAAUCUCCUACUACUUAGUUAUUUCCUUUGCUUUUUCCUUUGCCUUUAUUUUACUUUUCAUCUUUAUCACAAAAAUACCAAACAUAUUAUCUUUAUCAUAUCUAUCAGAUCUCACUCUCAUAAGUGGCCGUGUAGGGAUUGACAACCCCUAUUCGCGUUGGUUGCGAGGAUUUAUUUGUUUUGUGCAAGUACGAGGGACUCGCGCGUAGCCUCCUACUGGAUUGAUACCCUUGGUUCUCAAACUGAGGGAAAUACUUACGCUACUUUGCUACAUCAUCCCUUCCUCUUCGGGGAAAACCAACGCAGUGCUCAAGAGGUAGCAAGAAGGAUUUCUGGUGCCAAUGCCGGGGAGGUCUACGCAAAAGUCAACAUACCAAGUACCCGUCACAUACCCUUAUCUCCCGCAUUACAUUAUUUGCCAUUUGCCUCUCGUUUUCACCUCCCCCACUUCACCCUUGCCAUUUUAUUCGCCCUCUCUCUCUCUCUAUCCUCCCUCUCUUUCUCUAUUUGCCUCUUUUUUCCCGCUUGCUUUCUGUUUGCUUGUGUGUUAGUUGCUUGCUUGUCACGAUGGCUCAAGAUAAUACUAAAUUAUGUGACUUCACCAAUACCAACAACAAUCAUUUUAUUAGCACUCCGAUUGCUCCUCUUACCGAUGCUGAAUCUUGUGAAAUUAAUACUGCUUUGCUGAAUCUUGUCAUGAAAGAUCUGUUUUCCGGCCUUCCUAGUGAACAUGCCGGUACCCACCUAAAUAGAUUCAUUGAUUUGUGUGACAUGCAAAAAAAAGAAAGGUGUGGAUAAUGAUAUUGUUAAAUUGAAGCUAUUUCCUUUUUUGCUUAGAGAUCGUGCUAAAGCUUGGUUUUCGUCUUUGCCUAAAAAUAGUAUUGAUUCAUGGAAUAAGUGCAAAGAUGCUAUUAUCUCUAAGUAUUUUCCUCCUACUAAGAUCAUCUCUCUUAGAAACAAUAUUAUGAAUUUUAAGCAACUUGAUCAUGAACAUGUUGCACAAGCUUGGGAGAGAAUGAAACUAAUGGUACGUAAUUGCCCUGCCCAUGAUUUAAAUUUGUGGAUGAUUAUACAAAAAUGUUAUGCCGGAUUGAAUUUUGCUUCUAGAAAUCUUUUAGAUUCGGCCGCGGGAGGCACUUUUAUGGAAAUCACUUUAGAAGAAUCUACUAAACUCCUAGAUAAUAUUAUGGUUAAUUAUGCUCAACGGCAUAGUAAAAUAUCUAAUAAUAAAAAGGUGCAUGCGAUACAAGAAAUUAAUGUUUUGAGUGGAAAGAUGGAUGAACUUCUGAAAUUAUUUGCUAAUAAGAGUGUUUCUUCUGAUCCUAAUGAUAUACCCUUGUCUACUUUGAUUGAGAAUAGUAAUGAAUCUAUGGAUGUGGAUUUUGUUGGUAGGAACAAUUUUGGUAACAACGCGUAUAGAGGAAAUUUCAACCCUAGGCCUUAUCCUAGUAAUCUCUCUAAUAAUUAUGGUAAUUCCUACAACAAUUCUUAUGGAAAUUAUAAUAAGAUGCCCUCUAAUUUUGAAUCUAAUAUUAAAGAAUUUAUUACUUUGCAAAAGAAUUUCAAUACCUUGAUUGAAGAAGAACCGCUAGGAUGCGUGCUAAGAAAGAUGCCUUUAUAAGAGCGUGUUCUUCUAGUUCCUAUGAAAAUAAUGAUGAAGAUCUAAAAGUUAUUGAUGUGUUCCCUAUUAAAUCUUUGUUUUUCAACAUGGAUCUUGAUAAUGAUGGGAUUGAAUAUGAUCCACCUUUACCUAUAAGGCGUUCCAAGAAUUCAGAAUUUGUUGAUCUUGAUGCUAAAAUUGAUAAAGGUGGGAUUGAAGAAAUUAAAACCCUAGAUGUUGCUAAACCCACUAUUAUGGAUUUCAAGGAAUUUAACUAUGAAAAUUGCUCUUUUAUUGAUUGUAUAUCCUUUUUACAAUCCGUGCUAAAUUCUCCUCAUGCUUAUAGUCAAAAUAAAGCGUUUACUAAACAUAUCGUUGAUGCCUUGAUGCAAUCUUAUGAAGAAAAACUUGAAUUGGAAGUUUCUAUCCCUAGAAAGCUUUAUGAUGAGUGGGAACCAACUAUUAAAAUUAAAAUUAAAUAUCAUUAAUGCUAUGCUUUAUGUGAUUUGGGUGCUAGUGUUUCCACGAUUUCAAAGACUUUGUGUGAUUUGUUAGGUUUCCGUGAUUUUGAUGAUUGCUCUUUAAACUUGCGCCUUGUGGAUUCCACUAUUAAGAAACCUAUGGGAAGAAUUAAUGAUGUUCUUAUUGAUGCAAAUAGGAAUUAUGUGCCUGUAGAUUUUAUUGUUCUUGACAUAGAUUGCAAUCUUUCAUGUCCUAUUAUUCUUGGUAGACCUUUCCUUAGAACGAUUGGUGCAAUUAUUGAUAUGAAGGAAGGAAAUAUUAGAUUCCAAUUUCCAUUAAGGAAAGUCAUGGAACACUUUACUAGAAAGUAAAUUAAAUUACCUUAUGAAUCUAUUAUGAUAGCCACUUAUGGAUUGCCUACCAAAGAUGGCAAUACCUAGAUCUAUCCUUGCUUGUUAUGCCUAGCUAGGGGCGUUAAACGAUAGCGCUUGUUGGGAGGCAACGCAAUUUUGUUUUUAUUCCUUGAUUUUUGCUCCUGUUUAGUAAUAAAUAAUUUAUCUAGCCUCUGUUUUGGUUGUGUCCUUUGUGUUUAAUUAGUGUUGGUGCCAAGUAGAACCGUUAGGAAGACUUGGGGAAAGUCUUGUUACACUUGCUGUAAAAAACAGAAACUUCAGCGCUCACGAGAACUACUGCCAUUUUUAUUUGGAAAGUUCUAUUUAGUUAAUUAUUUCUGCAGAUGAUUAAUAGAUAAAUUCCUCACGUCCAGAAAUUUAUUUUAGAAUUUUUGGGGUUCCAGCUCUUGAGCUAGGUACAGAUUACUACAGACUGUUCUGUUUUUGAAAGAUUUUGUUUUUCAUGUGUUGUUUGCUUAUUUUGAUGAACCUAUGGCUAGUAAAAUAGUUGAUAGACCAUAGAUAAGUUGGAAUACAGUAGGUAUAACACCAAUAUAAAUAAAUAAUGAGUUCAUUAUAGUACCUUGAAGUGGUCUUUUAUUUUCUUUCGCUAACGGAGCUCACGAGAUUUUCUACUUUAAGUUUUGUGUUGUGAAGUUUUCGAGUUUUGGGUAAAGAUUUGAUGGUUUAUGGAACAAGGAGUGACAAGAGCCUAAGCUUGGGGAUGCCCAUGGCACCCCCAAGAUAAUCUAAGUACACCUAAAAGCCAAAGCUUGGGGAUGCCCCGGAAGUCAUCCCCUCUUUCGUCUACUUCUAUCGGUAACUUUACUUGGAGCUAUAUUUUUAUUCGCCACAUGAUAUGUGUUUUGCUUGGAGCAUCUUGUAUUAUUUGACUCUUUAUUUGUUAGUUUACCACAAUCAUCCUUCCUGUACACACCUUUUUUAGAAUACUCUAUGUGCUUCGCUUAUAUCUUUUGAGUUAUAUAGUUUUGCUCUAGUACUUCACUUAUAUCUUUUAGAGCACGGUGGUGGAUUUGUUUUAUAAAAACUAUUGAUCUCUCAUGCUUCACUUAGAUUAUUUUGAGAUGCUUAAUAGCAUGGUAAUUUGCUUAAAAUCCUAAUAUGCUAGGUAUUCAAAGUUAGUAUAAUUUUCUUAAGAGUGUUUUGAAUACUAAGAGAAGUUUGAUGCUUGAUGAUUGUUUUGAGAUAUGGAGGUAAUAAUAUCAAAGUCGUGCUAGUUGAGUAGUUGUGAAAUUGAGAAAUACUUGUGUUGAAAUUUGCAUGUCCCGUAGCAUGCACAUAUGGUAAACGUUGUGUAACAAAUUUGAAACAUCAGGUGUUAUUUGAUUGUCUUCCUUAUGAGUGGCGGUCGGGGACGAGCGAUGGUCUUUUCCUACCAAUCUAUCCCCCUAGGAGCAUGCGCGUAGUACCGAGGUUUUUGAUCACUUGUAGAUUUUUGCAAUAAGUAUGUGAGUUCUUUAUGACUAAUGUUGAGUCCAUGAAUUAUACGCACUCUCACCCUUCCAUCCUUGCUAGCCUCUUCGGUACCGUGCAUUGCCCUUUCCCACAUUGAGUGUUGGAGCAAACUUCGCCGGUGCAUCCAAACCCCGUGAUAUGAUACGCUCUUUCACACAUAAACCUCCUUAUAUCUUCCUCAAAACAGCCACCAUACCUACCUAUUAUGGCAUUUCCAUAGCCAUUCCGACAUAUAUUGCCAUGCAACUUUCCACCAUUCCGUUCAUCAUGACACAUUCAUCAUUGUCAUAUUGCUUAGCAUAAUCAUGUUGUUGACAUAGUAUUUGUGGCAAGGCCACUGUUCAUAAUUCUUUCAUACAUGUCACUCUUGGUCCAUUGCAUAUCCCGGUACACCGCUGGAGGCAUUCAUAUAGAGUCAUACUUUGUUCUAGUAUCGAGUAGUAAUUAUUGAGUUGUAAAUAAAUAGAAGUGUGAUGAUCAUCAUUAAUAGAGCAUGGUCCCAAAGAGAGAAAAAAGGAAGGGCCAAAAAAGGCCAAAUAAAAAAUAUAAAAAAGGGGGGCAAUGCUACUAUCCUUUUUUCCACACUUGUGAUUCAAAGUAGCACUGUAAUCUUCAUGAUAGAGAGUAUCUUGAUUUGUCACUUUCAUAUACUAGUGGGAAUUUUUCAUUAUAGAACUUGGCUUGUAUAUUCCAACAAUGGGCCUCCUUAAGUGCCCUAGGUCUUCGUGAGCAAGCAAGUUGGAUGCACACCCACUUAGUUUCUUUUGUUGAGCUUUCAUACAUUUAUAGCUCUAGUGCAUCCGUUGCAUGGCAAUCCCUACUCCUUGCAUUAACAUCAAUCGAUGGGCAUCUCCAUAGCCCAUUGAUUAGCCUCGUUGAUGUGAGACUUUCUCCUUUUUGUCUUCUCCACAUAACUCCACUCAUUAUAUUCUAUUCCACCCAUAGUGUUAUGUCCAUGGCUUGCAAUCAUAUAUUGCGUGGAAGUUUAUAGGUUUGAGAUCACUAAAGUAUGAAACAAUUGCUUAGCUUGUCAUCGGGGUUGUGCAUGAUGAGAGCGUUGUUGUGUGACAAAAAUGAAGCAUGACUAAACUAUAUGAUUUUGUAGGGAUGAACUUUCUUUGGCCAUGUUAUUUUGAGAAGACAUAAUUGCUCAGUUAGUAUGCUUGAAGUAUUAUUAUUUUUAUGUCAAUAUGAACUUUUGUCUUGAAUCUUUCGGAUCUGAAUAUUCAUAUCACAAUUAAGAAGAAUUACAUUAAAAUCAUGCUAAGUAGCACUCUGCAUCAAAAAUUCUGUUUUUAUCAUUUACCUACUCGAGGACGAGCAGGAAUUAAGCUUGGGGAUGCUUGAUACGUCUCCAACGUAUCUAUAAUUUUUGAUUGCUCCAUGCUAUAUUAUCUACUGUUUUGGACAAUAUUGGGCUUUAUUAUCCACUUUUAUAUUAUUUUUGGGACUAACCUAUUAACCGGAGGCCCAGCCCAGGAUUGCUGUUUUUUGCCUAUUUUAGGGUUUCGAAGAAAAGGAAUAUCAAACGGAGUCCAAACGGAAUGAAACCUUCGGGAACGUGAUUUUCUCAACGAACAAGACCCAGGAGACUUGGACCCUCCGUCAAGACACAAAAGAGGAGGCCACGAGGUAGGGGGCGUGCCUACCCCCCGGGCGCGCCCUCCACCCUCGUGGGCCCCCUGUUGCUCCACCGACGUACUCCUUCCUCCUAUAUAUACCUACGUACCCCCAAAUGAUCAUAUACGGAGCCAAAACCCUAAUUACACCGCCGCAACAUUUUGUAUCCACGAGAUCCCAUCUUGGCGCCUGUUCCGGAGCUCCGCCGGAGGGGGCAUCGAUCAUGGAGGGCUUCUACAUCAACACCAUAGCCUCUCCGAUGAAGUGUGAGUAGUUGACCUCAGACCUACGGGUCCAUAGUUAUUACCUAGAUGGCUUCUUCUCUCUUUUUGGAUCUCAAUACAAUGUGCUCCCCCUCUCUUGUGGAGAACUAUUCGAUGUAAUCUUCUUUUUGUGGUGUGUUUGUUGAGACCGAUGAAUUUUGGGUUUAUGAUCAAGUCUAUCUAUGAAUAAUAUUUGAAUCUUCUCUGAAUUCUUUUAUGUAUGAUUGGUUAUCUUUGCAAGUCUCUUCGAAUUACCCGUUUGGUUUGGCCUACUAGAUUGAUCUUUCUUGCAAUGGGAGAAGUGCUUAGCUUUGGGUUCAAUCUUGCGGUGUCCUUUCCCAGUGACAGUAGGGGCAGCAAGGUACGUAUUGUAUUGUUGCCAUCGAGGACAACAAGAUGGGGUUUUCAUCAUAUUUUAUGAGUCUAUCCCUCUACAUCAUGUCAUCUUACUUAAGGCAUUAAUCUGUUUUUAACUUAAUACUCUAGAUGCAUGCUGGAUAGCGGUCGAUGAGUGGAGUAAUAGUAGUAGAUGCAGGCAGGAGUCGGUCUACUUGUCUCGGACGUGAUGCCUAUAUACAUGAUCAUACCUAGAUAAUCUCAUAACUAUGCUCAGUUCUGUCAAUUGCUCAAUAGUAAUUUGUUCACCCACCGUAGAAUACUUAUGCUCUUGAGAGAAGCCACUAGUGAAACCUAUGGCCCCCGGGUCUAUCUUUAUCAUAUUAAUCUCCUACUACUUAGUUAUUUCCUUUGCUUUUUUACUUUGCCUUUAUUUUACUUUGCAUCUUUAUCACAAAAAUAAAAAUAUCUUUAUCAUAUCUAUCAAAUCUCACUCUCGUAAGUGGCCGUGUAGGGAUUGACAACCCCUAUUCACGUUGGUUGCGAGGAUUUAUUUGUUUUGUGCAGGUACGAGGGACUGGCGCAUAGCCUCCUACUGGAUUGAUACCUUGGUUCUCAAAACCUAAGGGAAAUACUUACGCUACAUUGCUGCAUCAUCCCUCACUCUUCGGGGAAAACCAACGCAGUGCGCAAGAGGUAGCAAGGGUUCCUUUUUGUCGACGAUCUGAUGUUUCAACCUUGUUUUCCAGGCGGCCAACGCAUCGCUCAACUUGGUCAUGGCGUGUUUGUUUAUCUUCGUCAUUGCCAGGUCCUUAUCUGGAUCUUUAUUAUCCUUUUCAUUACGGUCCGGGAACAAGAAUAUCUGGUGCAGCUUCUUUAGGAGGGAGGGCCUCUGGUGCAGCUUCUAUAGUUUCCCAUCGUUGAUCAUGGCAGUUGUCCGUACAAUGCAACCUAUUUGAUUGCCGUAGCACGAUUGCGCUUCCUCGGGUGCUAUUGUCUCAAAAAUACCGUCGUCCAUCUCCGUGACCACCAGUCUAGUACUCAUGAGCUGGUUUAGGCGUCGUGGCCUCUUUGCUUUCGGUUCUAGACUAACUCCGCUAGUCUCGGCGCUGGUCUCAGUCUCAUCGCCGGUCUGCAUGUCGGUAUCAGUCCCUGAUGCGACAACACAGUCGCUGCAACAUGGGUAAGGGAGACCACAUCAGUGCUGGGGGGUCCGAAAAUCGGGACACACUUUCGCGCGUCGCGGGCCGCCUCUCAGACAGCUACUGGGGAGGCGGCGGAGUACCUGGGUGCGCCGCGAAUCCCCGGGAACUCGGUGACCAACUUCCUUCCCGUGUGGCGCAUGGAGACGACAGCGACCCCGGCGAAGAGUAGCUUAGCCGCGAGCUGCACAGCCUCGUCCACCUCCUAAGUUGGGACCUCCGCGCAAGCGUUGCGGGGCCGCCGCUCGGGUGGCUUCUGGAAGGCGGUUGUACAUGGGCACAGGGUGAAUCCCGACUAGAGCUGGCCAUUGGCGCGCGCAAGUAGACGACGACGUCCCCGACGAAGAGCUGCCCGGCCAGCUCGCCUCACUCUCCUUUGAUUAGAAAUGAAAGAUUGGGAAGAAGCAGACUUGAGCCUGCAGAGAAAGGAUAAGGUGACGAUGCAGUCUCCACUCGUUCGGGGCGACACGCGUACUGAAUGUAUGAGAAACGUGACGUGGCAGAGACCCCAAGAUACUCCCUCCAUUUAUUUUUAGUCUGCAUAUAAAGUUUGGUCAAAGUCAAGAUUUGUAAAUUUUAACUAACUUUAUAAUAAAAAAAUAUCAAUAUUCACAAUAUGAAAUCAAUAUUACCAGAUGCGUCAUGAAAUGUAUUUCCAUACUAUAAAGUUUUGGUAUUGUAGAGGCACUCUUCCAUAUAAUGAAGUUUAUAAUAUAUGUGCUUAUAUUGUACUACAAUUGUUUGAAUAGCUUAGCAUAUGUUCAGAUGUAUGAUAUCUGUAAUUUAAGCGCUUGAAUUUUACAUAUAAAUAUUUAUUAAUAAAUAUGUACCCCUAUAAUAGCUAGGCCGUGCAGUUGCACGGGUAGAUGACUAGUGAUUACAAUCUUGUUUGUGUGCAAGUCAAGCUUAUCUAGUUUACACGUAACAACUUGUAGAACAUUACAAAAUUUAUGCUUGCUAAUAACUUCUAGAACACUACAACACUUGACAUGUAAAAGGAAUUUGACGAGUCAUGGCCUACUAAAGCAAGUUACAUUACUAGUCUUAUCUAUCUUAACAGACCACACAAGAUUACAAACUAAGUACCGUGACAGCCAUACUUAUCUAGUUUAUGCGUAACAAUUUGCAGAAAAUUAGAAACUUAGUUUCAGAAAAAUACGCAAUCUAGAUUAGUGUUUGAGCUGUAAAGUGAAUAAGAUGAGUCAUGCAUGUUAUCACACCUUUUUGGUGGUGGAAUGAUAGUGCAACAACAAGGAACUUUAAUGACCAGUCCAAGAAUACACUUGUAAGUAGUGCCACCAAACAGAACAUUCCAAAUGAUGAUUUUUAGAAGCAUCCAAGCACUUUCCACACAAACAAAUGCCAAUUGUGAAAGAGAUCAUUCCAUGGCAGCUAUAAAUAGCCCCAUAGCAUGACGAUCAUCCUUCCUCAUCCAUCAUUCUCAUUAGUAGAGCGCAUCAUUUAAGCCAAGCAAGCUGUGGUCAAUACAAAUCCACCAUGAAGACCUUUCUCAUCCUUGCCCUCCUUGCUAUCGUGGCGACCACCGCCACAACUGCAGUUAGAGUUCCAGUGCCACAAUUGCAGCCACAAAAUCCAUCUCAGCAACAGCCACAAGAGCAAGUUCCAUUGGUACAACAACAACAAUUUCUAGGGCAGCAACAACCAUUUCCACCACAACAACCAUAUCCACAGCCGCAACCAUUUCCAUCACAACAACCAUAUCUGCAGCUGCAACCAUUUCCGCAGCCGCAACUACCAUAUUCGCAGCCACAACCAUUUCGACCACAACAACCAUAUCCACAACCGCAACCACAGUAUUCGCAACCACAAGAACCAAUUUCACAGCAGCAGCAACAACAACAACAACAACAACAAAUCCUUCAACAAAUUUUGCAACAACAACUGAUUCCAUGCAUGGAUGUUGUAUUGCAGCAACACAACAUAGCGCAUGGAAGAUCACAAGUUUUGCAACAAAGUACUUACCAGCUAUUGCAAGAAUUGUGUUGUCAGCACCUAUGGCAGAUCCCUGAGCAGUCGCAGUGCCAGGCCAUCCAAAAUGUUGUUCAUGCUAUUAUUCUGCAUCAACAACAAAAACAACAACAACAACCAUCGAGCCAGGUCUCCUUCCAACAGCCUCUGCAACAAUAUCCAUUAGGCCAGGGCUCCUUCCGGCCAUCUCAGCAAAACCCACAGGACCAGGGCUCUGUCCAGCCUCAACAACUGCCCCAGUUCGAGGAAAUAAGGAACCUAGCGCUACAGACGCUACCUGCAAUGUGCAAUGUCUACAUCCCUCCAUAUUGCACCAUCGCGCCAUUUGGCAUCUUCGGUACUAACUGAGAAGAAAAUAACUCUAGUACUAGAUAUAUGAAACACCGUUUUCUCAGUCCAUGGUUUGGUCAUUGUAGCGUUGAAAAAAUAAUGUGACAUGCACUAUCAUGUAAGAAUCCGAACUAUACUAGUUCAAACUUGGGAAUAAAAGACAAACACAGGUCUUGUCUACAUAUUUAUGUUGCAUCUAUUUAUAUAUUAAAAGUAAUAUAAGGUGAACCAGGAGCAAGGUAAAUAUGCUAGAAAAUUGCACGUUAAUUAGAAAUUACUAGCCCUCGAUCUGGUAAAUCUUAACAAAUAGAAUUAUCUUCACCGUUAGAUUUAUGUAACAUAUAUAAUGCUCUGGGCCUCCAACGACUGUACGUGACACAUCUGAAUGAACAUAUGUUAAAGAAAAUAUAUUUGGUAAAUGGUGGGCCUGUUUAAAAAGAGAACUCACGUACAUGCACCAACUAAGAAAAACACAUACAUGUAAACGGGAAAAGGAUGAGAUUUUCUCACGUACGUGCUCCCUGGCUCCACCCCGUUGAAAAAAUAUACAUCUGGAGGCCACUUUGUUUCCUCAUCAAAAAAAACUUACGUUAAAAAGAUUGCAUGCAUCCCAGGGAAAAUAGUCAAGAAGAAGUCGGACUUUUCCUUACAAAAACAAGGAACGUGUUAAGUUGACUUCAAAGAAAAAAGGAACAUGUUAAGUUAAAAAAAACAAGAAACCUGUUAAGUUAGAAAAAAACAGGGAACGUGGUGUCCUAGGAAAGAUAUGUGUCAAAUCUUACAAAAAAAAAGAAUACACACACGUACGUUCAUGCACUUGGAAAAUAGAAGAAAAAAAAGGAAACAUCACGUAUGUAUACACUUCGGAAACUCAUUACAUGACCAUGUCUGAUAUACUCCUCUAAUGCUUAAUAUUAGUGCCUAAUAAUUUAUAUUUGAAAUUUAAUUUACUGAUCAAAUAUCCCCACUGUUUAAAUUUUAAUUUGGCACAUUGUUUGGCUAUAGUAUGAACCUAAAUUUCCUCUUAUUAUUAUAUAUCAUGGUAAUAAUCCAAAGGCGACUAAUCUGCACCGGGGCACCCGCGCAAUCAAUUCGGCUAGACACAGCGCAGCCGUUUGAUUAGAUUGCAUUUAACCGUCAGAUCUGGAAUCGUUUUCUUUCCAAUUAAACAGAUUCAACCAAACAGCAGAGGGGAAAACAAAGCAGCGCCGCCGCCAACACUAGCCAUGGACGACUGAUGUAGCAAAACCUUGAAGAACCGCCGCCGGUCGCCACCCUCGCCGCUGGUCGCAGCCCUCGCCGUCGGUCACCGCCGGUCGCCGCCCUCGCCGCCUGCGUUUCUCAUCGGCUUCAUGCAUGCAACAACAUGCACUCGUGGUUGCAGGCUUGCAUCUCCGGCUCUGGGGGACAUGGCCGCAUCUCCGGUAGCGCCGGCCGCCGGCCGCAGCACCUGUCGUUGUGGUCGCGCUGUACCUCGCCGUGUGCCCUCCCGAGGCUCUUGCUAGUUCCAACAAAAAACGAUACCUGUUGUAGCAAAAAAGUAUCGCUUCCAGCAAAAAAAGCUUACCGCUACAGCCCGCCAUCGUCAUUGUAGCAAAAAUGUUUACCCGAUGUAGCUUCUGUGGUUGCCGAUUGCAGCAAAAAAUGACAUGGUUGUAGCAAAACACAAAAGAAAAACGCCGGCCGGCCGCUGUGUAUGGUGGUAACAAACCCUAUAGCCGGUGGUAGCGAAAAACUUCAUAGUUUGCAGCAAAAAAAAAUGUUGUCACCCGUCGUCGAGGUUGCAUCAUCUUCAAGAAUUAUGUCGCAAAAAAACGUUGUCGCCGGUAGUAGCAAAUGAAGCCGCCGGUAGUAGCAAAACAAGACACUGGUUCCAGCCAAAAAAAAUCAGCGACAGAACCUUUGGUUGGUUCCAACAAAAAAACUUGUUGGUUGUAACAUCCCUCACCGCCGGAUGUAGCAUCUCCCGGGGCUGGUUGCAACACUCCAUAAAAAAAAGUUGUCUAUGAGCGCAUCCAUGGCGACUGUUGCACCGUCAGCAACGAGGGGAAGAGGAGGCAAUGAAAAUCGUUCGAGUCAUAGCUCCACAGGACGCAACUGCAGCAUGGGGAGUCCAAAAAUCUGUCACAAGCAAGAUGCGCCUCGCCAUCCUCCUGCGCAGGAGAGAGAAGAAAAAGGAAUAAGAGGAAGAAGAAAGGAAACGGGAGAAAGAAAAAAGAAACGAUUGAUGGUUGGCUCAGGCAAUUAGUCAAACGAGGGGCACGCGGGGCCGCAGGAUACAGCGCAAUCGAACGAAGCGUGCGCGUCCGGCCGAAGACUCGGCUGGACUGCCGGCUGGAAACGUUUCCCUAAUCCAAAGGCUUUGUCUGAAUGACAAGUCGUCUGGGUUACCGGCUAACUAGAAAAAAGAUAAAUAUGCUAGAGAAUUCCAUAAUAAUUAAAAAUAUCUAGCCUUUAAUUAUGUAAAUCAGAAAAUCACAACCGUUGGAUUUACUUUAAAGGUAAAUUUCUCUAAAUUCCCACCAUUGCCAGUAUGUAGAAACAUGUGCUGCUUCAAUUCUCCCUUAAUCACCAAUCAAUCAACAACACAAAACAUACCUUAGUUAAAAAAAACUGAACAAAAAAAAAGAAAAAAAGAAGAAAGGACAAGAUACACGCAUGUACACGACAGCCUUGGCUUGAAACACAUCAGUAGAUCAAGUGUCCGCCUCCCUUACACAGAAUAAAUUCUAGGGAAGAAAAUAAUAGUGCAACCUAACCUUAUACGUACUAUUCUAUCCUCGAGUCCCAUGUGGUUUACAAGCCUACCGCCGCCGCAUCAUGCCAUCCUCUCCUUUCAGCUCCCAUGCUCUCCAGCACCCUCCUUGCCGCGCCACUACUCGCCUAGGGAUAUUGCUGCUCAGGCCGUGGAGCUUAACCUGCUUCUUCUUCAGCAAAUAUGGAACUGCUUUAGGAUCCUUCUCACAUCAGCACGUAUGGGCCUCAUUAUACUGCAGCUCCUGGACCUCCUACAAUUGGUUGGCUAUGGCCAGUUGAUCGAUGUGCUGAAGUCCAGGUCUGUUUGCUGGCACAUAUGCUUUGGAAAUAGGCCACUAUGUUUGUACUUCAAAAUUGUUUCUGUAUUCUUGAGUGGUACAUCCUUUUAAGCGCCAGUUUUUUAUGUUAAUUCAUGCUGACAACACUUAACCUAGCCUUUUCAUGUUCACGUAAUUGCUCUGCAUGUUCUACAUAGGAAAAUUUGUCAUGUUCUACGAUCGCACCAUCCCACCCUUCUCUCUUGGUAUGGGCGCCAAUUGAGGGAUUGAUAAAACUGAAACGAAGACGUCACAGGGCUGGAAGUACCGCUAGCCUGGUUCGCACUGCAACCUACCCAACGCGAUUGGAGCAGGUGGCUAUGGAGAUUUUACCCAACAUGGGUGGCAGCAUAAUCUCCGGAUCGGUCCACCAACCGUUUCGACAUAGGCAUAUUGUCGGUCUAUAGGACUCUACUGUUGCCGAAUUGUCGGGUUUUUUUCUUAUCAGAUUUUUUAUGUUUGGCUGUGUGCAUCCUAGUUAUGCAGAGGCCGGGUGGUACUCUAAAUGCUUUGUAUCGCUUGAUGCUACAUUUUGAGAUAAUAAAAACGUCCUUUAUCAAAAAAAAAUUGUAAGUACUACCCCUUGCAUGUGCGUACAUACCUUUGUUGCAUUCUCAAACAGAUAGAACAUGUAUGAUCGGUGCAUGGCUAUUUUUCAUCACAUGACAUCCAGAUAACAAGCAUGAAAGGACUACAUUGGAGAUCAAAAAAUAUUGGUUCCUGGCUAGAGUACCACUACCUAUGGACUUGUCUCCAUAGAAUUUGUUCCCAAGAUGUUAUUUUAAUUAACCUCUUUAGAUUUCUUCCAUUGCAAACGGUGAUGUGCAUCAUGGUAUAUACGUGACCAUCUUGCACAUGUAUACACAAGAGGCUCAGACGGAGGUGCUGGAUUCUGGACGAGGGAAUAUGAAGCAGGAGUGAGCGAAGAGUAAAUAAUGGUGGGAGUACCGAUUGGUGUUAUGAAGAAAAAUGCCAUCCAAAGAUUGAUUAGUGUCAUGGAAGAUUAAUUUCUGAAUGUGAAUAUAUAUGUUACAUUGGUUUCCAUCUUUUUGAGAUAAUUGCACCUAAAUUAGGUUCUUUCUUAUUUCAUGUGUAUACCUUAUUUCAGUAAAAGUUCACAACGAACUUAGUAGGACAAAUAUAAUUUUGUUUGUUCUUUCUGUUGUCCGCCACCAAAGCUCAGUUUGAACUCUCUAGAAAUGGACAAUGAUUUAUGCAUUCUAUAUCUUCUUGAUUGAUUAGCCAUGACAAGGAAAUAAAAGGAUUGACUGAUAUAGCAUAACUUUGGAACGAUCUGUUCGUAGAGGUUACUAUAAAUUAGAGUAGUGUCUGUUGGAAUUUUGCUAGUACGCCUUUGGCCCAAAGCCCAACUAAAAUUCUGAAAUUCUCUUGGCUCAUUUAUGCACACAAGUUAGUCCCACCCCGGAAGUUGAGAGAGAGUUGCACCUCUUUAUAAGGUGAGCUCUUCUACCACUUGUAUGAGCAUGAGAAGAGGAGACCUACACGCGCGCUCCUCCUCGCUCGCCCCGCCGCGCCGCGGGUUGCGGGAUUGAGCCGAGCCGAGGACGUUGUCUAUAUUUUUGCUGCUCGGGAAAAAUUAAUGAGUCAUUAAUUAAUAAUUAAUGGACGCGUUAAUUACUGAACCAUUUCCGAUUCUUUUGGAUCGUAACGACUCGGACGUGGGGUUUACUCCCACGACCUACCCGGCCCGCACUAUAUAGUCAGGCAGACGUCUACCCUAGCCGCCGCCGCUUCGUAUGGUUUCUCACCAUCGUUACAGAUCAUUGCGCCACCAAGCAAGUUUUCUCCAUCCCUCCUUUCGGCGUGCACCGGGAGAAGGGACAGCAGGCCUCCGGAACCCCGCCUCUCGUGAUCCUGUACGGGAGAGGGGCGAUCAGGUUUUUGAGGAGCGCACUCGCACGACUGCUGGCAGCGACGACUUCGCGAACGACGACAUCUUCCCCGGCCUCGGCAACCUCAUCCUCGACGACAUGGGCGACAACGUCAACGCCGGCGGUGCUACACCCACUACACCGUAUGUUAUUCUAUCCUUCUUGUUCGAGAUCGUGGUAGAAUUCAUAUUUCUAGUAUAUGUGCUAUAGAUGUGAUCUGUUCAUCUACUAUGCUAGUUCGCAUGAUUAGUUUAAUCUCUGCUAUUGCUGUCAUGAUCUAUUUCCUAUUUAUUCGGAUUAAAUCUCGUAGUAAUUGGCUCAUUUUUCCAACAAUCCAAAAACCUGAUUAUAGGCAAUUUACUCCGAGUGGUUUUACUGCGCAUCUAAAAGCCGCCUGCCUUUAAGGGGGCGUAAUAUAAGAGGUGGCGCACCAGAGCAGUCUACUGGUUUCAGAUCAUGGGCUGCUAUGAUGCCACCAAGGGCAAGCCUGAGGGCGAUCUUAAUCCAGCACAGCUGGAAGCUUUCAAGGAGAUCAAUACCCUCUUUAAAGGCACUCUUCUGAGUGUUCUUGAUGACUCCAUUGUAGAUUCGUAUAUGUCAUUUGACAACGGCAAGAACAUGUGGGCUACGCUCGAGUCCAAGUUUGGUGCCUCAGACGCCGGCAGCAAGUUCUACGUCAUGGAGCAAUUCUAUGACUCCAAGAUGACUGAUGAGCGCCCUAUUGUACAGCAGGCUCAUGAGAUACAUUCGCUCGCAAAAGAACUUGAGUACUUCAAGUGUGUGUUGCCGGACAAAUUUGUUGCCGGAGGCAUCAUUGCCAAGCUUCCACCUUCGUGGAACAAUUUUGCUACUUCCCUGAAACACAAGAGACAGGAGUUUUUCAUUGCGGAUCUCAUUGGUACUCUUGAUGUUGAAGAGAAGGCGAGAGCAAAGGAUACACGUGCUCGAGUUGCUGAGGGAGGUUCUAGUGCCCACAUGGUACAGAAGAAGAACUUCCAGCCCAACAAGUUCAAAAACAACAAGAACAAAACUUAGGGCAAAGGCAAGUUUGAUACAAAGAACAAGCCAUCACAUUCUACCAACUUCAAGAAGAACUCUCAUAAGAAGGGGAAGGGACUUUGCCAUGUCUGCGGUGAUCCUAAUCACUGGGCUCCGAAGUGUGCUAACCGCUUUGAGGAGCGCGAAGAUGAGAAGAGCCGCAAGUCCGCUAAUGUUAUCAUCGGUGAUACUGAUAUGAAGGAAUCAGGGUACGGUAUUUUUCCUACCAUCCUUUCAGUAUUCCAAACCCCUGAUUCGUUAAUUGACACCGGUGCCAAUGUACAUGUUUGUGCUGAUGCCUCCAUGUUUUCUUCUUACCAGGCCACUGGGACUUCUCCCGUGCUAUUGGGGAACGGGUCACAUGCCAUCGUUCGAGGUGUUGAUACGGUCGAUCUGAAGUUUACUUCAGGGAAGACCGUGCGUCUGAAGAACGUUCAUCAUGUGCCGUCCAUCAAUAAAAAUCUCGUUAGCGGUUCCCGUUUAUGUCGAGAUGGUUUUAAGUUGGUUUUCGAAUCCAAUAAAGUUGUAAUUUCUAAGUAUGGACAAUUUGUUGGAAAAGGCUAUGAGAGCGGAGGCUUGUUUCGCCUGUCUUUGUCAGAUAUUUGCACUAAAGUUAUUAAUAAUGCUUGCCACAACAAUGAGUCUGAUAUUUGGCAUUCACGACUUUGUCACAUUAACUUUGGUUGCAUGACGCGGCUAGCCAAUAUGAAUUUAAUUCCGAAAAUCUCUACUAUCAAAGGCUCUAAGUGCCAAGUAUGUGUGCAAGCUAAGCAACCUCGCAAGUCCCAUAAGACUGCAGAGGCAACAGACUUGGCGCCACUAGAGCUUAUACAUUCUGAUAUUUGUGAGAUGAAUGGCGUGUUGACAAAAGGUGGAAAGAGAUACUUCAUGACGUUGAUUGAUGACUCCACUAGAUAUUGUUAUGUGUAUCUUGUGAAAUCAAAAGAUGAGGCUUUGGCUUUCUUCAAAAACUAUAAAGCUGAGGCAGAAAACCAACUUGAUCGAAAAAUUAAACGGCUUAGGUCCGAUCAUGGUGGCGAGUAUUUUUCCAAUGAAUUUGAUCUGUUUUGUGCGGAACAUGGUAUAAUCCAUGAGAGGAUGCCUCCCUACUCACCCCAGUCAAAUGGGGUAGCCGAAAGAAAGAACCGAACUCUAACUGAUAUGGUUAACACCAUGUUAGACACUUCGGGUCUAUCCAAGGAAUGGUGGGGGGAGGCGCUAAUGACUGCGUGUCAUGUCCUAAACCGAGUUCCCACAAAGCAUAAGACCAUGACUCCAUUUGAGGAAUGUGAAAGGAAAAGGUUGAAACUCUCUUACCUAUGUACUUGGGGUUGUUUGGCAAAAGUCAAUAUAUCAAUUCCCAAGAAGCGCAAGCUUGGACCAAAAACCGUGGAUUGUGUUCUUCUUGGCUAUGCUUUUCAUAGCAUCGGCUAUAGAUUUUUGAUAAUAAAAUCUGAGGUAUCCGACAUGCAUGUUGGUACGAUUAUGGAGUCGAAUGAUGCAACUUUCUUUGAGGACAUAUUUCCUAUGAAGGAUAUGUCGAGUUCAUCAAAUCAGGAGACACCUACUCCAUCUAGUGAGGAGUUCACUGCAAUUCCUAAACCCAUCAUUGCGAUGGAAUACGUUGAGAAUCCUGUUGAGGGUGACAAUGGAACUCCUGUGAGGAGUAAGAGACAUAGGGCUACAAAGUCCUUUGGUGAUUAUUUCAUUAUGUACCUCGUGGAUGACACACCCAGGACUAUUUCAGAAGCCUGUGCAUCUCUUGAUGCUGACUACUGGAAGGAAGCUGUACGUAGCGAGAUGGAUUCCAUCUUAGGUAACGGAACCUGGGAGAUCACUGACCGUCCUUAUGGGUGAAAACCUGUAGGAUGUAAGUGGGUGUUCAAGAAGAAGCUUAGACCUGAUGGUAUGAUUGAAAAGUAUAAGGCACGGCUUGUGGCCAAGGGUUAUACCCAGAAAGAAGUUGAAGACUUCUUUGAUAGUUACUCACCCGUGGCUAGACUGUCCACAAUUCGGGUGCUACUAUCACUUGCUGCCUCACAUGGUCUUCUCGUUCAUCAAAUGGACGUUAAGACAACUUUCCUCAAUGGAGAGUUGAAGGAGGAAAUUUACAUGGAUCAGCCAGAUGGUUUUGUAGUACCUGGUUAGGAAGGAAAGGUGUGCAAGUUAUUAAAGUCUUUAUAUGGCCUUAAACAAGCUCCUAAAGAGUGGCAUGAGUAGUUCGAAAGAACAUUAACUACUGCCGGCUUUGUAGUAAACGAUGGUGACAAGUGCGUGUACUAUCGCUAUGGUGGGGGCGAAGGAGUUAUUCUUUGUCUGUAUGUCGAUGACAUAUUGAUCUUUGGAACCAAACUUGAUUUAAUCAAGGAGGUUAAGGAUUUCUUAUCUCGCUAUUUUAAGAUGAAGGAUCUAGGAGUAGCUGAUGUUAUCUUAAACAUCAAGCUGUUGAGAGAUGAGAAUGGUGGGAUCACACUGCUUCAGUCUCACUAUGUGGAAAAGGUCUUGCUUCGUUUUGGGUAUAGCGACUGCACACCUUCUCCAACUCCAUAUGAUGCUAGCGUGUUGCAUCGAAAGAAUCGAUGGAUUGCUAGAGAUCAACUAAGGUAUUCUCAUAUUACUGGCUCGCUUAUGUAUUUGGCGAGUGCCACGAGGCCUAACAUCUCGUUUGCUGUUAGCAAGCUGAGUCGGUUUGUGUCAAAACCGGGAGAUGAUCAUUGGCAUGCGCUUGAGAGAGUUAUGCGCUAUUUGAAAGGCACCGCGAGCUAUGGGAUUCACUACACCGGGUAUCCAAGGGUACUGGAGGGUUAUAGUGACUCAAACUGGAUAUCUGAUGCUAAUGAGAUUAAGGCCACAAGUGGUUAUGUUUUUACACUUGGUGGUGGCGCUGUUUCUUGGAAGUCCUGCAAGCAGACCAUCUUAACGAGGUCAACUAUGGAAGCAGAACUCACAUCAUUAGAAACUGCCACUGUUAUAGAAGAGUGGCUUCGUGAGCUCUUGAUGGACUUACCUAUGGUUGAAAAACCAAUACCCCCUAUCCCGAUGAACUGUGAUAAUCAAACUGUGAUCGUCAAGAUAAACAGUUCUAAGGACAAUAUGAAGUCCUCAAGGCAUGUGAAGAGGAGACUGAAAUCUGUCAGAAAAUUGAGGAACUCCGGAGUUAUUAUGUUGGAUUAUAUCCAAACGUCAAAAAAAUUAGCAGAUCCCUUCACAAAGGGUCUAUCACGUAAUGUGAUAGAUAAUGCAUCGAUGGAGAUGGGUCUGAGACCCACCGCAUGAGUUGUCCAUAGUGGUAACCCACUCUAUGUGAUCGGAGAUCCCGUGAAGUAGAAGUGGGAGACAAGUUGUUGGUCAGCUGGGAGGAGAGUAUCCCUAUAUUACCUAUCCCACUUCAUGAAGAUGCAAUACUCUCCUAAUCUGCAUGGCAGGUUGAUACUUAUCUUAAUGUGUUCCAAGUGGCUUAUUCGGGUAAGCAGAGAUGUUGUCCUGCAGAACAUCUUCUAAGAAACACAUCUAUAUGAAUUUGACUGUUAACAUUGCAGUCUGUGAGAAUUGGGUGUUCUCUAAUAAAUUCAUGAAAAGGCCCUGGAAUAUGACGUAUACACUCCACCCGCGGGGAAGCCUUGCGGCAGCCCAGUAUCGGUCAAGAAUUUAUGUGAAACUAGUCUCGCAGAAAAUUUUUAGUUCAAGGCAUAGUCCACUAUUCAAGUUGUGAUCUAGUGUAGCAUAAAUCUCUAAGUGGAAGUUAAACUUCACAGUCUCCACUAAGCCCUGGUAUAUAAACAAUGUUUUGGAACUAAAUGAUGAGAUGUGCCCAUGAGACUUUGUGGGGGAUUGUUGGAAUUUUGCUAGUAGGCCUUUGGCCCAAAGCCCAACUAAAAUUCUGAAAUUCUCUUGGCCCAGUCAUGCACACAUGUGAGUGGAGUGAGUGAGACUAAAGUUUAGUCCCACCCCGGAAGUUGAGAAAGAGCACAUCUUUAUAAGGUGAGCUCUUCUACCACUUGUAUGAGCAUGAGAAUAGGAGACCUACACACGCGCUCCUCCUCCUCGCUCGCCACACCACGCCUCGUCACGACGCGCCGGCCGUGGGUUCGGGAUUGAGCCGAGCCGAGGACAGAGCUAUGCACAUUGUCUAUUUUUUGCUACCCCGGAAAAAUUAAUGAGUUAUUAAUUAAUAAUUAAUGGACGCAUUAAUUACUGAACCGUUUCCGAUUCUUUUGGAUCGUGAUGACUCGGACGUGGGGUUUACUCCCACGACCUACCUGGCCCGCACUAUAUAGUCGGGCAGACGUCUACCCUAGUUGCCGCCGCUUCGUAUGGUUUCUCACCACUGUUCCAGAUCAUUGCGCCGCCAAGCAAGUCUUCUCCAUCCCUCCUUUCGGCGUGCACCGGGAGAAGGGACAGCAGGCCUCCGGAAUCCCGCCUCUCGUGACCCUGUACGGGAGAGGGGCGAUCAGGUUUUUGGGGAGCGCACUCGCGCGACUGCUGGCAGCGACGACUUCGCGAAUGACGACUUCUUCCCUGACCUCGGCAACCUCAUCCUCGACGACAUGGGCGACAAUGUCUACGCCGGCGGUGCUGCACCCGCUGCACCAUAUGUUAUUCUAUCCUUCUUGUUCGAGAUCGUGGUAGAAUUUAGAUUUCUAGUGUGUGCCCUAGAUGUGAUCUGUUCAUCUACUAUGCUAGUUCGCAUGAUUAGUUUAAUCUCUGUUAUUGCUGUCAUGAUCUAUUUCCUAUUUAUUCGGAUUAAAUCUCAUAGUAAUUUGCUCAUUUUUCCAACAGUGCCAUCUAAUAGAUGAUGUAAAUCUCCUCAAGUUUGACGUUGUUGAGCUAAUUUACAAAAAAAAACUCAUCAUUAUUGGACGUCCUUAACAGCUCAAGAACAAGUUGGGGUCGAACUAAUGGAUUUUAAACUUUUACAUAAAAGGUUUAGCUAAAGCUAGCAGGUUUUUUUAAACCUGAAUUUUUUUCCUCCUGAAUUUCUUUGUAUUUUCUUAUUGACACUAUUUAUACAAUCAUCUGACAAAGAUUAGCUAAAGCUGUUUGUAGAUACGUUGAAACCUGAAAAGCUUCUUUGGUUAUCCUUUUAAUAGUUCUACGUUUAUUUUCUCAUAGGUCUUAAUUCUUAUGUAAUACCAAGAUGCAUUGUGGUAGUGUACAUGUGUUAAAUUCAGGUUGUUAUUCACAAUUUGCGACAAAAUUUAGCUCACGCUACAUUUAAAUAUGUUGAAAUGUGAAAGCUCUUUUUCUUCUCCUUUCUACACCUUGCAUCGGAUUGCAUCCCUUUAGUUAUCCAACAUUUUGUACAACAUGUAGAGAUUAGGAAGUUCAUCAUAGUUUGUCUAUUUCCGUGCAAAUAAAUGUAUGAAAUCUGCAUUUCCAAGCUACUAGGACAAGUAAAAAAUAAUAAUUUUACUAUAGGAUUCAAAAACAGCAGUUCUGAAGUGCACUUUAUUUAUUUGUGAAAGUGAUCACAUUUUGUUUCAUUUUUCUAUAGACAAAUCUACUAAUACAUACUCACGAUAAAACUAUAAAAGUUCUAGUCCGCACAUUGGGCGGGCCACCCGGCUAGUUAGUCUAAAGAUAACAAAAUGAGUCUGGUGUUUGAAUUAAAUUGAAGUAUUUUCUUGGACUUUCAAAUUGAGUAUUAUUAAAGUAGUAAGGACUAUUCACAUCCUUGGCUUGCCCCUGAUCAAUUAUUUCCAGAGAAGCAUUCAAUUCAUCAAUCAAUUACAUUGAUUUUAGUGGCUGGUACUUCUCCUCAACAUCAGUAUAUUCACCGUGGCCACUCCAAAUCGGCAAGAAUGAGGUACCAGUGCUCUGGAGCAGUGCAAGCUAAUUGCUUCUCAUGUGAAGGGGUGCGGGCGCAGGAGAGGUAUUUCUGGUGGGCCAAGGGACUAAGAAGCGACCGUGGCAGCGGUACAGACGCCCGCAAAGCCCCAUAGUUUGUUUUUGGUUUACAGGAAAAAUGCACAUCCAUACCGGCCUGGGGAAUAUAGGACCGUAUUGGAUGGAAAACCAUGUCCGGAUGGUUGCGAGCGGUUUGAGGGUUAGCUUUUGUAACGCCCGGUUAGUUAUGCUAUAGCAAUUCCCUGCUAAUGAUGUCACGUCACCACGAUUACUGUUGUUAACCUCACAAUGAUUCAAUCCCCUUCAAAUUCAAAUUUAAAAUAAAGGCAAACAUAAAAAGUUUUCAAACAUUAAAACUAAAAUCUUUGAGAGGUGACAAAUAAUGCAUAAGUAAUUAUGAUGGAGAAACCACACUUUAAUCAAAUGUUUAAAUACUCUAAAAUGAAAAAAAACAGUGGCUUAAACUAUUAUUUAAAUGCUUUUAAAAUAGUAAAAAUCUUCUAACUAAAUUAUUUGGGUACCAAACUUUUGGUGGCAGUGGUAUAUUUAGUAGAACUAAUUUAGAUGCUAAUUAUAUAAUUUACAAAAUUAGAGUAAAUUGAAAAAUAGGAUAAAACGGAAAAGGAAAGACAAAACAAUAAAAGCAAAAGGGGGCAACCCCUUGCUGGGCCUCGGCCUAGCUGGCCACUAGGCUAGCUAGGCUGGCCCCGCCGCCUCCCUUNNNNNNNNNNNNNNNNNNNNNNNNNNNNNNNNNNNNNNNNNNNNNNNNNNNNNNNNNNNNNNNNNNNNNNNNNNNNNNNNNNNNNNNNNNNNNNNNNNNNNNNNNNNNNNNNNNNNNNNNNNNNNNNNNNNNNNNNNNNNNNNNNNNNNNNNNNNNNNNNNNNNNNNNNNNNNNNNNNNNNNNNNNNNNNNNNNNNNNNNNNNNNNNNNNNNNNNNNNNNNNNNNNNNNNNNNNNNNNNNNNNNNNNNNNNNNNNNNNNNNNNNNNNNNNNNNNNNNNNNNNNNNNNNNNNNNNNNNNNNNNNNNNNNNNNNCAUCUGGAUCGGGGAGGGUAUUGCCCCCAUUGUCCCCGUUGCCGUCGCCGGAUCGCCCGCCGACGUUGCCAGGCCUCCUCCCCGCCGCCCGUCUCCGGCUGACCUCCCCUCUUGCUCCUCUUCCCCGACCCGAUCUGGAUCGUGAACGAGCAAUGAGCUCGAAGCCCCCCUUCACCGGCGCCAUCACCGUGCGCCACCACCACCGCCUGAAGACCUCACCGUCGCCGAACCUUGCGUCGCCUCCUCGUAUCCCUCCCCUACUCGCGUCCUCAAGCCAGGCCGAGCCCCUUCUCGGCAACGCUGUGAGACGCCCCCGUUUCCCUCCUCUUUCCAGCGCGUUCAUCGCGCUGCCUGCCGUGCCCCUCGUCGUGCGCACGCCCACCACCGCACCAGCCCCCGCUCCGCGCACGACCCUACCCGCGCCCGCGCCAUGAUCCCCUUUUCCGCCCUACCUUCCCGCGCUCGCCGCGAUCCUGAUGCUCCCCCGCGCCCUCUUUCGGGGGCGCCGACUGCCCCUGUCCCGGUGCUCGCCGCCGUGCCUCGCCACCGCUCUACUGCUACGUUACUACUGCGCUGCGGCCGCCGCCUCUUCCCGCUGCUCCGCUAGCGCCGAAGCUCCCGGUUGGCUCCACCACUGCUCACGUUAAACCGCCGGCCUAAAUGGCCUAACCCCCGGCUAAUGAACCCCCACUAACCCACUGACACCGGGACCCACAUUCCCUAAUUAACCAUUUAAUAAAUUAAAACUCUUAAAUUAACAUUAGUGUAUGACAUGUGCUUCCCCUGUUAAUUAAUAAUUUUACUGCUAGUUUUAUUAGUUUCUGUUUUUUCUGCAUAUUUCUUUUGUAUUUGAACAGGCUUUAUACAAUAAUAUUUAGCGUAUCAUACACAUACAAAUGUAAUCAUAGCAUAUACAUACAAAUAGUCUCAUCAAAUAAUGUCAUCAUCAUAAUCAUCAUCCAUCACAAAGUGGUCUCUCGUCAUCAUCUCGAAAAUAGCGAUACAAGUCUCGAUUACUUGCAACUACAUCGUCAUCCAUCUAAACAAUGAUAUACGCGAGAAGAGCUAUCACUAUGAGUGAGAGUGGAACUAUGCAGUACAUGAGUUUGUAUCCCUCUCUCACAUUAGCGUGAACCUAAACUAACUACUGGCUAUUGCUCGGAAACCGGAAACCGGUACACCUGGGCCUGACACUCCGGCCACUCAUCGUAUACUCCUGGCGUAGCACUUCUUCGCCAUCUAUGAUCUAUGCACCUGCAUCGUCACAUGAGUCGAUGAUAUGCAACAUAUAUAGUUGAGCAACAGAAAGAGAUAGACUUGGCAAAAAUAGAAGCAACAUAUCAUAAGCAUAAAUAACAAAGUUCAUCAUACGCAAAAUGCCCUAACUAGAGUGAUCUUCGCUAGUCGAGGAGGACGGUUUAAUUACAUCACAAAUAAUGUUUCGUCGUGCAUAACUCAAAGUUCCGUCAUACAGAAAGUAUGAACUAAAUGGACACAUUGUCAUAUUUCGAAAAUCACUCCAACAUGUCGUGCCAUCCAUCCAAGUCAAGGAGAUAGUACCCGAGCUUAGUGAAAGGCUUUAGGUCAAGACGCUGAGCGGCUACGCGUGUUCGGACAUCUUCCCACGACAUUUGUCCUUCAUAGAACAUCCCUGUUUUUUCGACGACCUCCUUCAUCACUGGUAGAAAAAGGGCCUGUUGUCCCGGUUCGUAAGGGCCUGUUGUCCCGGUUCUGGAACCGGGACUAAAGGGUCGGUACUAAUGCCCUGUCCCUUUAGUCCCGGUUCAAUCCAGAACCGGGACAGAUGGGCCUCCACGUGGCCUGUGCGCGGAGCCCAGGCAGGAGACCCUUUGGUCCCGGUUGGUGGCACCAACCGGGACCAAUAGGCAUCCACGCGUCAGCAUUUUUGUGGUUGGGGUUUUUGUUUUUUUGAAAGGGGGGGUGUUGGGGGUCUUGGGGGGUUAAUUUAGGUGUUUCAUAUAUUGUGUUAGCUAGCUAUAAUUAAUAGAGAGAAGUGUCCUCUCUUAUGUCCGUGCUUGGUCGACGCUACGUACUAUACAUACGUAUAGAGAGGACUAGACACGCUAGCUAGCUAGUAAGCAAACGAAGGAAACAGACGAUCGUCAUGAACAUAUAUGCAUACAGAGAGAAGUGAUAUCGAUCACCUCUCCUUCUCCGAGAGAUUGGUCGAACAACAAGUUCUCGUAUAUCUAUCCGACACUACCGGCUACAUAUAUACAAUAAUUAUCACUUACAAAUAUAAUCAUACGGACUCAGGGUCCACAUAGUAUUCUCCGUCUUUAGGGAUCACGUGGUCAAGAAAGAAUGCCGCCAAUUCCUCUUGAAUUGCUCGCAUGCGAGCUGGUGCUAGGAGUUCUUCCCGCUUCCGAAACAUCUAAUUCAAAGAAGGGGGUCAAUACAUAUAUAUAUGAAUGAAUGAAACUCAACACAAAUGAUGGUAAUAAAAUAAAAUUGUGAAUGUUGUUAUUUACGUACUUCAUAUUGUUCGUCAGUGUAGCCCCGCUCACAGGUCAUGUGGCGGAUGGACUCGCAAACGUAGUAUCCACAGAAAUCAUUCCCUUGUUCCUGCCACAACCACUUUACAAGAAAUAGAGGUCAAUCAAACUGAUAAGCAAGAAUGCCAAAUGGUAUUGAUGAAACCAGCGCUUGAAUGACUAGUAGAUGCGCGGAACAUGCUACUAUAGUACUUACUUUCGGGUGUCUAAAUUGCAGCUCCUUCGGCAGUCCCGGAGCUUUUCUGGUGAAUUUUCUCCAAACCCUGCCAGACAAAGAAAACAAUUACUUGAUAUAUCAGGAAAUGAACAAAGUUGCUGAUAUGGUGGAUAAUGAUCGAUUUAACUUACUUCUCGAGUAUUUGAGUCAUGUUUGCAUAGUCCUGGGGAUCUUUUCGUCUUGAGUCUAAGACGGUUACUAGUCCCUGCUCAAGCUUAAUCUCUAGGAGAAUAUAGUAGAAACUGCACACGCAUGCAUAACUCAUCAAUUACAUUACUAUAACCUUGACUAAUAUAUAAGGGAAACCGAACACACACAAGACAGUAACACUCACUUGAAGUUGUAAGGAAAGAGUAUUAUAUCUUUGUUUUCAUUUAUUACCAACGAUCGUAGCAAGUUGGCCUCGGUAGCUAUGGCAUGAAAUUUAACCUGAGUUGCAUCUAUGAGAUAUGUGUUAAUGAACCCAAUAUCACCGACUUAUCUUUUCUUCAAUUCGGCGAUCUUCAAUCUGCAUAAUAUAGUGAGGAUGAUUAUAAAUACAUGCAAUGAAAGAGCUGAGCUAUAUAUAGAGACUUAAUGACAGAAGUAGUACUACUUACAGACAGUAGCAGGCGACCGUUGUUUUAUCGAGGGCCAAUUGAUUGAAAAACUGAUAGAACUCCUCAAAUGGAACAGGCAACAGUUCAAUUCCAACGAGGUCAUGCUCCUUUUUAACUUUCACAUACAAAGUACUCCUCCCCCCAGAGUCUUUGCAGAUUUUCAAGUACAAAUCAUGCACUCUUCGCAUCAUCGUUGAUAGAGAUAUUUCAUCUUUGAAGAGAGGCUUCCCGUACUCGUAUCUUUGUAUCUGCACCUUCAGGGGUUCAUAAUGUACAUCGUCGGGCAGGUAAUCUGCAAGAUUGCUAUAACCGGGCACCAUGCUCGGACCAUUAGCGACAUUGUGGCUAGGCACCUUGAGCGGGGGGGACGAUUGCUUCGCUUGUUCGCCGAGUUGGGCAAUUUGUUUCCCAGCUCGUCGUUCUUUCAGCCUUUGAUCACUGACAGUACUUCCCGACCGCUCCGCUUCGGCAAAUUCCUUUCCAAUAAUGCACUCAUAGUUUCCUUUCGGCGGAGACUUGGGUGGUUUUGUCAUGGCAGCCAGAGUGUGCUUCGCUUUCACCGGAUCUACCUUCUCCUCCGGAAGUGGAUGUCUCUUUGCUUUUAACCCUUGAAACUAGUCAUCCACUUCGGUUCGUGCGAUCUCGGCGUUCUCCUCCGGGGUCCUCUCGUAUGGUAACUUCUCUGGAGUCUUCAGAGAAGGGCCGAAUCUAUAUGUCCUCCCGCCUCUGGCUGUACUGCUAGACGCCGGCCGAGCAGACGGAGCGGUUGUCUUCUUUACUUGCUUACGAGGCGGAGGAGAAGGACUAUGAUGCGCCGGAGAAGCCGGAGCGGCGGCAGGUCUCUUCCGCCCUUGCUGACGAGGCGGAGAAGGAGGAGGCUGGCUGCUCGGGCGCGUCAGCGCAGGCGGAGAAGGAGGCGGAGUGCUGCCACGCGCUGGAGAAGGAGCCGGUCGAGUGCCCUGAUCGUCACUCGCCGGAGGAGGAGGCGGUGGAGGAAGCGGAGUGCCCUGACUUGCCGGAGGAGGAGGCGGAGGCAUCCAGUUCGGAAGGUUGAUGAGCUCCUUCCGCCAUAGGCAUGGAGUCUUUAGAGCAGACCCCAGCCUAGUCUCCCCUUCACUGGUAGGGUGGUCAAGCUGGAGGUCCUCAAAUCCCUCCGUUAUUUCAUCCACCAUCACCCUAGCAUAUCCUUCUGGAAUCGGCCGGCAGUGAAAAGUUGCGUCGGGUUCAGUAGGAUAAACAGAGCCAACAGCCGCCUUGACCUUCAAAUUCAUCCAUUGUGUCAUAGUAAUUUCAAAAAUUUCCUACGCACACGCAAGAUCAUGGUGAUGCAUAGCAACGAGAGGGGAGAGUGUUGUCUACGUACCCUCGUAGACCAAAGCGGAAGCGUUGACGCAACAUAGAGGAAGUAGUCGUACGUCUUCCCGGUCCAACCGAUCCAAGCACCGUUACUCCGGCACCUCCGAGUUCUUGGCACACGUUCAGCUCGAUGACGCUCCCCGGGCUCCGAUCCAGCAAAGCUUCGGGGAGGAGUUCCGUCAGCACGACGGCGUGGUGACGAUCUUGAUGUUCAACCGUCGCAGGGCUUCGCCUAAGCACCGCUACAAUAUGACCGAGGUGUAAUAUCGUGGAGGGGGGCACCGCACACGGCUAAGGAACGAUCACGAAGAUCAACUUGUGUGUCUAGAGGUGCCCCCCUGCCCCCGUAUAUAAAGGAGUGGAGGAGGGGAGGGCCGGCCCUCUCUAUGGCGCGCCCUAGGGAGUCCUACUCCCACCGGGAGUAGGAUUCCCCCGUUCCUAGUCCAACUAGGAUUCCUUCCAUGUAGUAGGAGUAGGAGACAAGCAAGGGGAAAAGAGAAGGGAAGGAAGGAGGGGGCGCAGCCCCUCCCCCUACUCCAAUUCGGACUAGGCCUUGGGGGGGCACGGCCUGCCCUAGGCAGCCCCUCUCUCUUUCCCGUAUGGCCCAAUAAGGCCCAAUACUUUUCCCCCGUAUUCCUGUAACUCCCCGGUACUCCGAAAAAUACCUGAAUCACUCGGAACCUUUCCGAUGUCCGAAUAUAGUCGUCCAAUAUAUCGAUCUUUACGUCUCGACCAUUUCGAGACUCCUCGUCAUGUCCCCGAUCUCAUCCGGGACUCCGAACUCCUUCGGUACAUCAAAACUCAUAAACUCAUAAUAUAACUGUCAUCGAAACCUUAAGCGUGCGGACCCUACGGUUCGAGAACAAUGUAGACAUGACCGAGACACGUCUCCAGUCAAUAACCAAUAGCAGGACCUGGAUGCCCAUAUUGGCUCCUACAUAUUCUACGAAGAUCUUUAUCGGUCAGACCGCAUAACAACAUACGUUGUUCCCUUUGUCAUCGGUAUGUUACUUGCCCGAGAUUCGAUCGUCGGUAUCCAAUACCUAGUUCAAUCUCGUUACUGGCAAGUCUCUUUACUCGUUCCGUAAUACAUCAUCCCACAACUAACUCAUUAGUUGCAAUGCUUGCAAGGCUUAAGUGAUGUUCAUUACCGAGAGGGCCCAGAGAUACCUCUCCGACAUUCGGAGUGACAAAUCCUAAUCUCGAAAUACACCAACCCAACAUGUACCUUUGGAGACACCUGUAGAGCUCCUUUAUAAUCACCCAGUUACGUUGUGACGUUUGGUCGCACACAAAGUGUUCCUCCGGCAAAUGGGAAUUGCAUAAUCUCAUAGUCAUAGGAACAUGUAUAAGUCAUGAAGAAAGCAAUAGCAACAUACUAAACGAUCGGGUGCUAAGCUAAUGGAAUGGGUCAUGUCAAUCAGAUCAUUCAACUAAUGAUGUGAUCCCGUUAAUCAAAUAACAACUCUUUGUCCAUGGUUAGGAAACAUAACCAUCUUUGAUUAACGAGCUAACCAAGUAGAGGCAUACUAGUGACACUCUGUUUGUCUAUGUAUUCACACAUGUAUUAUGUUUCCGAUUAAUACAAUUCUAGCAUGAAUAAUAAACAUUUAUCAUGAUAUAAGGAAAUAAAUGAUAACUUUAUUAUUGCCUCUAGGGCAUAUUUCCUUCAGGAAGCCACGCUGCUUCUCCGCUGAGAUGGCGGGGUAGCUUCGGGGGAAGCUUCGGCAGUACAUUUGCUGCGAUUUGCUUCUCGUUCCUCUAUCGCUUGUACCCUUGCUUGCAUCGCCUGCAUUUGGGUCUGCUGCACUUUUUUCCUCCUCUCAUGGGAUUUGUAACCGCCUGCGUCCGGAAACCCAACCUUCCACGGAAUGGAGCCUGGCGUGCCUCGUGUCCGUCCAGGGUGCUCAGGAUUCCCGAGGGCCAUUGUGAGCUCGUCGUUCUCUCUGUCUGGAAAGAACGUCCCUUGCUGCGCUGCUUCGAUAUAGUGCUGAAGCUUCCUGACUGGUAUGUCCAUUUGAUCGUUCGUCCAAAUGCACUUCCCUGUUACAGGGUCCAAGCUUCCGGCAGCCCCGAAGAACCAAGUCCGGCAACGGUCUGGCCAGUUAAUUGUCUCUGGUUCGAUCCCUUUAUCAACUAGAUCAUUCUCAGUCUUGGCCCACUUAGGCCGGGCUACGAGGUAGCCACCUGACCCCGUGCGAUGGUGAUGCUUCUUCUUCGCAGCAUUUUUCUUGUUUGUCACUGACAUCUUCUUACUCUUUUCCGAUGUCUUGUGGGCCACAAAUGCGGGCCAGUGAUCUCUGAUCUUCUCAUAUCUGCCCUUGAACUCUGGUGCCUCAUUAUUUUCGACAAACUUAUUCAGCUCUUUCUUCCACCUCCUGAAUAGUUCUGCCAUCCUCUUAAGAGCAAAAGACUUGAUUAAUUGAUCUUUAACUGGCUUCUCUGGAUUAUCCUCUGGCGGUAGGGUGAAAUUUGACUUUAGCUCAGUCCAAAGAUCAUUUUUAUGCAUAUCAUUGACAUAAGACACCUCAGGGUCUUCUGUAGCCGGCUUAAACCAUUGCUGGAUGCUGAUCGGGAUCUUGUCCCUAACCAAAACCCCGCACUGAGCAACAAAUGCGCUCUUUGUCCAGAGGGGUUCAAUCAGUUGGCCGUCGGGCGUGAUUGCUAUGAUCUCAAACUUUUCAUCCGAGCUCAACUUUUUCUUCGGGCCUCGUCUCUUUACCGAAGUUGUGCUCGAUCCGGAGGGCUAGAAAAAAGAACAAAGAUUUAAUUAAUAUGUGUACAUACCAAAACAAUGAAUGCAUCAAUUAGCUAGUCAGCAGAAGCUUAACUAAUAUAUAUACCUGGCCGGACUCGGUUCGGUCACCGGAGACGUCAUCACGGUCUCCUUCUUGCACCGGCAUUGGGUCACCGGAGCCGUCCUCACGGUCUCCUUCUUGCACCGGCAUUAGCUCACCGGAGCCAUUAUAAUCAGCUGAUUCCAGACCAUCGGUCUCGUUGAGAAACAACGAGCAGAUGGCAUCACUUCCUCGUGCGAUUAUGUGCCCCAACAACUCUUCUUGUACUUCGUCUCGGGCGGUGUCCAUAGUUUCUACAAAUAUUGACAACAUGGCAAUUAUUAUUCAAACAUGAGAGAUGGAUAUAUUAGUGGCAAAAACGUAGAACUAAUAUUAAUUAGUGGCCUCGACGGUGCUUCUCUAGGGUUUGGGGUGGCCUCGACGCUGCUUCUCUAGGGUUUGGGGUGGCCUCGACAACGCUUCAAGGAUAAAAAAAGAAGAGGAAGAAGAAAAAAAAGAGGAGAAGAAAGAAUAGAGGAGUAAGAACUCCUCUAUUCUUUCUUCUCCUCUUUUUUUCUUCUUAUUCCUAUUUUUUUAUCGGGAACAAGGGUCGUCGAGGGUCACCGAGCGAUAGAGGAAACCCUAAAUAGCAAGUAUCGUGGGUGUGAGAUACAUGUGGCCGUCGGUGUCGGACAUUCAUCCACGUCCCACAAGUGACGUGGGCGUCGAAGCCCGCGCCACUUGUGGGACGUGGAUGUAGUGUCCGACACCGAGGGCCACAUGUAUCUCACACCGACGAUACUUUCUAUUUAGGGUUUCCUCUACCGUUCGGCGACCCUGACCCUCGACGACCCUCGUUCCACAAAGGUCGUCGAAACCAUAGAAAGAAUAGAGGUUGCCUAGUGUCAAAGGAUUCAACAAAACCAUGUCUUCAUCAUUAGGCGAAAGUAACAGGUGCAUGAUGGUACGAAGCUCUCCAAAGUUAUUUUGGAACGGAGUCCCAGAUAAGAUAAUUCUCUUUUUGGUACAAAGUUCAGCAAGAACCUUCCAAAUGUCGUUAUUUGGAAGGCCUUUGCUGAAAUUCAUUCAAAAAGGCAAAUUAUCCUAUCCGAGACACCAUUCCAAAAUAACUUUGGAGGACUUCGUCAUGCCCUGGUUACUUCCGGCUAAUGAUGAAGCCAUGGAUUUCUUCAAUACUUUGACACUAGGAAACCUCUCUCGACCCCUCGGCGAUCCUCGACCCCUCGACGACCCUGGAACCCUCGACCCCUAGAUGACCCUAGAACCCUCGACCCUCGAUCCCUCGACCCUCAAUCCCUCGACCCUAUAGAACCCUCGAAGAAAGGAAUAGCUAGAGGAGAAGAUCGAAGAAAAAAAAGAAGAAAAAAAAGAGGAGAAGAAGAAAGGAAGAGUGGAGAAGAAGAGAAAAUAGAAUAUUCUAUUUUCUCUUCUUCUCCACUAUUCCUUUCUUCUUCUCCUCUUCUUUUCCUUCUUUUUUCUUCUUCUUAUUUAUUUCUCCUCUUCUUUUCCUCUCCUCUUCUUCUUUCUUUCCUCUUCUUAUUUUCUUCUUUCAUAUCCUUCUUUUUCUAAAAUUGUAACUUUUGCAUAUAUAAAACUUUUCUAAAAUUGUAACUUUCUAUAUAUGAACAAAAAACUUUCUAUGAACAAAAAAACAUUUUUAACAUAUAUAUCUAGCAAAUUCUAGCCACAUACAUCACAUACACAUAUACAUUGUAGCCACAUACACAUAUACAUCACAUAUGAACAAAAAAAUANNNNNNNNNNNNNNNNNNNNNNNNNNNNNNNNNNNNNNNNNNNNNNNNNNNNNNNNNNNNNNNNNNNNNNNNNNNNNNNNNNNNNNNNNNNNNNNNNNNNNNNNNNNNNNNNNNNNNNNNNNNNNNNNNNNNNNNNNNNNNNNNNNNNNNNNNNNNNNNNNNNNNNNNNNNNNNNNNNNNNNNNNNNNNNNNNNNNNNNNNNNNNNNNNNNNNNNNNNNNNNNNNNNNNNNNNNNNNNNNNNNNNNNNNNNNNNNNNNNNNNNNNNNNNNNNNNNNNNNNNNNNNNNNNNNNNNNNNNNNNNNNNNNNNNNNNNNNNNNNNNNNNNNNNNNNNNNNNNNNNNNNNNNNNNNNNNNNNNNNNNNNNNNNNNNNNNNNNNNNNNNNNNNNNNNNNNNNNNNNNNNNNNNNNNNNNNNNNNNNNNNNNNNNNNNNNNNNNNNNNNNNNNNNNNNNNNNNNNNNNNNNNNNNNNNNNNNNNNNNNNNNNNNNNNNNNNNNNNNNNNNNNNNNNNNNNNNNNNNNNNNNNNNNNNNNNNNNNNNNNNNNNNNNNNNNNNNNNNNNNNNNNNNNNNNNNNNNNNNNNNNNNNNNNNNNNNNNNNNNNNNNNNNNNNNNNNNNNNNNNNNNNNNNNNNNNNNNNNNNNNNNNNNNNNNNNNNNNNNNNNNNNNNNNNNNNNNNNNNNNNNNNNNNNNNNNNNNNNNNNNNNNNNNNNNNNNNNNNNNNNNNNNNNNNNNNNNNNNNNNNNNNNNNNNNNNNNNNNNNNNNNNNNNNNNNNNNNNNNNNNNNNNNNNNNNNNNNNNNNNNNNNNNNNNNNNNNNNNNNNNNNNNNNNNNNNNNNNNNNNNNNNNNNNNNNNNNNNNNNNNNNNNNNNNNNNNNNNNNNNNNNNNNNNNNNNNNNNNNNNNNNNNNNNNNNNNNNNNNNNNNNNNNNNNNNNNNNNNNNNNNNNNNNNNNNNNNNNNNNNNNNNNNNNNNNNNNNNNNNNNNNNNNNNNNNNNNNNNNNNNNNNNNNNNNNNNNNNNNNNNNNNNNNNNNNNNNNNNNNNNNNNNNNNNNNNNNNNNNNNNNNNNNNNNNNNNNNNNNNNNNNNNNNNNNNNNNNNNNNNNNNNNNNNNNNNNNNNNNNNNNNNNNNNNNNNNNNNNNNNNNNNNNNNNNNNNNNNNNNNNNNNNNNNNNNNNNNNNNNNNNNNNNNNNNNNNNNNNNNNNNNNNNNNNNNNNNNNNNNNNNNNNNNNNNNNNNNNNNNNNNNNNNNNNNNNNNNNNNNNNNNNNNNNNNNNNNNNNNNNNNNNNNNNNNNNNNNNNNNNUUUUGUUUCUACUUACAACAAAAUACUUAUUGUUGCUAUUUUUUCCAGUUUUUUUGUUUUGUUUUCUGCAUUUUUUUUGCUUUAUUUUUUUAUUCUUUUUUCUUUUAGUUUUAGAAAAAUUAUAAACUUUCUGUUAGUGCCUUUAUAAACUUUUUGCUUUUAAUUUGAAUUCUUUGAAAAUUGUUUGAAUCACAAGUUUGUGAUUAACUUACUAAAAAAAUGAGAAUAGAUGCGCUUAUAGAGAAAAUUCAACCUAAAUUCCUAGUAAAUUUCUAUGAAUUUCAGAGAAAUUCACUAUGAAUUUAGGUUAAACUUUUCUCUAUUAGGGCAUCUAUUUUCACUUUGAGAGGAGCUCAACAAGGCAGAGAGGGAAGGGCUUAUAAACUGGUGUGAGCCCCCUUCGGUUGGCGAGGUGGGACUAAACUCUGCCUGCAACGACGACCAACCCUUUAGUCCCGGUUUGUGGCACAAACCGGGACUAAUGGUCAUGGGCCAGGGGUGAGGAGCAAAAUUAUAAACUUUCUGUUAGUGCCAUUAGUUUUAGAAAGUUGAAAGUUGAAAGUUGGCAUGGGCCAGGCACUAAUGGUCAUGGUAUUACGAGGGCCGAACCAUAAGACAUGAAAGCAUUUCAAAUGAACUCUGAAAAAGUUGAAAGUUGGCAUGGUAUCAUAAUUUCACCCACAUAGCAUGUGCAUGUACAAAACAGACAAUGGUAGCAUGUUCGUGUGUUACAAAGUUGGCAUGGUAUCAUCAUAAUAGUUGCGGGAGAAAGUCUUCACUUUUUCUUCGCUUGCGUCAUUUGCUUAUUGCGCUGUAAUCAUGGAUAAUCUUCAUUGUUUAUCAGGAUGCUUGGGUCAGCCUUGACAUUGAAGGGAGGAAUUUCAUGAAACUUUUCAUAAUCUUCAGACAUGUCUAUCUUGCCGUCCACUCCCAGGAUGUCCCUUUUUCCUGAAAGAACUAUGUGGCGCUUUGGCUCAUCGUAUGAUGUAUUCGCUUCCUUAUCUUUUCUUUUUCUCGGUUUGGUAGACAUGUCCUUCACAUAGAUAACCUGUGCUACAUCAUUGGCUAGGACGAACGGUUCGUCAGUGUACCCAAGAUUUUUCAGAUCCACUGUUGUCAUUCCGUACUGUGGGUCUACCUGUACCCCGCCGUCUAACAGAUUGACCCAUUUGCACUUAAACAAAGGGACCUUAAAAUCAGGUCCGUAGUCAAGUUCCCAUAUGUCCAUUAUGUAACCAUAAUAUGUGUCCUUUCCGCUCUCGGUUGCUGCAUCAAAGCAGACACCGCUGUUUUGGUUGGUGCUCUUUUGAUCUUGGGCGAUUGUGUAAAAUGUAUUCCCAUUUAUCUCGUAUCCUUUGUAAGUCAAUACAGUCAAAGAUGGUCCCCUGGACAACAAGUACAACUCAUCACAAACAGUGUUGUCACCUCCGAGACGUGUUUCCAAGCAACUACUGAAAGUCCUGAUGUGUUCACAUGUAAUCUAGUCGUUGCACUGCUCCGGGUGUUUGGAGCGCAGACUGUUCUUGUGUUCAUCGACAUACGGGGUCACCAAGGUAGAGUUUUGUAGAACUGUGUAGUUUGCUUGAGACCAAGAAUAUCCGUCCCUGCAUAUUAUUGAGUCUCUUCCAAGAGUGCCUUUUCCAGUCAGUCUCCCCUCAUACCGCGAUUUAGGGAGACCUAUCUUCUUAAGGCCAGGAAUGAAGUCAACACAAAACCCGAUAACAUCCUCUGUUUGAUGGCCCAUGGAGAUGCUUCCUUCUGACCUAGCGCGGUUACGGACAUAUUUCUUUAGGACUCCCAUGAACCUCUCAAAGGGGAACAUAUUGUGUAGAAAUACGGGCCCCAGGAUGACAAUCUCGUCGACUAGAUGAACUAGGACGUGCACCAUGAUAUUGAAGAAGGAUGGUGGGAACACCAGCUCGAAACUGACAAGACAUUGUGCCACAUCACUCCUUAGCCUUGGUACGAUUUCUGGAUCGAUCACCUUCUGAGAGAUUGCAUUGAGGAAUGCACAUAGCUUCACAAUGGCUAAUCGGACGUUUUCCGGUAGAAGCCCCCUCAAUGCAACCGGAAGCAGUUGCGUCAUAAUCACGUGGCAGUCAUGAGACUUUAGGUUCUGAAACUUUUUCUCUGGCAUAUUUAUUAUUCCCUUUAGAUUCGAUGAGAAGCCAGUCGUGACCUUCAUACUAAGCAGGCAUUCAAAGAAGAUUUCUUUCUCUUCUUUCGUAAGAGCGUAGCUGGCAGGACCUUUAUACUGCUUCGGAGGCAUGCCGUCUUUUUCGUGCAAACGUUGCAGUUCCUCCCGUGCCUCGGGUGUAUCUUUUGUCUUCCCAUACACGCCCAAGAAGCCUAGCAGGUUCACGCAAAGGUUCUUCGUCACGUGCAUCACGUCGAUUGAGGAGCGGACCUCUAGGUCUUUCCAGUAGGGUAGGUCCGAAAAUAUAGAUUUCUUCUUCCACAUGGGUGCGUGUCCCUCAGCGUCAUUCGGAACAGCUAGUCCACUGGGACCCUUUCCAAAGAUUACGUAGUGUAAAUCAUUGACCAUAGCAAGCACGUGAUUACCGGUGCGCAUGGCGGGCUUCUUCCGGUGAUCUGCCUCGCCUUUGAAAUGCUUGCCUUUCUUUUGACAUUGAUGGUUGGUCGGAAGAAAUCGACGAUGGCCCAGGUACACAUUCUUCCUGCAUUUGUCCAGGUAUAUACUCUUAGUGUCAUCUAAACAGUGCGUGCAUGUGUGGUAUCCUUUGUUUGUCUGUCCUGGAAGGCUACUGACAGCGGGCCAAUCGUUGAUGGUCUCAAACAGCAAUGCCUUAAGGUUAAAUUCCUCCUGUUUGUGCUCAUCCCACGUACGUACACCAUUUCCAUUCCACAGCUGUAAAAGUUCUUCAACUAAUGGCCUUAGGUACACAUCAAUUUCGUUGCCGGGUUGCUUAGGGCCUUGGAUGAGAACUGGCAUCAUAAUGAACUUCCGCUUCAUGCACAUCCAAGGAGGAAGGUGAAGGAAAUAUGCCCUAGAGGCAAUAAUAAAGUUAUUAUUUAUUUCCUUAUAUGAUGAUAAAUGUUUAUUAUUCAUGCUAGAAUUUUAUUAACUGGAAACAUAAUACAUGUGUGAAUACAUAGACAAACAGAGUGUCACUAGUAUGCCUCUACUUGACUAGCUCGUUAAUCAAAGAUGGUUAUGUUUCCUAACCAUGGACAAAGAGUUGUUAUUUGAUUAACGGGAUCACAUCAUUAGUUCAAUGAUCUGAUUGACAUGACCCAUUCCAUUAGCUUAGCACCCGAUCGUUUAGUAUGUUGCUAUUGCUUUCUUCAUGACUUAUACAUGUUCCUAUGACUAUGAGAUUAUGCAACUCCCGUUUGCCGGAGGAACACUUUAUGUGCUAUCAAACGUCACAACGUAACUGGGUGAUUAUAAAGGAGCUCUACAUGUGUCUCCAAAGGUACAUGUUGGGUUGGCGUAUUUCGAGAUUAGGAUUUGUCACUCCGAAUGUCGGAGAGCUAUCUCUGGGCCCUAUCGGUAAUGCACAUCACUUAAGCCUUGCAAGCAUUGCAACUAAUGAGUUAGUUGUGGGAUGAUGUAUUACGCAACGAGUAAAAAGACUUGCCGGUAACGAGAUUGAACUAGGUAUUGGAUACCGACGAUCGAAUCUCGGGCAGUAACAUACCGAUGACAAAGGGAACAACGUAUGUUGUUAUGCGGUCUGACCGAUAAAAGAUCUUCGUAGAAUAUGUAGGAACCAAUAUGGGCAUCUAGGUCCCGCUAUUGGUUAUUGACCGGAGACGUGUCUCAGUCAUGUCUACAUUGUUCUCGAACCCAUAGGGUCCGCACGCUUAAGGUUUCGAUGACAGUUAUAUUAUGAGUUUAUACGUUUUGAUGUACCAAAGGUUGUUCGGAGUCCCGGAUGAGAUCAUGGACAUGACGAGGAGUCUCAAAAAGGUUGAGACAUAAAGAUUGAUAUAUUAGAAGCCUAUGUUUGGAUAUCGGAAGUGUUCCGGGUGAAAUCGGGAUUUUACCGGAGUACCGGGAGGUUACCGGAACCCCCCGGGAGCUAUAUGGGCCUUAGUUGGCCUUAGUGGAAGAAGAGGAGAGGCAGCCAGGGCUGGACCGCGCGCCCCUCCCCCUAGUCCGAAUAGGACAAGGAGAGAGGGGGCCGGUGCCCCCCUCCUUCUCUCUCCCUCAUUUCCCACCUCGCGAAUCCUAUUCCAACUAGGAUUGGGGGGAAGUCCUACUCCCGGAGGGAGUAGGACUCCUCCUGGCGCGCCCUAUGAUGACCGGCCGGCCUUCCCCUCUUGAACCUUUAUAUACGGAGGUAGGGGCACCCGUAGAGACACAAGUUGAUCCACGUGAUCAUAUUCUUAACCGUGUGCGGUGCCCCCUGCCACCAUAAUCCUCGAUAAUAUUGUAGCGGUGCUUAGGCGAAGCCCUGCGACAGUAGUACAUCAAGAUCGUCACCACGCUGUCGUGCUGAUGGAACUCUUCCCCGACACUUUGUUGGAUCGGAGUCCGGGGAUCGUCAUCGAGCUGAACGUGUGCUAGAACUCGGAGGUGCCGUAGUUCCGGUGCUUGAUCGGUCGGGCCGUGGAGACGUACGACUACAUCAACCAAACGCUUCCGUUGUCGAUCUACAAGGGUACGUAGAUCACACUCUCCCCUCUCGUUGCUAUGCAUUACAUGAUCUUGCGUGUGCAUAGGAAAUUUUUUGAAAUUACUACGUUCCCCAACAGUAGCAUCCGAGCCUAGGUUUUUAUGGUUUGAUGUUAUAUGCACUAGUAGAACACAAGUGAGUUGUGGGCGAUAUAAGUCAUACUGCUUACCAGCAUGUCAUACUUUGGUUCGGCGGUAUUGUUGGACGAAGCGGCCCGGACCGACAUUACGCGUACGCUUACGCAAGACCGGUUCUCCCGACGUGCUUUGCACAUAGGUGGCUUGCGGGUGACAGUUUCUCCAACUUUAGUUGAACCGAGUGUGGCUACGCCCGGUCCUUGCGAAGGUUAAAACAGCACCAACUUGACAAACUAUCGUUGUGGUUUUGAUGCGUAGGUAAGAUUGGUUCUUGCUUAAGCCCGUAGCAGCCACGUAAAACUUGCAACAACAAAGUAGAGGACGUCUAACUUGUUUUUACAGGGCAUGUUGUGAUGUGAUAUGUUCAAGACAUGAUGCUAAAUUUUAUUGUAUGAGAUGAUCAUGUUUUGUCACCGAGUUAUCGGUAACUGGCAGGAGCCAUAUGGUUGUCGCUUUAUUGUAUGAAAUGCAAUCGCGCUGUAAUGCUUUACUUUAUCACUAAGCGGUAGCGAUUGUCGUGGAAGCAUAAGAUUGGCGAGACGAAAACAAUGCUACGAUGGAGAUCAAGGUGUCGCGCCGGUGACGAUGGUGAUCAUGACGGUGCUUUGGAGAUGGAGAUCACAGGCACAAGAUGAUGAUGGCCAUAUCAUAUCACUUAUAUUGAUUGCAUGUGAUAUUUAUCUUUGAUGCAUCUUAUCUUGAUUUGAUUGACGGUAGCAUUAUAAGAUGAUCUCUCACUAAAUUAUCAAGAUAAAAGUGUUCUCCCUGAGUAUGCACCAUUGCCAAAGUUCGUCGUGCCCAGACACCACGUGAUGAUCGGGUGUGAUAAGCUCUACGUCCAUCUACAACGGGUGCAAGCCAGUUUUGCACACACAGAAUACUCAGGUUAAACUUGACGAGCCUAGCAUAUGCAGAUAUGGCCUCGGAACACUGAGAUCGAAAGAUCGAGCGUGAAUCAUAUAGUAGAUAUGAUCAACAUAGCGAUGUUCACCAUUGAAAACUACUCCAUUUCACGUGAUGAUCGGUUAUGGUUUAGUUGAUUUGGAUCACGUGAUCACUUAGAGGAUUAGAGGGAUGUCUAUCUAAGUGGGAGUUCUUAAGUAAUAUGAUUAAAUUGAACUUAAAUUUAUCAUGAACUUAGUCCUGGUAGUAUUUUGCAAAUCAUGUUGUAGAUCAAUAGCUCGCGUUGUUGAUUCCCUGUGUUUAUUUUGAUAUGCUCCUAGAGAAAAUAGUGUUGAAAAAUGUUAGUAGCAGUGAUGCGGAUUGGAUCCGUGAUCUGAGGUUUAUCCUCAUUGCUGCACAGAAGAAUUAUGUCCUUGAUGCACCGCUAGGUGACAGACCUAUUGCAGGAGCAGAUGCAGACGUUACGAACGUUUGGCUAGCUCAAUAUGAUGACUACUUGAUACUUUAGUGCACCAUGCUUAACGGCUUAGAAUCGGGACUUCAAAGACGUUUUGAACGUCAUGGACCAUAUGAGAUGUUCCAGGAGUUGAAGUUAAUAUUUCAAGCAAAUACCCGAGUUGAGAGAUAUGAAGUCUCCAACAAGUUCUAUAGCUAAAAGAUGGAGGAGAAUCGCUCAAGCAGUGAGCAUGUGCUCAGAUUAUCUGCGUACUACAAUCGCUUGAAUCAAGUGGGAGUUAAUCUUCCAGAUAAAAUAGUGAUUGACAGAAUUCUCUAGUCACCAUCACCAAGUUAGUAGAACUUCGUGAUGAACUAUAAUAUGCAAGGGAUAACGGAAACAAUUCCCAAGCUCUUCGUGAUGCUGAAACCGACGAAGAUAGAAAUCAAGAAAAACAUCAAGUGUUGAUGGUUAACAAGACCACUAGUUUCAAGAAAAGGGCAAAGGGAAGAAGGGGAACUUCAAGAAGAACAGCAAGCAAGUUGCUGCUCAAGUGAAGAAGCCCAAGUCUGGUCCUAAGCCUGAGACUAAGUGCUUCUGCUGCAAAGGGACUGAUCACUGGAAGCAGAACUGCCCCAAGUAUUUGGCGGAUAAGAAGGAUGGCAAAGUGAACAAAAGUAUAUUUGAUAUACAUGUUAUUGAUGUGUACUUUACUAGUGUUUAUAGCAACCCCUCAGUAUUUGAUACUGGAUCAGUUGCUAAGAGUAGUAACUCGAAACAGGAGUUGCAGAAUAAACAGAGACUAGUCAAGGGUGAAGUGACGAUGUGUGUUGGAAGUAGUUCCAAGAUUGAUAUGAUCAUCAUCGUACACUCCCCUAUACUUUCGGGAUUAGUGUUGAACCUAAAUAAGUAUUAUUUGGUGUUUGCGUUGAGCAUGAAUAUGAUUUGAUCAUGUUUAUUGCAAUACGGUUAUUCAUUUAAGUAAGAGAAUAAAUUGUUGUUCUGUUUACAUGAAUAAAACCUUAUAUAGUUACACACCCAAUGAAAAUGGUUCGUUGGAUCUCGAUCAUAGUGAUACACAUAUUCAUAAUAUUGAAACCAAAAGAUGCAAAGUUAAUAAUGAUAGUGCAACUUAUUUGUGGCACUGCCUUUUAGGUCAUAUUGGUCUAAAGCACAUGAAGAAACUCCAUGCUGAUGGGCUUAUGGAAUCACUUGAUUAUGAAUCACUUGAUGCUUGCGAACCAUGCCUCAUGGGCAAGAUGACUAAGACUCCGUUCUCCGGAACAAUGGAGCGAGCAACUGACUUAUUGGAAAUAAUACAUACUGAUGUAUGCGAUCCGAUGAAUAUUAAGGCUUGCAGCAGGUAUCAUUAUUUUCUGACCUUCACAGAUGAUUUGAGCAGAUAUGGGGAUAUCUACUUGAUGAAACAUAAGUCUGAAACAUUUGAAUAGUUCAAAGAAUUUUAGAGUGAAGAGGAAAAUCAUCAUGACAAGAAAAUAAAAGUUUCUACGAUAUGAUCGCAGAGGUAAAAUAUUUGAGUUACGAGUUUGGCCUUCAAACAAUGUGAAAUAGUUUCACUACUCACGCCACCUGGAACACCAUAGUGUAAUGGUGUGUCCGAACGUCAUAACCGUACUUUAUUAGAUAUAGUGCGAUCUAUGAUGUCUCUUACCGAUCUACCACUAUCGUUUUAGGGUUAUGCAUUAGAGACAGCUGCAUUCACGUUAAAUAGGGCACCAUCUAAAUCCGUUGAGACGACACCGUGUGAACUAUGGUUUGGCAAGAAACCUAAGUUGUCGUUUCUUAAAGUUUGGAGUUGCGAUGCUUAUGUGAAAAAGUUUCAUCUCGAUAAGCUCAAACUCAAAUCGGAGAAAUAUGUCUUCAUAGGAUACCCAAAGGAGACAAUUGGGUACACCUUCUAUCACAGAUCCGAAGGCAAGACAUUCGUUGCUAAGAUUGGAUCCUUUCUAGAGAAGGAGUUUCUCUCGAAAGAAGUGAGUGGGGGGAAAGUAGAAAACUUGAUAAGGUAAUUGUACCUUCUCCCUUAUUGGAAAAUAUUUCAUCACAGAAAUCUGUUCCUGUGACUACUACACCAAUUAGUGAGGAAGCUAAUGAUGAUGAUCAUGUAACUUCAGAUCAAGUUACUACCAAAUCUCGUAGGUAAACCAGAGUGAGAUCCACACCAGAGUGGUACGGUAAUCCUAUUCUGGAGGUCAUGUUACUUGACCAUGACGAACCUACGAACAAUGAGGAAGCGAUGAUGAGCCCAGAUUCUGAUAAAUGGCUUGAGGCCAUGAAAUCUGAGAUAGGAUCCAUGUAUCAGAACAAUGUGUGGACUUUGGUGGACUUGCCCGAGGACCGGCAAGCCAUUGAUAAUAAAUGGAUCUUCAAGAGGAAGACGGACACGGAUAGUAGUGUUACUAUCUACAAAGCUAGAAUUGUCGCAAAAGGUUUUCGAUAAGUUCAAGGUGUUGACUACGAUGAGUGUUUCUCACUCGUAUCUAUGCUUAAGUAUGUCCGAAUCAUGUUAGCAAUUACCGCAUUUUAUGAAAUCUGGCAAAUGGAUAAACAAAACUGCAUUCCUUAAUGGAUUUAUUAAAGAAGAGUUGUAUGUGAUGCAACAAGAUAGUUUUGUCAAUCCUAAAGGUGCUAACAAAAAUGCAAGCUCCAGCGAUCCAUUUAUGGACUGGUGCAAGCAUCUCGGAGUUGGAAUAUACACUUUGAUAAGUUGAUCAAAGCAUAUAGUUAUAUACAGACUUGUGGUGAAGCCUGUAUUUACAAGAAAGUGAGUGGGAGCAUGACAACAUUUCUGAUAAGUAUAUGUGAAUGACAUAUUGUUGAUCAGAAAUAAUGUAGAAUUAUUCUGCAAAGCAUAAAGGAGUGUUUGAAAGGAGUUUUUCAAAGAAAGACUUCGGUGAAGCUGCUUACAUAUUGAGUAUCAAGAUCUAUAGAGAUAGAUCAAGACGCUUGAUAAGUUUUUUCAAUGAGUACAUACCUUGACAAGAUUUUGAAGUAGUUCAAAAUGGAACAGUCAAAGAAAAAGUUUCUUGCCUGUGUUACAAGGUGUGAAGUUGAGUAAGACUCAAAGCCCGACCACGGCAGAAGAUAGAAAGAGAAUGAAAGUCAUUCCCUAUGCCUCAGUCAUAGGUUCUAUAAAGUAUUCCAUGCUGUGUACCAGAUCUAUUGUGUACCAUACACUGGGUUAAGAGAGGGAGUACAAUAGUGAUCUAGGAGUAGAUCAAUGGACAGGGGUCAAAAUUAUCCUUACUGGAAUAAGGAUAUGUUUCUCGAUUACGGAGGUGACAAAAGGUUCGUCGUAAAGGGUUACGUCGAUGCAAGUUUUGACACUGAUCCAGAUGACUCUAAGUCUCAAUCUGGAUACAUAUUGAAAGUGGGAGCAAUUAGCUAGAGUAGCUCCAUGCAGAGCAUUGUUGACAUAGAAAUUUGCAAAAUACAUGCGGAUCUGAAUGUGGCAGACCCGUUGACUAAACUUCUCUCACAAGCAAAACAUGAUCACUUUUUGGGUCUUAAUCACAUAGCGAUGUGAACUAGAUUAUUGAAUCUAGUAAACCCUUUGGGUGUUAGUCACAUGGAGAUGUGAACCAAUCACAUAAAGAUGUGAACUAUUGAUGUUAAAUCACAUGGCGAUGUGAUCUAGAUUAUUGACUCUAGUGCAAGUGGGAGACUGAAGGAAAUAUGUCCUAGAGGCAAUAAUAAAGUUAUUAUUUAUUUCCUUAUAUGAUGAUAAAUGUUUAUUAUUCAUGCUAGAAUUUUAUUAACCGGAAACAUAAUACAUGUGUGAAUACAUAGACAAACAAAGUGUCACUAGUAUGCCUCUACUUGACUAGCUCGUUAAUCAAAGAUGGUUAUGUUUCCUAACCAUGGACAAAGAGUUGUUAUUUGAUUAACGGGAUCACAUCAUUAGUUCAAUGAUCUGAUUGACAUGACCCAUUCCAUUAGCUUAGCACCCGAUCGUUUAGUAUGUUGCUAUUGCUUUCUUCAUGACUUAUACAUGUUCCUAUGACUAUGAGAUUAUGCAACUCCCGUUUGCCGGAGGAACACUUUGUGUGCUACCAAACGUCACAACGUAACUGGGUGAUUAUAAAGGAGCUCUACAUGUGUCUCCAAAGGUACAUGUUGGGUUGGCGUAUUUCGAGAUUAGGAUUUGUCACUCCGAAUGUCGGAGAGCUAUCUCUGGGCCCUAUCGGUAAUGCACAUCACUUAAGCCUUGCAAGCAUUGCAACUAAUGAGUUAGUUGUGGGAUGAUGUAUUACGCAACGAGUAAAGAGACUUGCCGGUAACGAGAUUGAACUAGGUAUUGGAUACCGACGAUCGAAUCUCGGGCAAGUAACAUACCGAUGACAAAGGGAACAACGUAUGUUGUUAUGCGGUCUGACCGAUAAAAGAUCUUCGUAGAAUAUGUAGGAACCAAUAUGGGCAUCUAGGUCCCGCUAUUGGUUAUUGACCGGAGACGUGUCUCAGUCAUGUCUACAUUGUUCUCGAACCCGUAGGGUCCGCACGCUUAAGGUUUCGAUGACAGUUAUAUUAUGAGUUUAUACGUUUUGAUGUACCGAAGGUUGUU
Molecule: long non-coding RNA, 142646 nt
Filed under: Triticum aestivum (bread wheat)
Lineage: Eukaryota; Viridiplantae; Streptophyta; Magnoliopsida; Poales; Poaceae
Description: long non-coding RNA (TAES_LNC009704)
Source: RNAcentral